This 127488-nucleotide long non-coding RNA is filed under the name Jatropha curcas. Its description in RNAcentral is "long non-coding RNA (JCUR_LNC000885)". The record is from RNAcentral. Lineage: Eukaryota; Viridiplantae; Streptophyta; Magnoliopsida; Malpighiales; Euphorbiaceae.
ACGAUACCAGAUUCGAAGAUCUGGAGACCUCGAUUUCCAUGCCUGAAAUUAGAGAAUCGAGUCUGAUUAUGAUAUUCUCUUUUUUUUUUUUUUCUCUCUUUUAGGUUUUUCUUUUUUGGUUGUAAGAACCCUAAAAGUUAAAUUGCUGGUCCAUAGGUUUUGGUUUGUUUGGGGAUCCUAGAAAUCGUUUGGUAGCAGAGGAAGAAUUAUUGGAAUUCGACAUUCAGUUUCCUUGUUGUAUUCGUUGUCUGCAGCAGAAAGACGACUUUUUUCUUUUUCUUUUUUCUUUUUCUUUUUUUCUUCAGCUAUGUUUUUAGGUUAUUACUUAUUGUUUAGGUAUAAGUAAGUUAGGCCCCUUAGUUCCGUGAAUUGGCGUUUGCACGGAAAUGGCCCUUCUGAUUGGUUUAUCUUCUGCUUUUGGUUCUUCAUUAUUUAUUACUUAUACUUCAUGGUCAGGAAUUGUGUGAGUUCAUUCUGCAUUUCCGCUCUUGGUGCGCUGAUAUUUAUAUAAUUUGAAUAAUUAUUAUUGUUAUUUUAAAAAGCUUUUGAUUUAUAAUUUUAAAAUUAAUAAUAAAAAUAAUAAAACUAAUUUUAUAAUAAUAAUUUUUAAAGGUCGAAAAAAAUUACGUUAAACACUUUAAUAUUUUGAUUAAUAUUUAGUGUUUCGCAAAUAUUAAUUUUUUUUUUUUAUAAUCAUAUUCAUUAUCUUUUCUUAUUGAAUUUAAUUAAUUAAACAAAUGCUUUUAUCAAAUAUUUUUAAUAGCUAACAUUUAACCGUUACUAUAAUAGUAACAGUUAAUAUUGUCAAAUACGCUCUUUAUCUUUUAUUUUUUAUAUAUUUAUUUUUAUUGAAUCAAAAUCUAAAAGUUUUACUAUGAGUAAUUUUUUUUCGUAAACUCAAAAACUAUAAUUGGAAAAAAAAAAUCAAACAUUAGAACACUUAGCUUGAAUAUCAACAAACCCAUCUAUAGUGAAAUAUUAUAUAUUUUGUAGCAAAUUUGAUUUACUCAUUGCUUUUACGAAUUACGGCCUCCUUUUCUGAAAAUCCAUUGAACAUAAAAGAUCCCUCUCAAAAAUUUAUUAUAAAUAUAUGCACAUAAAUAAAUAAAUUUUAUGAAAAUUUUCACUAAACUAUGAAAAACUAAUGAAAACAACAAAUCCAAUAUUACAAUUCAAUCAAAAAGAAACUAAAAGAAGCAAUCAAAAAAUAAACAAAAAUGAAAAUUGACAUCCGUACUCAAUGGAUUAGCGUUGACCGAGACAAGUUUGUUUAGAAAUUGUCGAUAAAUAUAAUAAAUUCUUUAACGUUUAAUUUUUAAAGUAUCAAAAUGAUUCACAUGAGAGGCGUUCGCUAAAAUAGUUAGAUCUAAUUCCUCUGAAAUUAAUGCACUUCAACGCCAAAAGUGUAGUGAGUAAAAAAAUAAAAAUCUAAUACAAUUAAAUCGGUUAUAAUGAUGUAUUUAAACAAAUAGAGAUUCUCAAAAACUUCUUCAGUAUUUUUUAUCUAUUAAAAAAUAAAUAAAAUCUUAUAUUGAGUAAAUAAAUAUAAACUAAUAUGAAAUCAUAUUACCAAUCAGAAUCAAAAGCAAACAAUGAAAUAAUUGCCAUGUAUCAAUUGAAAACAUCAAACAAUUGUAAAAGAUAUACUUAAAAAAAAAAAAGAGAUUCACUUAUAGGUCAAGAGUCCAUUUUUAGAUUAACAUUUGGUUGUUUGUCCAUGGACCCUUCCAUCUUUAAUUCUUCAAUUCUUAAAAGUGGCUAAUGUUGGAUUUUGAAAGUUAUAUAUAUAUAUAUAUAUAUAUGAUCAUCACAUAUUAUUAGAAUGAAAAGAUAAUGAUUCAUACGACAAAGAAUGAUAGCAUACUCCCCAUUGAAUUGAUCAAAAGGAGAGUUAGGUUCUAAGGAUUACAAACAAAGUCUAGGGUGCGUAAUAUCAUAUAAAUCAUGGUUUAGCCACCAUAUCAAAUUUGACGGAGAUUGAGAUAAGAAAUGAGCUCCUAUGAUAAAAUUCCUAACAUACUUAGAAAGGUAGUCAACACUAUAAUUAGCCUUCCUAUAGACAUGACUAAUAAUACAAUUUCAAUUAUCUCUGAUAAUAUUAUUUAUAGCCAGAAAAAGCUGUUGGACACCUCCACUUGAAGCCAUCUUGCCUUGUAUAACUUGAACUACUGCUUCACUAUCACAUUCCACCUUGAUAUGGGAGAUUCCCAUUAGUUUGGCGAUCUUAAGUCCUUCGAGGAUAGCCCAUAACUCUGCAUUGGGUACAGAGUAUAUCCCAAUGGAAAUUACGAAGCCGUUAAUCCAUUGUCUUGAGCUGUCCCUAAUACGGCUCCUUCCAUACGCCAUUUGCUUUCCCAAUGAACCAUCUGUGUUCAAUUUGAAGAAGGGAUCAAUAGGGGGUGACCCUGAAAUCUAUUUCAAACUUUUACUUGAGUACUUAUCAUCCCUCCAUGUAACAGAUCAGCUGCAUUAUAGUUUUCUUUAGCAAAGAAAAUGAUCUCUUUCACUAAAGUGUUCAGGCGAAUAUGUUGUUGCUGAAAAAGCCAUACAUUCCUCCUAUUCCAAAUUUUCCAGCAUGAAAUGCCGAAAAUGAUUGGCCAUGGAACCCCCAACUCACGCAUCUUUUGGCUUUUAAGGUUCAUGAUAAAUCAUGCUUUUUUUAUAUAUAUAUUUACACAAAGCAUCAUCCAUGUUCGUGUCUGUUUUAAUUGUUUACAAGUCUGAUUAAUCAUCGCUUGUCUUUAAAGGCAAAAGAGGGACAUCGAAAUAUACUUUAUUUUUAUACUUGCACAAGUUACUCAGACCUGUGUCUGUUUUAAUGGUCGACAAACCUGACUAAUGUCCGCUCGCCCUCAGAGGCAAAAGGAUUGUGUUAACAUAUAAUACUAAAAUAUAUUACAAUAAUAAAACUAGACUCCUAAAUAAAUUUUAACUAACAUAUAACAUAGGAUUUGUAAUCCUUAUCUUAAUACAAUUAUCCUUACUGUAUAAGCUAGUUUGGAAGAAAUUUAUGUUGAAGAGGAUCGAAUUCAUAACUUAAAUUUUGAUGAUUAAACCUGUAAAUGCUCUUUGUCACUAAACUAUUCCAUCUGAGUUUCAUUCAAUAAAACUUUACAAACAAUAACACUAAAUCAAAAUAUGAUAAAUCAUGCAUGAUUGCUCGAGUGUAGAGCUUUAAUUAAAAGAAGACAAUCAAAUUAUAGGAUAACUGAUGAGAGUUGCAAUGACUUUACGCAAUGCAUUGACCAAAAUGAUCUUGCAAGAUUUUGAAAAAAUAUGAUUAAAUUUAUUUAUUUAAUUUUUCUAAUAAAAUUAUAAUAUACAAUACAACUCUUUAGAAAUAAAUAUGAUUAAUUCAAACAACUCAAAUAUUUAUUUUAUUAUACAAAAUAAAGCGAAAAUUUCAAAAAAAAUUUAAACAAAAAGAAUAUAAAAUGUAGGGAGUGCAAAGUCAAUGUUCCUUUAUAUAAUUAUAUAGAUUUAUAGAAUAUAAUUAUAUAGAUAUAGAAAGAUAUAUAGAUAGAUCGUUACGUAUCAAUUAUAAAAUUGUUUGUAUGUACCUUUAAAAUAUUAAUUAUAGAAAAAACAUAUUGAUUAUACCCAGGGGCGGAAUCAGUUGAAAAAUUAAUAUUAAGUCCAAAAAAAAAUUGAAAAAAAAAAAAUUGACUCCAUUAUUACAUUAAAAUUAUAUUUUGGCCCCCUAAAUCUUUGGACCGGGUCCACCACUGAUUAUAACAUUAUUUUGCUUUCACAGGCAUUACCGACUAAACAUGUAAAAUUCAGAUUUAAUUUUAUACGUUAGCCUUUUGUAUGGGACACUAGAAUAUUUAUCCCGUCUUGAAUUUACGUAAAAAGACAAUCCAAUAAGUGCUCAAAACACAUGUUCCAUGUCCAACACACGACAAAACAUUUCUGGUUGUACAUUAAUUGUACCCUAUAGUUAUUAUUUAUUAAUUUUCAGUGUGCAGAAAUCUUUAAUUUUCAAUUUUGUUAUUGUGAGCGAUUAUAUGUAAAAAAAAAAAAAAAAAAAAUUUGUAUUCUACUUAAUUUUCAAAUGGUCAAAUUUGAUUUUGUUUUUCUUUUUACCAUUGAGGAUGAAAGACUCAAUUGAUAUGUACCCAUUAGGUAAAAUCUUCAAGUACUGAUACAGUGUUAUUAAUUAUUAGGUAAAAUAUUAUUACUAUUUUAUUAUUAUUUUUUUAGAAAUAUCAUCCUUACACUUAAAAAUUUAUUAUUAAUUUAAAUGGUGCAUGAAUGGUUCCAUAAACGGUUGUAAUAAAGUGUUUCUUAAUUAACAAACCGCUAGUUAAGGUAAAAAGAUCGUUUGUUCCUCAAUUAGGGCAAAACUAUUUUGCAUUUACAAAUUGUGGCAUUAUUGAUGUUGGCGUCUUGUUCUCUACGUGGCUUUGUCAAAGUCCAGUCGCGGCCAUCACUAAUGACCAUUAACAGUUGUUUGUGAGUGCAGCAAAUCAACGCCACCAAUUAUUCAUUUUCUUUGACAUCCUGGAUGAGAAAGAGACCCGCAAUUCAGAAAUGUUUAUAACAAUCAAUAAAGGUUUGUUUGUAUCACCUCAUAUUCUAAUCAUCUCAGUAGCAUUUCAGUUUUUAUCAAUUUGAUGAAUUUAUAAAAAAACUAUAUAUAUUAUGGAGCAAUCCGUUUAAAAUAUUUUGAACUUUGCAUGUUAUAACGAUUGCAUUCUAAAAUCAAUUUCAUCGCAUAUAUUUCAGUUUCAAACUCACGUUAUAAUUGCAUCUUAAUAAAUGAAUAAAAAAAUAAAUUGAUGGGAUACAAGAAUUAAAUAAAUGAUAUUUAAAUAUUAAAUAUGGUAAAUAUCAUUUAUACUGUAUAUAUUUAAAAAGUGUAAUAAAAAAAUUUUGGGUUAAAUAUCAUUUAUUCCAUUUUUUUUUAUCUACCAAUAAAUAAAAGAAAAAAAUAAAUGAUUUUUUUAAUUAGCAUUUGAAAUAUUUGAUGAAAAUAUUUAUGCAAAAACUAACAGUCUUAUUUGUUAAAAUAAUCUCAUGAAAAUAAAAUUAAAAUUAAACCAUUUUCAUAAUUGCAAAUUAAAAUUUUAAAACAAAUUUAUUUGUCAAUGCAUUGUUGUCUAAUUGGUCUUCUCGAUUUAAUACGAAAAACGAAAGAUUUACUAAUCCAGAAAAAUUUUUAUAAAAUAGAUUUACUAUUUGGCUCCAUUUUUUUUUACAAAGAAAGUCACUGAGUGAAAUUGAGUUGAUCUAUUUUUCAUAUGGUAUUUUACUGAAUAUUUAUAGUGAGACAUUAGAGCACUAAUGUCUCUGCACAUGUGGCCAUAUGAAUGGUAUUAUUAUUUUUAUUGAUUCAAAAAGGCAAUUGGAAGAAAGAAAAAAGAAAAAAGAAAAAUCUGAUAAAUGAGUGUAUGUACAGACAUUAGAGCACUGAAUUAUUAGUCCAUUGGUGAUGAUGAUGAUGAUGCUAUUUGCAACAAAAAAGCAAAUGAAUUUUUCCAUUUCAUGCCAUACUUCUUUACUCUCUAUUCUCUAUUAUGGUCUUGCAGUUGCAGUCUUUUUAUGCUUGCAAAUAUCUCCUUCAGUUAUGUCCUUACUUUUCAAAUUUUGCCCCACCUUCAAUAGAUAAACAGACUUUCUUUUUCUUUUUUGAAGAAACAAUUCUCACUACAAUAGUGGGCAAAUUACUUCACAUUUAUCAUGUUUAAAAAAAAAAAAAAAUUUAUCUUUCUUAUUUCAAUACUAGAUUUAAUUUAGGUCUUUGCGUUAUUCAUAAAUAAUGUUAUUUUACUCGAUUUACUCUAAAAAUAAUAUUUGCAGAUACAUUAGUCUGGUAUUAGAGUGCAUGCAUUAAAAAUUAGCUAGCAAAAACUUAUUUUCAUGUUAGAAUGAGAAUAUUUAAUUUUUAAUUUUAAAUACUAAAAUUUCUUUAAAUAUAUAUAUUUAAAAAAAAAAUUAUCCCUUCCAAAAUAAUUAAUUAUAAACUGUUCUAUUACAAAAAGACAAGACAAUUAAUCAAUGAAUUUUUACUUAUAGUAAGGACGGUUUUAUAAAUUUAAAUAUGUAAUAAGAAAAAAAAAUAUGAAAUGAAUUUUUUGAAAAUACGUUUUUUUUUAGAAGGCACAACUUUGCUUGACCCCAUAUCUGUACUGUCCAUUCAAAAAGACGUGUUAACGCAUAACAUAAUAAGCUGCCAUUGGCAUGGCAAUUGGCGAAGAACAGAAAGGACCUGCUCCACCACACUCCAAACAAACAUAAAUCUUUUAUUUCGCAUUAAACUAGACAGUGACAUGAGUGGAAAUUACAUAGAGUACCCUUCUCAUGCAUAUUAUUUUCCCUCCAACACGUUCGGCGAGAGAGAAUACUAAGAAUACGGAUGACGUGUACAGGUGCCGCAUGUUAGGAGGACCCGCUCUCUAUGGGGAGGUUUUUUGCUUGACCACCGGGUUUCCGUUGGAAAGAAAAAUCAGUUCUGGAGAGAAAGAGAAAGAAGCCAGCUCCACCAGAGACAAGAACAAAAAGAAGGAAAAAUAUGAAAAAAAUUCUCUAAAGUCUCUCUUCUGUUUCUAUCUUUACGCUUCCUUCUCCUUUCUCCUUUUCCUUUUUGUUUCGUUUUUCUCCAUCUAAUCAAGGUACAUUCUCAAUUAAAAUAUUUAAUUCUGCAAAUUAACUGUUUCUAUGGAAUUUUAUUGUCAUUAGCUUCAUCAUUGCGGUCAUGGCGGUGUGGUUGCAGAGUGUGUUCGGUUUCUGAUCGUCAACUGAGAUGUGAUUUUGUGAUUUGUGGAUCAAGCCAUGACUACGAGCAAGAACACGAUCACGAAUGCACACACAGAGUCGCCUCAGGUUUUGUUAUUACAAUUAGGUUUUUGUUUUCGUGAUUACAAUGUGAUUCAACACAAUGCCGCUCAAAUCGUAGAAUCUGCUUGUUCAUGGCGCUAUCUUUUUUUGAACUAAAAUUAAAAUUAGAAUUCGUUUUGUACAGUGAUCGCAUGUCAAGUAGGGAAAAUUUUGGCUACAGAAUUGAUGUUUGUGUUUCGUUUUGUGUAGGGAGAUGGUGUUGCUCCUCAACCUCCUCCAGGUCCCCCGCCACAGGGACAGCCCGAUGUUCGUGCUCGGGCUGGAAAUGCGGUGGUUUAACUCUUUCCAUUGUUGUUAUUUUAUUAUUUUUAUCUUUGUAUAUUUUCUCAUGAGAUUCGCUGAUCACCAUUAGUUAUUGUCACCAUCAUUGUUGGUCAUCAUAACAUUUUUUUGUCUUCCCAUUUUUCUAACCUCAUAAUUUAUAUGGAUUACGUGUGGAUAUUUAACUAAUCCUUCAUAAUAUAUUAUAUGAAAUAAAUCUUGAUAGUAGUUGCCUCAUUUAUGUGGACCAGUGUAGGAUUUUAUCCGCUAGUUCAUAUUAGAUUUUUUGCCAUCUAGUUUAUUGCUCAUUUUGAUUUAUAAUCCCUUGUUUUUAAGAUCCUAGGCAUUUUGCUACCUGAUGUAUAUAAUUUGUGUUGCAGAUAUUCAAGAGUGGGCCUCUUUUUAUAUCAUCUAAAGGUGAGUUGAAUAUGCACAUCUAUAGUCCAGUCACAAUAUUUAAAUUUUGCUAACUCCAUUCUUAAUUUCUUAUAUGUAACAUAAAUAUUUUAGGUACAUCUGUCAUUACUUUUGUGAGGAUCAUUGGCCUAUUCUGAAGUUAAAUUCUCUAUUUUUUUCAAUUUUUUUAUUAUGUAGGAAUUGGGUGGACAUCCUGGAAGAAGCGGUGGUUUAUUCUAACACGAACUUCAUUGGUUUUCUUCAGAAGUGAUCCAGUAAGUAGUUUCACAUAUAGUAAUAAAUAAGGAAUGUUUUUAAUUUUCACCCAGCACCUCAUCCAGGAUUCUAACUAAUGGAAAUUUAGUCUCAUUCCUCUCUCCUGCUUGCUGGUUGCGGUGUGGCAUUUUUAUAGUUGAAUAAAUUUCACCUACUAUAUUUAAACUUUCCAGAGUACUGCUCCUCAAAAAGGGGGUGAAGUGAACCUGACUCUUGGUGGUAUUGACCUCAACAAUUCAGGCAGGUCAGCUUGCUUUUUCAAAUUAGACAUCGUUCAUUUCUGUUCAUCCAUUGUAAUUGUUUCCACAAUAGAAUGAAGUCUAGUUUUCUAACUUCAUAGUACUUUAUUUGGAUGAUUUCUAGUGUGGUUGUCAAAGCAGACAAAAAGCUCUUGACUGUUCUCUUUCCUGAUGGCCGUGACGGGCGAACUUUCACUCUUAAGGUGGUUCUAUAUUUCUUUAUCACGUUUUCUCUUGAGAUUUCGUGGUAUUAUUGCACAGAUGAAUAAAUUCUUCCAGGGCUUAAAAAGAACUGGAGCUUAAGGAUAUUCGACUUAUCUUGCUUGCAAAAAUCUCAUAUAAUAGUUUUUAGUUAUUCAGUUCAGUUACUGGAAGUUAGUUCUAUUUGUGAUUGCUUGAAGAGUUGCUUUUUAGAAAGGAUAUUAAAACGGGUAUAGAAUAGGUAACAUGAUUUGUAAUAACUUAACCAGUUAAUGAAUCAAGCUGUUCCUGAGCCAUUCAAAUCUAGCUCAAGGAUUAUCAUUCUUAGCUCAUUUAAUAAACAAGGUUCAAAGUGAAGCUUGAGCAUGAUCCAAUCACCCAAUAAACAAGUUGAAUUUUAUUUUGCAAGCUGGCAUUUUUAUGCAUUUUUAUUCUAAUUCUAUAUCAUUCUUUUGCCAUGAACAAAUUUGCAACAUCCUUUUUUACUUGUAUUAGCAUAAAACAUGAAGUGGAUUUUCUCAUAAAUGUUUGCAACAAUUUGAAUGGUUUAGAUAGUUGCAUUAUGAUAUUAGAAAUGGACCCAGAAGACUGUUUUCUUUGUAGGAAAUUUUAUGUACUCAAUUAGUUUAUAUAUAUUAAGAUACUGAACCACGGAAGUAGUUUGACUCUUCACACCCAAAUUGACAGAUAUCUAUAUAUUUUACGGGCCUUAACUAAUUGCAAAUAUGAAAAGGUUAUUACUUUCACUAAUGCGGUUACUCCAUUGAGUGUUUUUUAUGAUAAUUGCAGAAAACUCUCAACAAUAAAUUGUGAUUCCAUUUUGGCUUCGUAUGGAAAUUUUGUUUAUUGCUGCUAAUGAAUGGAGUUGCAGAUCAGUUUAGAUCACCUCUUCAAGGCCUUAUUGAAAUUUUGUUUACCAUUUACAUAUGUUUGGAUACAGGCUGAAACAUCGGAAGAUUUAUAUGAGUGGAAGACUGCGCUCGAAAAUGCUCUGGCACAAGCACCAAGUGCUUGUCUUGCGAUGGGGCAAAAUGGUAUCUUCAAGAAUGAUCAGCUUGAAGGAGCUAAUGAUUCUCCGGAACAGUGUAAGCAACAUAUAUUGUUCGUUUUGCAUUAACAUUUUGUGCUUGCUGCUAUAAUUUUUUGUAUUUGACAGUCUUGUAUAGCCUAAACUUUUGCUUGAUGUACCAAGACCCUUGAGUUUAACACUGCAAAUACAUGAGAAGCGAACAUUUUGGACAAUUAGUCAAUUAUUUCAAAACACUGAUGUUUAAGUAAAUCUAUUCUUUAUGCAAACAAGUAGCAACCCAACUCUCUAUCAAUUUUGUUCGUAAUUUCAAGUAACAAGAAUGUCAAUAUCACAUGGUGUUCUCUCAUGACCUUUAUAUAUCAUUCUUCCAAUUUUUACUUUCCAUUGGAUCUUCAUAUUGGGCCUCCACUGUGGCUAAAUUACUGGGCAUGGAAAUUCUUCAAAGUUUCUUUAGAGGCAUUUGCAGCAUUGGUUAUUCUGUGAUGUUCAGAACUUGGAAUCCUAUUCUCCAUCCCGUACCCCUGAAAUUUUUCACUCAGUUAAGAUACUGACUCUUUGUUUUUGCCCCCUGCAGCAAAGGAUAAAGUGCCUUUACAAGCUUUGGUCAUUGGCAGACCAGUUUUACUAGCUUUAGAAGAUGUUGAUGGAUCUCCUUCUUUUCUAGAAAAGGCUCUUAGGUAUAUAGAAGAGCAUGGUAGGUUUUUCUUUCCCAUGGUUGUUUAUGAUACCAUUCAAUUAUAUUUUGACAUGUAUUUUCUAAGACUGUAUAUUUCAUAUCCUCUCUACUCAGCGUGGAACAUGCUUUUCCAUUUUGUUGGAUCGAUAUGUUUUCUUCGUGUGCCUCGACUAUGCAUGUAUUGAGAUGACAUAAUUGCUGAGUGGUCUCCAGCUGUGCCCAAAGGUUAUAAUAAUCUCUUAGAAUUUUAUUGUGCACAUGGCUGUAAAUUAGUUUUACUUGAAAUUUACCAAAAUCUACUUGUCUCUGGGUAGUCUAUGGGCUAGGGUUCUAAAUAAUGGUUGUUUCAUAACAUAUCAACCAUUUCGUAGUGGAAUUUUUACCAUGCCACUAUUUUCCGCUUCUCUGCAAGUGAUUUGCCAAUCACCUCGAAAAUAUUAGGCAAAACAUGAGGAACGAUGCAAACACUUUAAAGCUAUUAUUUUUUGUUUACAUCUCUGUGACACUCCAAGUCUCCCCUUUUUUUUGCUCACAUGCAAAUGGAGAGUGGGUCUCCAUUUCUUAGUCUUGGAAACAUCUAUAUUAUAUACUGUCUAUACUAGUUCUGGUUUUUGAAAAUCAUUCAUUUAUGCAAUGAUGAGUGAUCAGCAAACUCUUUCAUCAAAACUUUCUAUUACUUUAUAAAUUGUUCCUUUAGGUUACUCCUCACUUAAUAUCAUAGAUGUUUUAUUAUUUUUUAACUAAUAUUUCUUGUUUAUUGAUGAUCGGAGUGAUCUUGCUAAUUGCUUGAAAAAUUCGCAGCAAUAGCCAAUAUGCAAUGAUUCCAUGAUACCAAUUUCCUGUUAUUGUUUCCAAUUCUGUUAUUUAGAAGCCUGCUGUGGAUAUUUUGUUGCUUGGAAAAGAUGCAUGUGAUUUAGUAGUUGUGCGUUGAUUCUUCAAGUUUUGUAGAAUGCCUUGGAAGAAAAUAAUAACUUUUCUUUGUGCUUUUUCAAUUCCAUUCUUUUUGUUUUUAGAUAAACAAUUAUGGAUCACAGAAAUAUUUAUGUUAAUUUCCCUUUUCAAUAUUCUCUUCCAACUUAUUUUUCCUUCUAAAUAUUCUUAACAUAAAGCUUUCAGUUUCAUGUAGAGGUCUUUUCGAAAUCCAUCGAGAUCUCUGGCACGUUAGAAAAACCUCUUUUGCUAUUGGUUAAAGAUGGAAAUAUUUGUUUUCCUUUUCCCAAUUUUUUGAAUCUGAUUGACUGAAAGUAAUAAACAGGGGUCAAGGUGGAAGGAAUCUUGCGGCAAGCUGCAGCUGUUGAUGAUGUUAAGCAUCGAAUUCGGGAAUAUGAACAAGGUUUGUUUACCAAUUUUAGUUUUUCCCUGACUGCAGAUGAUGCAAGUUAUCUUUUGUCACAUUUCACAUUUUAAAUCAAUUUAAAGUUUAAUGUUUACAUAUUCUUUUCCUUGAAACAUUUAACAAGUACUUCCAAGAAGUAAAUUGUUGAGAUCAUAUUUAAUUAGUAAAGCUUUAUUUGCUUAUGUUGUAUAGAUAUAUAAGGCUGUUGCAUCAUAUUGUAAAUUUCGUUUGUUACUCUUUUAUAUUUUAAAUGUUCUGGAUCAUGCUUUAUCAUAUAGGAAAAACAGAGUUCGCUGCAGACGAAGACGCACAUGUGAUUGGUGAUUGUGUCAAGGUAUUUCCUUUUCAGUCAAAAGAAAUGAAGUUGAGAGCAUUUUGUUUAACCUUUUUAUUUAAUAUUCUUGCAAUUUUCCAGUAUUUCCUCCGUGAGUUGCCAUCGUCUCCAGUCCCUGCAUCUUGCUGCAAUGCACUGCUACAAUCAUUUCGUAAGUCUAUAUUGAAGUGUGUAUUUUAUUAUUGUCAUCUGAUACUAUGUUGCUUUAUGUAUUAAUUUACUUACUAUUAUAUGACAAUGCAAUUUGGAACUGCCAAAGUGCACUUUCAAUUGAUAAAUUUAUACAUUCAUUUAUUCUUUAUUCAUUUUGCAUAGAAAACUUGUAGAAUCACAAAUCUUAUUUGGAGAGUAACGUUUUUUCUUCCAAAAAUAUAAUUUUACUUCUGAUGAUUUCAAUCACUUUUCAAGAUUGAGAGGGAUUUAGUUCUCUUGUUGGUCAAAUUAAAUAGAAUAUAAGGCGAUGUUUAUAAUUUUGUGAAGUAAUAAACUAUGUUGGACAAUGUAAAUCAAAAGGAUUCCUAUAUUGCAUGGCUUUUGUAUGCACUGUUCAAAAAUAAUUUCUGUAAUAUUCAAUGCCAUUGGUAAGUGGAAUACAAGUUUGUGUAAGAGUUAUGCACAUUAAAGCAUAAAAUCCAUAAAUAUAACUGUUCUCUUUUAGAUAAAUAUUUUAAUAUAUAGUAGGUGAUCAGGUUAAGGUUUUACAACAAUUGGAUUUUUCAAGCUAGUUUUGGAAGGAAGCAUUUGCCUAGAUGGUAUUUCUGAAUCAAUAGUAACAGUUCAUGAUUUAAAAAUCCAUGACGAGAUUUGAUCCAUAGCCUACCUUGCACAAAUUUGAUCUGCUUUUCUUGGAUAUGAGACUAAGCUAAAGAAUCUGGUCAAAGACUGGAAUCUUAAUGACUUUGUGUUGGUAACUUGUGAUAGUGAUAGGAAACACAAUGAAAACGGAGUGCUGGAAAUUUGUGAUGAUAUAUACCUUAAGCAUUUGAGAUAUUAAGCUGACAUUCUUGCUGUAUAAAGUUGUAAUCCUCUUAAAAAGUUCAGUGGAAAUUAGUCAAGGAAAUUGGUUCUGAUGUUGUUCAUAUGCCAGUACAUUUGGAUGUUUUCAGUUCACUACGUAGUUUUUUAAUGCAUGUUUUCCCUAUAUUUGACAAUUUCAAUGUUUAGGAACUGACCGUGCCAACCGAGUUAAUAACAUGCGAGUAGCAAUAUUAGAGAACUUCCCUGAGCCAAAUCGUCGCUUGUUACAAAGGUAUUUGAUGUCUCCUUUGUCUGUUAUAGGGUAUGUGGAUAUUCUGACAUAUACCUUAAAGCAUCUGUAAGUUUUCUUCAUUACUUUGUGUAUUUUGGUUUCCCUCCCAUCUUUGCUUGGGUUUUUCUCAGAUAAUUUUGACAUGCCACUCUUUAUUUCUCUAUCUGCAACCACAUGGUCUCAUAUUGGACCUUGAAAGAUUCAUAAAUUCAUACCUAUGGUUUCUUAGGGUAGAGCAAAAGAAAUAAGUGCUGAAGUUAGUCACAUCACAUGAAAUAUCUCUAGUGGCAGUCAAAAUUCUUUGCAAUGCCUAUGACCAAUAGGAAACUGAAAACUAAAGUAAAGAUCUAUUUGUCCUUUUUGUUGUAUUUUCACAAGAACUGUAAUGUGGAAUAUGGAAGGUGUGUGCUCUAAAUAUUCCUUUUCUUAUUAAUUUAAGCUUUUUCAAAUGAUAAUUUUAAAUUAUACAUAAUUUUAGCCAUUUGAAUUAAGAAUCUGCACUCUGUAGACUAGAAUAUCUCAUCCAUUUAUGGAAUCAGGAAUGAACAUGGUAAUGUCUUCACUUUACCAAAUUUUUUCCCCAUGCAGAAUAUACUUCUUUUUCCCGCUUAAGUUUUGCUCUCUGCUGUAACUACGUUUUUGAUUUUAAAUAAUUAUCUCACUUUUCUGUGCGUUUAGAAUUCUAUUGAUGAUGCAAACUGUGGCCUCCCACAAAGCUGUGAAUCGAAUGAGCACUUCAGCUGUUGCUGCAUGUAUGGCACCUUUACUUCUUCGUCCCCUUCUAGCCGGUGACUGUGAAAUUGAAAAUGAUUUUGAUGUGGGAGGUGAUGGUUCCAUGCAACUUCUACAAGCAGCUGCUGCAGCUAAUCAUGCUCAAGCCAUUGUUAUAACAUUACUGGAGGAGUAUGAUAAGAUAUUCAGUGUAGGCUGUGAUUCUCUCCUUUUAUUUUGAAUUGCUUCUGAUAUGACAUUAUCAAUCUAACAUCAAAAGCAUACUGAUGUCUAAAUUUGAAUUAUGUUUAUAAUGUUUUGGAGUAUAAAAUGAUUACGGAUAGACAAAUGGAAUUUGGAGGGGAUGACAAGUUAAACUUAAUAGAUUUCUCAUUUUCCUCUUCACAUGAAGUCAUUAAUGGCUCUGAAGUCCAUUUUCAGAUGGAAAAUGGUGCUAACAUCUUCCUGAUUUGCAGUUUCAGUUUUAGCUGCAAUUACCCCAUAUUGUAUGUUCUUCUACUUGGGUAGUAAAAAUAAAAUAUUAGUAUAAAUGCUUGAAAAACUAUAUGAUAACUUUAUAGUGCAAUAAAAUGUGAAUUUGUGAUAUUCUAGUUGUAAUAAUGAACUAAUUAGUAAAGAAAUCAAAAUGUUGAAUUUCAAGAAUGAUGGUAUAGCUUCAUCUAAAAUUAUUUUCCACUUCGUACUUUUUCUGAGUUAAUAUAGCUUCUUCAGGAAGGUGGUGAUGUGUCCCCUGGAAUAUACUCUGACUCAGAAGAGUGUGGAAGUGAUGAUGAGGAGGUAACGGAUGAUGAUGAGUCCUAUGAAGAUGAUGAACCUGAUGAUGCAUCCCAAGAAUCUGAUGCUUACACAGAUGAUGGUCAUAACAAUGCAACUGGAUCUGAGAGUGGUUCCGGUGACAAUCUGCCUGGCAAAAAGGUCCGUCAGCUGUACUUUCUAGCAUAAACAUUAUUUCUGUACUAUAGACGUGGAAAUGUGGUUUGCACUGAGAGUGGUUGUAUUUGGCUGCUAUAGAAAAUAAAGGUGCAGAUUACUUACCCUAGCUGCUUCAAAGAUGCAGGAUUGCCAAGAUAUUAGCUGUGGUUCCAAGCCCCAUGAAGUGGCUAAUGAUUCUAUAGUCACUCUGGAGUCCUUAAGUGUAGUUCCAACAUCAUUACCUUCACAUAGUGAUGUACAGAGGAGCGAGAAUGUUCUGGGCCAAAGUAAUAUUAAUGUGGCAAUGCGUACAAUUGAGUCUGAUGAAUUAUUCAGAGAUUUUCCUAGGGAAACUACUUUGGAGAAUAAGCAAACAAAUGAUCGACAUUCAUGCAUUGGAAAAUCUGUGAGCAUGUCUAAUGAACUUGCACACAACACUAAACCUGCAACUUGGGGGCGUAUCACUGUGAGUAUGUUUUCUCUAUGCAUCUAUGUUUGGGCAUUUCAGAAUCAAUAAUUUCCUCCCCGCCUAGCAUUCAUCCACUUUCUUGUUCUCCCUUUUGCAAAAGGAAUAUGGGAAAUUGGAUUGCAUAUUUUAUCAUUUUUCCUGUUACCAAAGAAUACUAUUUUUCACAAUGAUUAGCUAUUUUGAUACGAGAGUAUAAUUUUUUUUCUUUUUUUUUGUUUUAUAUUUAUUUUUGGACAUGGAUUCAGGCAAAGAAGAACCUUUCUAUGGAAUCCAUUGAUUACCCUUUAGAUGAUGAGUAAGUUCUCCCUGUUUCAUAUAUAUCAUGCAUAUUUUAUGUUCAUAUUAGCCCCUUGACACCAUUAACUGUGUAUGCGAAACUUAUUUUGUUUCAAUUUUUUAGUUGAGGGGUAAAUCUGGAAUGUCAGAUAACUCUUGCUCUAAACAUGAUUCAAGCAAGACUUGCAUGCAUGAGAGAAAGAAAAGUAGGCAUAAUAUGGAGCAAUUUUUAAGACUUAAAUACUAGGAGGAAGAUGUUUUUCCCCUGAUAUCCAUCUUCUCAUUCCUUUUACAUAAUCAAAACGACCACUAUAUUCUGAGGAAAUAUGCUGCGAUUGAUGUAUGAAAAAUAUUUUAGGAUUUUUCUUUUUGAGAAUUUUCAAAAUCCUAGUUUUUCUCCUUUCUGUGGUAUCUUUGUUGGAGUGCAUGUUCCAUUUCCUUUUUGUCAAUUGGUUUCCUAUGGUAGCAGACUGCAAACAGAAGCUCUAGAUGUCAAUUCUUAAACUCCUCUUUUCAAAUCUAAAGUUAACCUUCUUUUUCCUGACGAACUCUAUAAUUAUCAAGCUCGAUUACUUUUUGGAUUGUAAAAUAUGCAAGUUCCUUCAUGAUUACUGAUUAUAGUUAGGUACCUCUCACUUUAUCCUGAACUCUGUAAUUAUCAAGCUCAAUUACAUUUUGAAUGUGUAAUUUCCUUCAUAGUUAGGUGCCCCUCACUUUAUGCUGUAGCUUUGAACAGUUUGACAUGGAUGCUUGUAGUUCCAGCAUCAAUAGUUCAUCCAUCUUCUUGGAGGAUAAGGAUAUAGAAACUUUAAAAAAUGCGUCAUGUUUUUAUUCUUGUUGCAGAUUUUUUGUUCCAAAAAAAAAAAAAAAAAGAAAUAUUUGGAAAUUCCAUGACACCUUUCUUUAAGCAGUGUAGACAGAUACUAGUUGGACUCCUGGUUACUUCCAUCUGACUUUUUGACCUGAAUGUAGAGAUGAAAUCCAAAAGCUGGAGGCGACUAAAACUGACUUGCAACACAGAAUUUAUGAAGAGGUGCAUACUUCAGAUGAUGCUCUUUUUUAGUUAAGAGGGAAGUCUUCUGGGAUUUUUUUGACAAUAAUUCACUCUGUUUUCCUUACAGGUUAAAGGUAACGCUGUUCUUCAAGCCAACUUGGAAGAACGAAAGAAGGCCUUGCACGAGCGCCGUCUAGCUCUUGAGCAAGAAGUACGUUCCAUAUGGGAGAGUUAUGCUUUUCUUUUUGUUGUUAUAAUGAUUUUGCCUUUGUUCCCUCCUUAGCUUACUGUACAAGGAUAUUUUUGUUGUCUAAGCAAGCUGAGGUGCCUGCUGAAAUUCUCUUCCCCCCCCCCCCCCACCAAAAAAAUUUUUUUUUUUUUUCUUCCCUUCUUUGCAGGCUUGGUAGGAGAUGUGGGAAGGGGAAUGGAUUAAUUAGUUAUACUUUGCUUGAUAUUUUUUAUCAUGAAGGAACUAGGAAACCGUCAUAGUCACGCUACAUAGAAAGAAGAAAAUUAUAGGUUAUUUAAGUGAGAAUAUCAUGAUCAGUAUAUUUCUACUGCAUGAUUUUGUUAUGCUUUUGUUUCCUUCUUCGAUAAGUGAUGCUACGACAAACAUGCCUUACAUUGUGAAAGAACCUACGCGGAAGAAGAAAACCUUUGUGAUUUUUAGUAACUUGUUUACGUUUUCAGCAUGACUUGAAUUUAAGUUGUGGUGACUGAAUUUCAGUAAUUUAGAAGAUACUUAGGUGAACGCAAAGAGAUGCAAAAAAUUGAAUCUUUAUGUUGAUGCCUGGAAUAUGGCACUCAUAGUUUCAUGUAUCUUUACUGUCUUAUUGUUGUUGUUUUCUCACAUAUUUAUAGUUGCUUCUGAGUUUUCAUCAAGUAAAUUCUAUGGACUUUGUUGAAAUGGUUUUAGAGUUUUUCCAAUAUAAUGCUACAACUGGCAAAGGUGCAAUUGUCAUUGUAGAUGUUAAAUGUAUUUGCAGGUGGCAAGAUUACAGGAAGAGCUGCAAAGGGAGAGAGAUAAGAGAACAGCUCUGGAAGCAGGACUUCACAAAUCUCAGGCACACCAACCUGUUCCUGUUAACAUUGAUGAGAAAGUUAGUCCAGCUUUGUUAAGUGCUAAUUAUAAUUUGGCUUCAACAAAUUAUUAAUUUUGCAAAAUGUGCUAUAGUUGAAGGCUGACCUUGAGGAAGUAAGUCAAGCAGAGUCAGAAGUCACCAAUUUGAAACUGGUGGUGGAUGACCUGAGUGUGCAGCUGAUUCAACAACGUGAGCUAAAUUAUGGUUCUACACUUGAUUCAAGCAUUCAGCCUGUGUACACUUCAAACAGGUGAUCUAUAUACAAAACCUUCUUACUUCUUCUUCAAACAGGUGUUGUCUGUCUAUGCUGAUUCUUUUAGAAACACAGAAAAUUAAAAAUGUAUAUAUUUAGUGUCUAUGCGAAUGGAAGUUGGUGUUGCUCAGGAUAACAUAGUUUGAUUGCAGGAAAGAUAAGCAGAGAGAUACUGAAGCUAUUACUACUUCACAGCUUGGAAGGUCAGCAAAUAAGGUAGCUGCCACUUGGCAUUUAAUGUAUAUAUUGUUGACAAGUCAAAUUAGACUUUAGUUAAAAGAUGGCAUCUCUUUUAGUCAAUUCUGGAUAAUUUUGACUUAUAACAGAUAUCGUAAGGCUAAUUUGUUAUUUGGUAUCUGUUAUUAGCUUCCUCAUUUCUUCUUGUGUUACUCACAUCUUAAAGCACUAGUUAGAUUCCAUCAGUUUUUGCUUUUAUGGUUUAAUUUUCUGAAACAUGACACUAGUGGUUACAAAUCCUAAUUUGGCCAAUUUUGGCCAUGUUCACAAAGGAUAUUGCUAGUACAUGAGACUCUUCACUUUGGAACGUUUGUUAGACAAUUGUCUAUCAUAUGCAGCCUUUCCACUGCUGCCUUGAAGAGUGCCUGGCAUUGUUUAAGCUAGUAUGCCUUGUGAUUGGUUUAAUUAGAUCGCUAAUAAGCAAAAAGAAGCUGAAACUGAAAUAAAUAAAUAGAAAUUAAAAACUUCAAAUGAAGCUAGCAUACCUGUUAACUAGCACAGCUCUUGCCAAUGUAAAUUCUCUAUUAACGUGCAUUAAUUAACGGUGGGCUUUGGUUAUGACAGGAUACCAGUGCAGAUGACUCUUUUAGUUCACCAAACAAGUAUUCAUCUCACAGUCAGCAUCCAGAUCCAGUUCGUAGCAGCACCAACUCCAGGUCUUCAUCCAGUUCCAAGAAGUCUGGCUUAAGACCUGAGGUAAGCCAUUAAACUUUAUAAUUUUGUUGGAGUGGGGGGAAGAAGCAUCAUUUCAAGGGGGAAAAAAAAUCAAACUAAUGUCUUGGUGGUUCGGGUGUAAGAUAUUGUGUAUGCAAGUUGGAUUUCUGAAUCUUCUAGCAUACAAGUUCUCUACUUUCUCGCAGAACCAUGAAAGUAAUUUGCUUAUUUCAAGUUGCCAAAUUGGCCUGAAACAACUCCACAUUUUACUUUCAUGGAAACCCCUUAGUUCUAGUAUAAUCAUGCUUCUUGCCACGCCUGUGUGCAAAACAGGGAGUGAUUUCCACUACUUCUGCGCUGACAAAGUUGACAACCCGACUCAAUUUUCUGAAGGAGCGGCGCAGCCAGCUUACAAAUGAGAUCAUAGAUAAAGGCCGUUCAGGUCCUGCAGCUCCAACUCCUAAUAAAGUUAUAGGCCCGGAAGUCCGUCAAUUACCCCAAGUCCCAGACAAGAGCCAAGUUUCAGAAGUUCAAAAUCCAGAAAAGGGUAGAGGCGCAGAGAGCUCUCAAUAUCCCCUGAACCCAGAGAAAGGGUUGGGUAUAGAAGGUCAAUCACAUAAAAAUUUUGAAAAAUCUAAAAGAUCAGGUAGUCACUUAGACGGAGGAAAAUCUUUGGAAAGUCCAGACAAAGGAAGACCUGAAGGCCAUUCUAGCAAAUCUAAAGGAUCAGGAAGCCAACCUCUAGCAACUCCACGAACCAACUCCAGAUGAUACUAACUUUAUGAUUCAUUGUUUUUAUGUAGCACAUUGUUUAUAUCCUACCUUAGCAAUUUAAAUGAGAUUGAUCAUGGCACUUGGAAAAUGAAGAAGCUUGUGGGAUAGCAUGUUUGUUGGAGGUACUUGAUGGCUAUACUGAAAGAUGUUCAAAAGUCCUGACACCCCCCUGAUAACCCAGGUUGUACAUAUCAAUCAUCUCCUUGAUGUAAGUUGAGAUGCAUUAGCUGAAUUGUAUUUAAGUUAGCUUCUGAUUUUUUGCUGGUUCAGAUUUGAAGCAGGAUUCUGUUAACAUCAUUUUUGUAUUUUGGAUAAAUGCAAAUUUAAUGUAAAUUGGAGUUGUUUAGCCAGGCUCUUACAGGACCUGGGGUCAAGCCUCCACUUAGCAAAAUCAGUUGCAUCUCAUCAUUUUUGGAACUGGUUACUUAAUUUUAGCAAUUCAAUAAUGAAACUGGCUGCCGUUUGGAAAGCCUUAUUGACCCCCUAUUCAUUAAUGCAAUACGUUUUUUUGCACUGACCAAUUUCUCUAGUGGAGGGCCCCAGCAGUUAGUGCCUUCUUGCCGCAAAUUGCACAGUUUCAUGCACUAAACACCUAAUGCUACUGCCCUAGGUCACAAAAUUCUCGGGCAAUUCAAUUAAAACAGUCACCAUUCAACGCAAUAUGCGACAAGUCAGAUUCUUGAUUUAAAAGGAGAUCGAAGAAUUCUUAUUAUUGUCAAUAAUAAUUUAAUAGCUAAAUGGAAAAUGCAUAUUAAUUUCUCAAAUAAGCCUCAAAACAAUAAUUAAUUAUUACUAAUUUGUCGCGUCAUCAUCAAAUUUGAUUAGAAAUCCUUGAGCAAUUUUCUCACUUGCUCGAGAGUCACAAAUAGAACUACAGUGAAAGGCCCCUGCCUUGAAAUCGUAGGUAUAAAUCCUUUGUAAAGGGACAUAAUCCCUUCAGCUCUCACUGUCUUCAUUGCACAAUCAAUGGCUCCAUUAUACGGUGGGGCCUUUCCUGGCUCAACCUUCAUGUUCAUAACCCUAGUCUUGAUCACAUCCACCGGAUUUGACGCAACGGCCGCCACAAACCCUGCCGCGAAGCUUGCCGUCACGUGCGUUCCCAGCCCGUCCCUCAUCACACCAUUUUCCAAAAUCGCUUCUUUGAUCUGAUCGUACGACGCCAGUUGCGACGCCGUCACGAUCAUCGCACGGUUCACCGUCAAGGAAGACCCGCGCCAUAGGCUUGUGACUCCUUCCUGCUUCGACAUUCGCGUGAUGGCGUCAAUCACUCCGUUGUAGUUACGCCGCUGAGCAAGAGGAAGACGUCCAUCGGCUUGCAUCCUCACCAUCGCCACGUCGGCAGGGUUACCAACUGCCGCACCAAUUCCUCCGGCGAUUAAUCCUGCGGUGAUCUUACUCACUAGCGGCAUGUUUCCGGUAUCUGGAUUACUCCAUUUCUUUUUAAGAACAUCGUAGAGGCCCAUUCGAGUAGUGGAAUAGAGUGUCUGACGAAGAACAGUAGCUGAAACGCCGGAAAACAAAGCAGCAACACCUUCAGAUUGGACAAUGCGAAUACCAACAGAGACAGGGCCAACACGUGGCGGCCUCGAAGGCACAUGGAUUGAAUUAGGAGGAAUGACGGCAGCAGAAGUAGAAGAAUUGAAGGCAAAAGCAGGGCGGAGAUUGUGGAGCUGCGGCUGUGGAUUUGGCAAGCUCUCGCCUUGAAGUUGCAUGCGGACCUUAAUCAGAUCCAGAGGAUGAGUAGAGCAGCCAGCAAUAAUCGAAGCAAUCCCACCUUCAACGAAACCUUUGGCACCCAUGGUUAGUAGCUCUCUUUCUCUUUACUCCUCUCUACUUUUUUGAGUUAAAAAUCAAAAAAUAAACCAAUAUUGUGUCAAAAAAAAUUCUAAAAAAAUAAAUCAAAACUAUAACCAGUUGGGUUUCAAGUCACUGGAAACGAGAAGAUGAGAGUGGACGCUAAAAGCUAUAGAAGAAGAGUGAGGGACUGUAGGCCUCUGAGACAUAUGCUAGAGAAAAUAGGGCAAAGAGCUACAAAAGGAUUUGAAGAGAAGGAUGUUUUCGAAAGAAGAGAGUUUAGCGAGAAUAUAUAGGGGUGCAAUUGGUGCAGGCGAAAGGGAAAGGAAAGUGUUGAAGAAGAAUAGAGUAGGGUGCGUAGAAGUGGCGGAGAUACGCGGUUAUGUUGGGGUCCAUGUUUUCAUGUUUGAUGCCCUAAAUUUAGGAAUGAGAGGCGAGUGGACCGGUUCUUUUGCUUUUCCAUCAGUAUUUUAUAAAUUUUAUUUCCCAGUUGUUAGCGUCCUCGGCCUGACUUUGACGCUACUUUUGGACUUCAGGUUAUAUCUGCUAACCCUCCUAAUUUGUUUUUUUCCCACUUUUUUCCCACCUUAUUGGAGUUUCGAGCACUUUUGUCUAUAAAAUUCUACUCCCUUCGCCAAAUACAAGUUGUGUUAAGAUGAUUUUUUUUAAUAUGAAUAUAAAUUAUUUUAAAAAUAUAUGAAAUUAAUUAUAUUUUUUAAAAAUUUUACUCUUAUUUAUAUUAAAUACAAUAAUUAAGGAUUGAGUAAAUUAUUUUUUAAUUAAUGUUUAUUUAAUGAGACAAAAUUCAAUGCGUAUACUUUUUAUAAGACUGAAAUUGAAAUAAAAUAAUUAAUAUUAUACUUUAAUAUUUCAAAAAAUGUCAUUAAAUGAAAAAAAACUGUUAAAUUUAAACAAAUUAUUUUUCAGAGAGAAAAAUACAAGAAAAAAAAAGUGCUUGUAUUCUAGUACUAUCUCUAUUUUAUAAUAUUUAUCACAUUUGAGAAAGUAAUUUAUUUUAAAAUAUUUGUGACAUUUGUGAUUCAAAAGAGUAAUAAAUAUUUUUUUUCUUAUUUAUUCUUUAUAUAAUAACAAUAAUUAUCAUUUCAAUUUAAUGAUUUUCUAAAAAAAUUAAUAUAAAAUUAAAAAUAAUAUAAUUAAUUUACUUAAUAAUUUAUUAUAAUUUAAAUAAAUUAAAUAAUUAUUAUAAGGGACGAAAAAUUUAAAACAUGGAAGCUAUUGUGAACCUGUAUCGGUCUGAUUGGACAGAAGAAAACGCGCUAAGCUGGCUAACUUAUUUAUUGCUGUCCGAAAAAGGUCUUUUCGACUUUGAGUCCGCAACUGCAACCAACCAUUUGCCAACUAAACUCCUUAAUUAUCGAGAGACAAAUAUUAUUUAUUUAGAAAAAAAGGAAAGAAAGAAGAAGAAUAAUAAUGUUUGCAAUUGCUUAAUAACAAACAUAUUUGUGAUUCUUAUGAUAAUAAUUCUUUUUCUUGAAAAAAUCUCCGGAUAAUAGUAUUUUGAAAUAAUUUAAUACAGAAACUUCCACAUAUUUAAUAUAUACAUAUAUAUAUAUAUAUGCUCACAGCAAUUUGAAACAUUGAAUCCGUCUCGUAUGAUAUGCACAAAAGAAUAUAUAAAAAUUUCUGAAUAGUGGAGAAGCAUCAAAUCAACAAUAAAUUACUGAUACGAAGCUUUUAUACGGGGGAGGCUUAAUUGAGGGAGAAAAAGGAGAUGUAGCCAAAUUUCCUAUCUAAUUAAGCCUCAUAUAAGUCAUGAGUCAUGAUCAUGGUUGCCUCCCAUUUGCCCAAAUGGUAUUUGUCACUUGACUUCUUUAACCCACUAUCAUCUAACUCAACACGUUUUUGUUUUUGUUUUUGGGUCAAUGCAUCAAAUUGCUUUAAAGCUUUAGCGUUUUAUUUUUUUGGCAUUCUAAAGUUUUUCAGUAAUUUAUUAUUAUUAUUAUUAUUAUUAUUAUUAUUUUAUAAUAAUAAGCACCUUGAAUCGCAGUCUUUAAAUUUAUUACUAAAAAUUGUUAUCUUUUAACUUUAAUUUUUAAAUUAUUAUUAAACUAUCUUUGUUACAUAAUACUUGUUAUUUUUUAGAAAAAAUUUGCAAGCUUACAUUUAAAAAAAAAAAAUUUAGAAAUCAAUUAGAUUUUCUCUCGUUCAACUAAAUAGUUUUUCUAUUAAUAUUUUGCUGAAUUCUGAUUUGUCAACUAAAGAAAGUCACAAAAUACUUUUGUUUCAAUUUCGUCCUUGCAGUAAAGCUGUCAAGUUUUAUUAUUAAAGUUUUCGAUAAUAAUUUAAUUUGAACAUAUAAUAUUUUGUUGUUUCUAAUGAAUUUCUAUUAAUAAAUUAGGAUUAAUAUUUCAGGUUCUAUUAAGAGCAAGACUGAUAUUUCAUCGCAAUUUAACAAAAAAAAAAAAUCAUAAUAACAAAAAAGACUAUAAGUUCAAUAAUCAACAUGAUGAAGGGACUUCCUAAUUAUUAUUAUUUAAAAAAAAAAAAAAAAAGAUCCUAACUUUUGAAAUUUAUAUAGUAAUCACAAGAACAAAUUGUUACCGUGUCUUCGCAUGAGAAAGUCAGACAGAGGAACAGAGCAGCCCUUAAUUGCUUGUCUUGAUUUUUCUUCGUUUCGCCCAUUGUUAGUCUAUUACCAUGGACAGCCCAAAUUCAUGGGCUUACAGCCUGUAUAUUUUAGGACCUCAUUAAGGGCCCGCAAAUUGGUUAUAACCCCACGCUAGCUACAAGCAUGGCACGUUGGCCAUUGGGUUUGAAAUUUAGUAGAAUUCUAAUCGUCAUUAUUCAAAUCAAUUUUGUAUUUCCUUUUCUUUUUAUGUUGGCUUGAACUAAACAGAUAGAAGUGUUGUUUUCACUUUUUAGCAUGAAGGAUUAAGAUUUUUAAUUGUGAGAGUUAAACUUAAGAAUUCACUUUUUCUAAAUAAUUUUACCUUUACUGUUAUAAAAAAAAAAAACAAUAGUCACCAUAUUAAGGAAAUCGUAUAAAUUUAUUAAUUUAUAAUGUUUAUUUAUUUGAAGAAUAAUGAUGUACUCUGAAAUUAUUAUUAUUAUUAUUAUUUUCUCCGUGAAAGCGAUUGUGGUAUAUAUUUGUAGCCAUCUUAAUACCAUAUCAUGAUGAUAUGUCAUAUUGAGAAUCCUAAUUUCCAACUAAUAUGAAUAUGUAUGUAUCGACUAAUUAAAAUCGUUAAUAAGCAUUGGCAACCGAAACUCGCUGUAAUUUAUUAUAAAAAUAAAUAAAACACAUUCUUUCAAGAGAGAAAUCUGCAGUAACAAAAACUUAACAAUGGCUGAACACAAUUCUCGUAGGGCCAACCGUUCUCUCCCAAAAACAAAACAAAGCAAAGCUUCACGUGUCCUUCCCUCUUUCCCUUAUAUUUCUUUCUCAUUCUCAUUAACCCUAGGGCCUCUCAUCCCCAUAAAAAUCUCCUGCAAACAAAAACUGAAAAUUAUUAUAUUUGUAAGCAAAGCAGGAAACACAAAGUCUCUUUCUUUGUCCCUAACAUCAAACGGAAAUUAUUGACAACAAAAAUCACCAAAUUUUGGUCGGAAAAUCAAGAAAUGGAGCUUCAACAGUUAAUGCACCUCAUUUUGCUCUGGUAUACUAUGCAAACUACCCGUUUGGUCCUUGUGAGUGGAAAUCACACUGCCGCUAGUUUACGUUCUCGCUGAGUCAUUUCCUUUUCCUCUUCCUCUUCCAUCCUUAUUUUCUUCCUUUCCCUCUGUAAAGAAAUAAAAAGAUUUCUUUAGUAUUUCCUUUUCUUUUUACACAUAUAGGCAUUUCUUAGAAACAAUAAAAUUAUUCUAUUUGUAUAAACAUGUCUAUUCAACUUCAACAGGAGUUCCAAUCUUCUAAAUGUCUCAUUAAAAUGAAGGCCUUGCCUUCAACUUGCUCGAAUGGUGAUACGUACUUGAUCAUCAAGCUUCCUCAUUCCAGACUUUUGAAACUUUUCGCUCGAUUAAUUGUUUUGGCUUUCAUUUUUGUUUCGUUCCCAUUGUUUGGAAACAUAUUUGGUCUCCAUUUUCCUUCAUUGUCUCUACCAACAGUUAUUCAGCCUGCAAAACUUAAUCCACUACAUCUUGAUCUCUUGCCUUCCCUUUCCCGUGAUUUAGCAAAUGAAGGCCUUAUUAAAACCGGUGAUAAAGCUGUAUUUAUAAGCAAUGGCGACGGUGGUGAUGAUGCCAUUUAUAGUUCUCAGAUCCUAAAUGAUAAUUAUAAUGUGGAUUUUAUCUCCAUUUCUGAACUAGAUAAGGAAACCAUAAUUUCUAAUGAAUCUUUGGAUUUUGCUAUUAUCUAUAGCUUCAAUGUUGUUCAAGAAUCUCAAGAAUUCAUUGAUCGGGCCCUCAAAAUUGGUGGUAUAUCAGUUAUUCGAUUAAUCCAUCAUGAUCCUUCAUUUGUAUUCAAUAAACCAUAUAAUUACAAACUAGUCUAUAUCAGGAGGUUUCAAUCGACCAUUGUUAUAGCUCUGAGGAAAACAGCUUUCUCUAGUCAUAAUCAUAUAGAUUUCAGCUCACAAAGAAAACUCUUUGCAUAUAGAAGUGAAGCAAGACACGCAGCACUUAACAACCUAGAAGAUGUACUCUUAGAACCACCGCGAUCAGCUUCAGGAAAGUCAAGUAGAUACUUAAAGAAAACGAGGUAUCUACCGGAUUUAUUAGGUGAUUCACUAGAAGGAUAUCCACGGCGUGUGUUUAUCGAUGUAGGUUUGCCGGAGAAGGAAGGAGGAAGUGGCACUGGAUGGUUUGCGAAGAACUAUCCAACAAGAAAUCUUGAUUUUGAGGUGUAUAAAAUCGAGACUUUACCGGAGUCUUGGCCGGGGAAGGAGUUGCCUCAAGUGGAAGAAAUAGGGAUGUCUGGUUGGUUAAGAAAGAAUGUGAAGGAAGAAGAUUAUGUGGUUAUGAAGGCAGAGGCAGAAGUUGUAGAGGAGAUGAUGAAGAGUAAGGCAAUAAGGUUGGUCGAUGAAUUAUUUAUGGAAUGUAAGCCAAGAGGCCAUGGAGGUAAAGGUAAUAACUGUGGAGGUAGAAGGGCUUAUUGGGAAUGUUUGGCUUUGUAUGGAAGAUUACGAGAUGAAGGUAUUGGAGUGCAUCAAUGGUGGGGUUAAGAGAGACAAAAUCUCUUCUUUUACAUUCCCAUUUGCAAUUAUUAUUAUAAUUGUUAGGACUAUUCAUAUGAGAUUGAAUUGGGACAGUCUAAAUUUAUUAGCUAUUUUAUUUAUCUUUUCAAAAAAUUACUGUAAAAAAUUAAUAACAAAGAUGGUUAUUAAUUAACAAAAUUUUGUACAAUUUUUAUUAGUUAACAUUAGUACUAAGAAAAAGGAGAAUAUUUUAGAGUUAUUUAGCAGAUAUUGUUAACACGUGAAUUCAUUAAUAUAGUGUUUGAACUCGUUGACACAUGAAUUUAUUAACAUAACGUUUGAACUAGUGAUAGCAAGUUAAUCCAUAUAACCUACUCAAAUAGUUAGUACUACUUAAAAAACUAAAUGCUACUAAAACAGUUAAUAAUUAUUAAAUCAAUUAAUUUUGCUAAGAUGUUGGAAUUGCGCAUAAGAAUUGCUCCUUUUAUAUGGAUGAAUAAAUAGAACAUAAUAAGUAUAAUUAGCUAAUAAAUAAAACUGAAAUUUAAGAUAUAAACAUCACAUAACACAAUCUUAUAAAAAGGGGCUACAGGACUUUUCCUAUUUAUUAAAUCCACAACCUAUCUUACAGAUAAUUGGGAAACAUAAUUAAUUUUAGCAAACUAAAAAAAGGGAAAAAAAAAAAAAAAAAAAAAGAUACAAAUAAGAUAAAACCUAAUUGCAUAGCUCGCGAGCAAUUCCUAAGCGAGAAUUAGGCACAUCAAACAAGAUCCUAAGGUUCUGUUGUUGCAAAUUGGCUAUAACAUUAAGCACUGAGUUCACAUUAUUUGGCGCUGCAGCCAUAGCCAAGCAAGCCAGUGAGCCUGCACUGCUAUGUAUUAAGCUGUUCUCCAUAGGCAAAACCAAAUUUAGGCCUGUGAAAUGUAGAGUUAUGGCUGGAGCUAAUGCUUCAUUUGUUGCUGUAAAACACGUAUCAAAUGCUCCUAAAGACGAAAAUGGGCCUUUCACUUGUUUCCUAAACUCAUCCCUGAUUGCUGUAUAAAUGGGCUCAAUGAAUCGGGUUAUAACCGUACCUGAAUCAAUAAUGGUUCCAGCUCCCGUAUUCGGGUCAAAUUUUAGAAGCUCUGGGGCAAUGUGUACAUAAACCCGGCCUACGCUAACUCCGGUUAAGUUUACGUAGUAUAAUGAUGGCCGGUGUGGGUUUCGUAGAAGUGGGGUGGUUCUAAUGGCCCUGGGCUGACCCACUGGACCGAGUUUGAGUGAACCCGAGAAGUAAUAGGAUCUGAAACUGGGUAAACAAUAUGAAAAUACACCCGAAUAAAGGGAACUGGAUUGAGAAAGAAGUGAUAAGGAUCCACGGCCCAAACCCAAUAACCCUUGAGGAGGAACUGACCCACCCGAGACAGAGUUUAUGCAUCCAAAAAGAAAAUUGGGGACUACAUCCUUGGCUAAUGAUAACGAAUCUUGCACUAGUGAUGCUGUAAAGGAUGAAUCUCCACCGUAGGAUUGGUUGAAAAGGCAGUAAGAGGUUCCGGUAUCCGGGCAUGAAAAUCCACGGACUUGGGUACAUUGGGCCAUGGAGCAAUCCAAUGACCCGUAAGUAGAAGAGAUAUUUGUAAUGAAUGUGGUGGAGGAGCAACCAGUGCAACCGGAGCAGGGUACCCAAGCAGCAUCAUUACUAGUGUCUAAGACCAUAUUCAUAACUUGACCCGGAGUACCCAAUUUAACCCGAACCACAUAGUUACCAAUGUUUAGAACUUGUUGACCUGGAGCAAUAGGUACAGCGGUGGUCAUUUGGGCUUGUAGACUUGACAAGUACUUUAGCCGUUGUGGGUCUUUAGUGGCCAUGUUAAUGACUGUAUUAAGCAAUGAGGUCUCCUGCUUAUGUGGGUUAAAAGGUGAGCAUUUGCUAUAGAUGGGUAUAAUUGAAAGAUCCGACUCAUCUGCUUGAGAGGCACAUGAGUCAACAAGAGCUCUUGUGCUUGAAAUCAGAAGAGCAAAUAAGAGAAAUCUGGUAAAAGUUGCAGAGUCCAUAGCUUGGAGUGGACUCUCCAAAUUUGGAAAAAGGGCUCUUGCUUUGCUUAGUUAUUGCAAUUGUAGUAUGUGCAUGGAGACAUUAUAUAUACGAAGACGAAGGGAUAUAAAAUUACUAAAUACCCCUUCGAUUAUUGCUUGGGUUUUCGAACAUACAAUGACAUGUAUCUUGCAUGCAAGAUAGAACGUUGUAUGGGGUCCACUUAGAUCAAGAACGACACUUAGAAUAAGCCGUAAAUUAAUCCCAUAUAUCGAGAUGCGCUAUAAAAAAAAAAAAAAAAAAAAAUCCAACUUGCAAAUUGCAAAUGAAAAACAGACAGAAAUAUGCUCUUUUUAAGGCCCAGAAAAUUUAGAAAAGGACAAUGCUUAUUAUAUUUGCUCGAUAAAGAAUGUUGUUGUCUUGUUAAAUCUCUACAGUGAUUCUUGAAAUUAUUAUUAUAUUGUACUACAAAUUUUGACCUUUUAAAAUGCUAUAAGAUUUCAAAAUAUAUAAUGGUGUAUUUAAAUUAUGGGUUCAAUUGUUUAAUCUUAUAGGAAGCUUUAAGCUUUCAAAAUAUAUCCAAAAAAAAAAAAAAAAAAAAAAGAAGAAAACGUUUUAAUGAAGGGUAAAAUGGGAAUGGGAGAUGCGAAGGAAAGCUUGUGAAUUGUGAACCCAUCUGUCUGUCUGAUAAAUGCUUAAAAAAAAAAAAAACUGAACUGUGGGCGUAGAUGGGCCAACGCACGAGAUGCGGUCGGUCACGGGCAUAAACAGAGACUUUUCCAUGACGUAUGGGUCCAUCAGUAUCUUCCUCAUCCAUCCUUUUUCUUAUCAUUCCUCAAAUACAACAAAACCUUUUUCCGUAACUUUGCCACGUGACUUCAAUUGGCUAGAAAAUAUCUAUUAAGAUUUAAGAGAUUCACAAACGCCAACUACUGUCAGUCACCCACAUUUCAGUUCACUCUGCAAAUCAAUGGUUCUUUGGUUGGUACUCGGUAGUAAAGUUAAAAAGAUGAUAACAAUUGAGCUGUGGUUCAGUUUAUUUCCGAAACCGUAAACUUGUAAAUUUAAAUCUUAGUCGGACAGAAUGAACUGAAAAAGGACGCAAUUUUAUGCAACCAAUUUUGAAAUAAUUAAUGAUUUAAAGUUAGAAUUCCUAAUCAGUAAUCAUAGGCCGUUUACCAUAAUAAUGACUAGUUUGCACUAGUAAUAUUCUACUAUAUUUAAACAUGUGUUAAGAUUAAAUUUAAUUUAUUUGAAUCUUCAUUUCAUUGUAUAUUAUUGUGAAGGAAACUAAAUGAUUUUUUAUCCUUUCCAAAGACAAAAAAAAUCAUAUCUAUCUAUUCUCAAUGGUCAUUCCGCACUUUAAUCUUGAAAAGGACUCAAAAGUAAACACACAAAUAAGCCCUAAUCAACCACUCAGUGAUUUUAGCAAAAGCUAAUACCCCACAAAAGUCACGAGGUCUCACUGUCCAAAUUAUUAUCAGCUUGUGUACAGAAGCGGAAUGCUGUGAAAUCCAUCCAUUCUCUGCCUAUCUGUAAUCCAGCAUUUCAAAAGCAAAUAGUCUUGGGACUCUGGUACAUUAUUUUAAGCCAAUGCAGUACCAAAUUACACACACACACAAAAAAAAAAAAAAAAUGAUUUUCAUGCGCAAUUUUCGUUAUUUGUCUCAUCCUUCCUCACCAUGCUAAUUGCUCUUCCUUCGCCAUACACUAUUAGAUGGCAAUAAACCAAAUCAUAAGGAGUCUUAAAAUGUUUGUUUUGUUAUAUCUCACCAAACUAUAAGUCAAAAAGCAUCAAAACUAAAAUCCAAUAAAAAAAAAUCCCACCAGAUUUAAUAAAUGAAUACACAAACAAAUACAACAAAUUUAUAUAUACACAUACACACAUGAGCAACAGCACAAACAGGGAUAAUUUUCACACAUAAGUUUUCCCCCCAGAUUCACUCACAAAAUACAUAAGAGGGAUGGCUAGGCAGAGCUGGACGCAAGUAACAUAAACUGCAUCUCCAAUAUCUCCAUAUUCAACUAGAAGACCGCAUUUGUCAAGGAUGGGCAAAGCACUUCAUAACUACUGCAUGAUUUGAACAGAAUUACAGAAGACAAAAAGUAGAACUCAAGUUAAAAUCUUACCAGUAAAUAAAAUUUAUGAAGUUUAUGGAAUUACAUGCAAAGAUUUCCAUUAUAUAAAUGAUAAGAAAAUAUUUCGAAUAUAGAGUGGUCCACUAAUUUGCUGAAGUUGUUGAAGAUCUAUGGAACAUUGCUUGUUCAUAAAAUAUUUAUCAUAAUAGUAAUCUUGAGAAUAAAACAACACUUAGCAUCACAUUCUUGUAACUGUCAAUCAGAGCAUAAUGUUAUGAACCCUAUAGGUCCAAAGAAAUUCAAUUCAAGCAAAAUACAAAUCCAAGAAUUUGCAAAGGUACUAUUCUGAAUGAAAUCAUGAGUGAAUUCACGAGUGAAUUCUUUACUCUCAAAACUAAAUUUUGUUCUUCCAUAUUUCAAAAGUUUCUUAAGCUUCUCCAGUAACAACAAUCUUUUUAACACGUUCCAUAUGGCUUCUGCAAAUAUUAGACCUGUUCCGUAAAUUCUUAACAUGUUUCCCUAAACUUAACUGAAUUUAAAACUCUUUGGAUCCUUGGGCCAAUUUUAGAUUUCUGACAAACUGCUGACUAUAGGGUUACAUGAGUAUCUUUGUUGCAACUAAAUUUAAACACUGCUUAAUUUUGCAUGAGAAAUUUAAAGUUAGCAGAAACAAUUAAAAUAAGUGUUAACUUCGUUAACAUUUCCAAAAGCAACCCAGAGAAAGGAGGUGAAAAAGAAAAGGCUCCCCAGAGCGCAAUAGGUUGUGCAUUAUGUUUGGCACCAUUAAAACAUACUAGACUUUAUCAUCAAAAGAGGGUAAUAAGAAGAGGGGUUUGGCACUGUUAAACCAUAGCAGACUUUAUUAGUACUUUUACUUUUGCAGAAAAAUAGACAUCCAACACCUAACUCUUAAAGUGAUGAUUAGGAAAACCUAGGAUUCUUAAACAAGGCACUGACUAUGCAGAUUAUAAUAGAAAAUCGGACAUGAAAUGAACAAUAAAGUAAACUAGUUGAAUUUAAAAUCCACAUUAUGAACACAUUAGUCCAACAACUUAAUUGCCUCACAGACAAUGGAAAAUUUCUGAUUGGUAACAACAAUUAAAUUUGUCUUAGAGCACAUAAUAUGGAAGCCUAGACAUGACAAUAAAACAAAGAAAUUUUCAAAGCUAAAUUUAUCAAUAGCACUUCAAAAUGGCAUUACGUAAAGAAAAACAAUAAAUUUGUCAGAUGUAUCAUAACAAGUGGCAGGCAAAGAAAAUAGCAAGUGGCAGGCAAAGGAUGCACCUUGGAGCACAUUCUUGGAAGUUACAAAAUAUUGGCUAAUUAUAUCAUAACAUGGAAUUAAUCUACACAAAAGAAUAGCAAAAACAAUAAUUUUAUGGAAGGCUAAUAGAUGAUAACUUGAAGAAUUAAAGACAUGAGUUGCUUCCAGAAGUGCUCAAAUUAACAAACAUACCUCUUUUAGGUUAUGAAUCUUACACUGAAGUGUCUUUGCCCUUGACUAUAACGACUGGACAUUGUGCAUGGUUGGUGCAAUAGUUGCUUACACUUCCCAAGAACAUCCUGUUAAAAUUAUGCAUUUCAUCACAGUUAGGAUACUAAAGAACCACAUUGACAUAUUAAUCACAUUUUUAUGUUCAGUUAUUGAUGUCAAUUGGAUUAAGUUUGCUUGCCAAAGGCCUAGCAAACUUCAAAUGCACAUCUAAGUUUGGGGGAAAUUAAAUCUAGCAACAAAAGGCAAAGUAGUAAAACCAUCUAAAAAAAUUCAGAAAACUAAACAAAAAGUAAGCCAAACUCAAGUGAAAAAGUAAAACAACAUCAAAAGUUCUAAUAGCAUUUUAUGGUAAGGGAAAUGUUUCUUGAGCAUCUGAAGUGCUCCUCCAAGGACCCUUAGCUUUAUCAUAAAAUCAUUGCAUAAAGCAUAGCAACUUCCUAUCACAUUUUCUCUGUGCAAAAAUAAUCGCUACCUAAAAUAACUCAGCCGCAGCACAUAGCAUAACAUAGAGUAAAAAGAGAUUACCCAGCAAAUAUUUGUCCAUACAUGUAAGUUUCAUGAUCUUUCAUUAAAAUAUCUCUUGUUCAUCUAUGCCCUCAUUAUAACUGCUAUUUCGAGCAGUCUAGCCCUUUUCCAUCGAGGGAUGGAAUUUCCAAAUCAAAUCACUUUUAGAUUUGUCAUUCUUAGAUUCAUUUGUCAUCCUGUGAGCUACCAUCUCUGACAUUUGCACCAUGGCUAACAGGAAAGAAAACUAAUUGCUAAUUGCAAUAUUUACAUUUGUAAUGGUGAAAUUUCACCUCAUAUGUGCAUUAAUAACAACUACAGUUGAAAAGAUGCAAAAACUCUUCAUUCAUCUAACAUCACACGGCCAAACAGAAUAUUAUGAACCCAACGACUGAGAACACCUGCAGAUGAUAAUUCAGAUAUUGAAAAUAAUCCAAGGAUGCUUUGUAAAUCAACAUCCUUUGAGAUAACAUCAGUUUAUCACUUGAACAGGAUUAUUGUCCCUGUCUUUACUCAUUGGAAAAACUACUGGCUAAUUGUUGGCAUAAACACUGCGAACAUCAUUUUGUCCAAAUAAAAUAUUAUUACUUCUGAGUUCUGACUUUGAACUUCGAUUCAAACAAAGCAAAAAUUCUUAGCAUUUCAAAAUAGAAGAUCCAAGUAGUAGGUACUUUGGUCUCUAUCGCCCUAUGUAUAUAGAAAAGUUACCAUGCAGUCCUAAAUCUGAAGUUCUUUAGCUAAAACACUUUUGGCAGAGGUAGCUCUUCUUAUUGGCUUACCAAAAUGAAGUAAUUCUGGAUGGAUAUUGCUAAUGCCCUUAAUUUUUAUGAUGAUGAUGAUGCAUGGUUAUGCAGUUCAAUUACUUUGUAAUGGAUAUACAUAGCCCUAAUAAAUAACCUUAAGCUAUAGCUAUAAAGCAAAUACCAUAUUGUAAAUUUUAGCUUCCUGUAAAAUUCUUUCCAGUAUGUUGGCACAUAAUCAAAUAGCACAACUAGUUGACAAUGGAAAAUAGCAAAUUUAAGGAGCACCCUAACCGGCAACUGCACAAAGGAAGCAGUAAUAUUGAUUAAACUCCAACUACACAACUAAUCUUUUGGGAUCUGUUUUUACCCUGCUAUUACAGCUACUUAUGACAGGAGCACCCUUUCGGAUGCAUUGUUUAUAGCAAGCAUUAUGGACUAAGAUGGAAAUGCAUCACAAAAGCAUCCAAAAAUUGCUUUAUGUCAAAACUUUGAACGGCAUGUUUUAUAAUAUGGACAAUAACCGAAACAAACAGUUCCGAAAACUAUUCAAUCUCCUCAUUGUUUAAUAUGUCAAGAAAAAAAUCAUUUUACUUCCCAUCAAAUUACUGCACAAGGAUACUAACCAUGUUCAUCAUCAAAGCUGAUAUUGAAUAAAGCAUGCUCUAUACAAGAUUGAGUCUAAAUAAUAAUCAUGCAAAUUGUUCAAACAAUGAGAAUCAUCAAACCAUUUCCUUGACUUUUCAAAGCUGUUUGACUUUUCAAAACUUAAAAAACAAGAAUCCAACAUGAUUACAUCAAAUAUUAUUCUACCACUCCAAAUACUUGCAAUGAACCAAAAUUUUCUCUUUGUAUAAUACCUUUUAAUAGGGCCAUAAGAACGACACCCCAUCACAAGCAAAUCAGCACCUGAAUUCUCAACAGCUUCGCAAAUCUUCUCCUUUGGAUCCCCAACAACCACUUGCGUUUUAACAUUCGCCUAAACAAAAAUUAAGUUCCAAUAAAAUAAUUGAUAACUAUUUACCAUAAAAUUGAUAUCCUAAAUUGACUGGUACACUAAAACAAGUAAAUCGGUUUCAAAAAGGAAAAAAGCCCUCACGUUUUUUUCGCUGCAAAUCUGCAAAGCAUGCUCUAAAACAGCUUCGGUGAUCCGCUUCUGAUGCGCCUCAAUCGCCGCCGUAAAGGCAGGCACCUCCAAAUCAGCUAUUAAAUUCCAAAAAAAAAAAAAAUCAAACUAAUCAAUUAGUAAUUAGCUUUAACUCAAGAAAAUCAAAUCAAAACCAUGAACAGAUUCAGUAUCGACUGAAAUAAGCACUAGUAACUUUGGUAUGGAUAGUGGACACUUAACUGGGUCCACCGAACGGAAUAGCGCCGGGAUUGAGACCAGCAGCAAUUGACGGUGGAGAUUGGACAUGGAGUAUCAGGAAGUAGCCAGCGGUUUCAGUGGAGUCGGGCGCAGAAGAUCGAAGCUUGAGGUUGUCGAGCGCCCAUCUCAAGGCGUACAUGCUCUCCUCGCUGCCGUCGACGGCCACGAUCACGCAGCCAAGCUUUUCCGUCGUCAUGAUUGAUUGAUUGUCGAUCUUGAGUCAGGUGAUGUUGACUUUGGAGUAUUCGUUUCGAGAUUAGCAUAUUAGAGAACGGAACUGUAGACAAAAAGAGAAAUUUCGUAACGGAACGAGAGCUAACGACUAUUCGAGAGCGCCAGUGGGGAGCUGCAUGGGUCGACCGGGUUGGUUUUAGGUGACUUGUGGGCCGGCGGUCCAAAUCUCCACAGGCCGAAUAACGCCACUGCAUUUUUGUCUAACCUUGUGUUUUGUUUUGGUUCUGAUUUUCAUUGCAACUUUUACAUAUAUUUCAAAAAGAAAAUUCUUCUUUACAUAAAUAGAAAGUUGUAGCAAAAAAUAAAUUAUUUAAUAAUUUACCCAAAUUGUUGGUAAGCUACUCAAAAUUCAGUUGAUAAAAAAAAAAAAAAAAAAGCUCAUUUACAUUCAUUUGGUAAAUUUAAAAAACCAAGCUUGAAAUUAUUUAUCAAAUACAAUUAAACUGAUAAAUUGUAAUUAAAAUGCAAUAGUUUUUAGGUAUGUGUUUGCUAUUUCGAAAAUGAAAAAAGAAAAAACAGAGAGAGACGGCAGAAACAGGUUGUGGUUUUCAGUUUUCACAGGUUGCCAUUUGCCAACGCCACACUGUGAUAUGCGUUUUGGACUAUUGGGUCAGAGCAUCAAAUCAGAAUCCAGUUUUUGCACCUAUGCCUAUUAUAAUAGUAUCAUCUCCGGAAACGAAUCACCGUCUCGUCUAAGACUGACCUAGUUGAAUUAUGAGUUUUUUUUUUAAAUAUAAAAAAUAAUUUAAGACAAUAUAUAGUUUAAAAAUUAAAAAAUGUUGACUGGCAGCAGAAGCACGUCAAUUGUUUAGGAAAAUAUAUUGCAUGAACAGCUAAACAUUUUCUUUUGGCCCCUCGCAAGGAAAUUGUUCUAUUUACUAUUUAGUGACUUCUUAUACAAGUGAAGGGUCACUGUAAUUUGAUUAAUUAAUGAGUGCAAUUAGCACUUAAAUAUAAAUCCAUUUGCUGACAUGAUAAUAUAAAUAAAUUUUUUCCAAAAAUAAAUAAAUACUGGUAUUGCAAUUUCCUUGUGAAUUUUGGUUCUUGGGACGAGAGGUGAUUUACCCUCAUGUAAUAAAUAACCAAUUUGCAUUGCCAUUACUGCAAUGAAAAAUAUCAUGCAUACAAAAAAGUCCACUUUUUUUUUAAAAUUUAUACUACAUAUAAAUCUAUACCGUGGAAAUAGACUGUAUAUAAUGAAAUUUUUGAUAAUACAUUUGAUAAAAUUUAAGAUAUUUUAAAAUAAUUUUAAUAUCGUAAACAAAAAAAUUAUUACUUCAAAUUAGCAAUACAUUAAUUAAUAAUUACUCUAAUGUAGGACCUAAAAUUCCAAUUUGCUAGCCCAAGGAAAUAGAAAAAGGAUGACAUACUUUUUGGAGGCUCAACCUAAGAUACCACCAACUAAGAAAAUAAUUUCCUGCUUUUUUGCAUCUAUGUAUGAUGGUUUUCGACUGUGCAAAAGUCACUGUAGAUAAAGCUACCGUUACCAAUAUCAAUUUCAAGCCACGUGCAACAAAUCUUUUUUUUUUCCCCAAUUUUGAAAAAUCUUAUUUUCAAAAGUGUGAUUGGCCAACUAUUCAAACCAAGUGCUUGACUAUUUUUUUUUUUCCCCAAUUUUGAAAAAUCUCAUUUUCAAAAGUGUGAUUGGCCAACUAUUCUCUUCAAUAAUUUCAUUUGCAUUAAUUGUAAAAGUCAUUUGUGUAUCAUUUCUUAUGUUGUAAGUUGUAGAUAUUGUGCAUUUAUAUUUCUUUGCGUGUAUUUGACUAUUUUUGCAACAUGCUUGAUAACUCGAGAUUUUGAAAUUAUUCAUUAAUUUACAAGUCAAUUACAUUCAAUACCUAAAUUAGAGAAGUUUGGUAAGAAUUUAAAUCAACAGUUAAUAGCCGACAGAAAUUUAAAUCAAUUGCUUAUAACAUUCUAGAGCUACUAACCCAUUUCUAGUUAUAUUAUAUUUGAACCGUAUUAAUUUUAUAAAAAUAGUUACAAUUAUUUUUUUACAUUAAUAUUAAUAUUUUUAAUAAUUAAUAUUUUGGAGGUAAUAACUUUUUUCUUCAACGCUGAUUCAAUAAAUUAGUGAAAACUCAUAUGAUUAAGAGAUUUCAAUUCAGAACAUCUCAAUUUUCACAUAAAUGAAAAAAUCAAUUAGAUCAUAUCUAAUUGACAACUUACUAACAGCUUUAAUCAAUUACUAGACAAAAUACAAAGAAUUUCAAAAACUUUGUUAUUUUUAUAUAGGUUGUAUAUUCGAUGCAAGAUAUUUAAAAAAUUAUACUUGCCAAAAAGUAAUUAUUUUAUUUAAGUAAUUUAUAUAGAAAAAAAGUGUUUUAAUUUUAAUCUCAAAAAUACUCGCCAAUAUAUAUAUCUAAAAAAAUGUAACACGGGUCUAACUAGCAGCAUGCAAAUGGAGACCUAAAAAAAAAAAUAUGUCACCGUCAAUGCUUUAGAAAAAUUGUUUCCAACUUUUGACUCUUUGAUUCUUUGUAUCGUCCACACCAAUUUUUCAUUAGUUUACUUGGUCAACUUAUUUAAUUAAAUCAUCAAAUUUAUAUUAUUAAUAAUUACCGACACAAGCCCAGCUAAAUGAAAAAAUUAAGUUUCCAAACUAAGUUAUUAUUUUAUUAUGAGAAUGAAGGUAGUUAUCCACUUAAAUUUGUUAUCACCGCCCUUCAUUAUCAAAACCCUGUUGAUGGGAUAGAGAUAAGAUUUCCAUUUACCCCUUGCUUACCUAGGAAGGGGAAAAGAACUUGAUUGAGGGGGGGUUUGUGACUUUGUGGGGUAGAAAAUUUCUACCAGAUGGAGCCCACUUGAUACUCGAAAACAGCUUAUCCUACUAAAUCAUGUACUUACGAUUAAUCUCAGCCGUUGAAUAUCAUACCAAGCCAAAAACCUUGCUCUCCUCCCAAAGCAUCCCUCCACCAUCACAUGCCUCCACAGGCAACCGUCCAAUUAGGUGUCUUUCAUAAGAUUAGAAUAGAAUAUUUGCAACCAAAUAAAAAAUCAACUAACAUAGAAAGAGAAAGAAAACCCAAUGUCCUAUAAAUAAUUGAGUUUACAUCGUACAUAUUACAUAACCUGAAUAUAAAAAUACACUCCCUCUAAAAAUAAAAAUAAAAAUAAAAAUAUACUUUCAAUCUUUUUUACUAUACAAAUAUAAUUGUAAUUUAGUUUUUUUAUUAUUAAAAUUUAAAUUAUUUUUAAUAAAUCACACAGGAUUUAAUUGAUACUUUUAUUUUUAAUAAAAUAUAAAACUUAAAAAAUCUCAAUUUAAGUCCUUUUGACAAUAAAACUUUCCCUAAUUAGUGAUUUUCCCUCUUAAUUUUGUUUGAGCAAUUAUUUUAUUUUUUAAGUUAAAAAAAUAAAAUAGUGAUUCUUUUAGAGGGUUUAGAAUUCACUCUAUAAUUUUGACUUAUAAAUUAACCAUUGUCCGAACAAAAUAAUUAUUUUAUUUCAACAAAAAAACAAAAUAAUUAUUUAAAUAUUAAAUAAUUUAAUAAAUAUUUCUCACACUCGUGGAAUUUGAUCGUGGUACAGCGAAAGAUUGUAGCCUGCAGUGUUAUUUUAGAUUACAUUAUAGCCUGUAGUAUUAUUUCAGACAAUAAAAAUUUCAAAUCAAUUAAAACAAAAUUUGAUCUCUAAAAAUAGAAAAAGAAAACAAGCCGUCCGGUUGGACCGGAACUAGAGUGGGGCCAGCGGUCCGAAUAUUUGAUGAGCAAAGAAUUCACGCUUCUCGAUGCCUGAAAACAAAAUUCCUUUCCCUCGACCAUAAAAUUUCUUUAGUUUAAUAAUAAAAAAUCAUUGUUUUAAAAUCAAAUUAAACAACUCAAUUUAUAUUUUCCGCAUCUAAAUUCUCCCUCCCUUCUUCUUUCUCUCUAAAAUGACAAAAUAACAGAGCCCUAAAAUCUCGAUCUGGUGGUUGUCCAAAAAUCGACGAGCUCACAGUAAUAGCGAACACAAGCUCAGUUAAAAGGAAAAAAGAAAAAUAUUCCUCAACACCUAGCGAAAACGACAUUUCUUUUGUCAAUUAUCUUCAAUCGUAGCCGUCGGAAGUGCGAUAUUAUUUCUUGUAUUCCGAUCUUGAGGGCCUUGCCUGUGCAGUCGUCAGAAUAAGCCUCACCGCUGCUGGAAACUGCCUCACUUAUGUGUGGGGGUGAUAUUAGGAGGUCAGGGAUCGUAAAUUUUGCUGGAUGCGUGUUAGGUGCGGGUGGAUAAAUGCAUGUUACCGGGGAUCUAGGGUUUUCGAGCCUGGUCCUUCUGCUUUGUGUGGUUUUUCCGGUGAUCGGCUUUGUAAUUCGUCGGAAAUGGCGGCUUUCCAUAGCCAGGCAAGAGGAGAUCAAGCGUUUAUUGAUUUUGGCUUCGGAGGAGGCCGCUAGGGCUGAGCUUGAGGCUACUGUUUCCUAUGUGGCCGUUUCUGCUUCAAAAAAUAACUAUCAGUGUGCCGUUUGUUAUUCUCCUACCACCACAAGGUGUUCCCGGUGUAAAACUGUCAGAUAUUGGUACGUUAUUUUUACAAUUACAGGUUGAAUUAUUAUUAUUAUUAUUAUUAUUAUUAUUAUUAUUAUUUUAUAAUUUUAAGUUUAGUUUAGUGUUUGAUAUUUAGGAUUUAUCCUCUGGAUAUGUAGAAAUUGAGACAUUUUUUGGACAUAGAUUGGAAGCUGGAUUUACUAUUCCCGCAUUUGCUUAUAAUGUGUGUUUGAAUGUUAUGUUGGUAGUUAAACUGAAUUUUGCUUGUUUGAGGAGAUGAUUUCUUAAUAUUCUGAUUGUUAUUUUCCAUUUGUUUGAGGUAAAGUGGGAGAAUAGUAGGAAAAUAAUCAAGUUCUACAACUGGAUGGGCUGUGAUUUUAGAGGCUUUCAAAGAAAUUCAUUGCUUGUUAACUGUGAUAAUCUCAUAUAUGUUUUUCAUUUUGGCCAAUGCUGUCAUAUGGAUAAAUGGUUUAUAAGUAGCAAAGAGAUGCGGGGAUGUAAUUUGUUACUCAGCAGACUUGUGGUUUUGUGUGGGCUGUAAGACCUCUUUGCCACUUAUUUAAACCCUAAGCAAUGUGAAAUCUUCGGAUUCUGAUGGUAUCCUGUUUAUCUGAAUAAGCAAGAAGCAGUCUAACACAUGGAUUAAGAUUACAAUAAUAUUUGUUAAUGAAAAUAUGAAAUUAUUCUCUGUGUUUUCUAAUAUAUGUAUUCUUAUUUUUCUCACCUUCAAAUCAAUAAAAUUUUUUUCCCUCCAAUUUGUGAUUGUAGUUUUUGUUGCCUUUGUUUUCCAUUAUUUAGUUGUAUGUUUAUGAUAUAAUUUGAUUUUUUUUUUCAGUUCUGGAAAGUGUCAAAUAAUACACUGGCGACAAGGUCACAAGGAAGAAUGCUGUCCUCCGAGCACCACUUAUCAUGUUAAUGAUGACGGAGGCAAUUCUUCUCAGAAGCUGGCAAAACGAAGUCAACGUGUUAUUUAUGACAUAGUUGGAAAUGAAUCAAUUGAGACAUCAUCUGAUGGACCUGUAUUAUCUAAUUCUAGUAGCACUACUGCAGUUCCACUUGUAAAUGCUGAUUAUGUUAAGGUUGAUUUUGUUGUAGAUACAGGGGAUUCAUCUUCUUCUGAAUCAUCAAGCACCUCCUUUUCUGGUUUCUCCACUUCUCCAACCGGUGGUGAAUCAUCUGAUAACGUUUCUGUUGGUGAGAGUAUCAGUUCUAAUGAACCUGAGGGAUUAGAUAGAACAACAGCUCUUGAUACCGCCCCUAACGUACUUGAGCCUGUUUUAAACAAGGCAGAGGAAACUGAGCCUGUGUCUCCAAAGUUUGCAAGUUUAGCUGAUUCUGUUGAUAGUUUUAAUAAAUGUAGCGAAUCAAAUAUAUCUCGCUGCAAUGAUGGAGAGAUGCAGCAUGUACCCACUGGUUGUUCAAGUCAGAGUAUCAGUGCCAUGCGCAAGGGUUCAAAUACUCAGUCUAGUAAAGUUUCUUCUGGUUUUUGGGAUAGAACUCUCAAGCCUGUUGUGUCCAGCAAUGUUGCUCAAGAUGAUCCAAAUCUGCCCAGUUCCAGUGCAGCUGCUAACAUGAAGUUAUCUGAUUCUGAGUCAUUCCUACAUUUUAAGUUUGAUUUAUCUAGUAAUAGAGUUUCUUCUUUAAAUCUUCAAACCUCAGAGGUGAAAGGCACCAUGUCCGGUGAUGCACAUCCAUCUCCUUUGGGGACUAGCAGGCCUGUUGAUGGGGCAUCUUUAUCAAAAAACACUAGUUAUGAUACAUUGAGGAUAAAGAGUUCCAAAACUAUGAGCCUUGAGAAGUCUAGUCAUAUAGAUAACAGAUCAGGUUAUGGUUCCAAUGUGUCAAAGCUGAGUGAGGUAAAAUCUGUGUCAUCAUCCUCUUCACAUGCUCAUUUACCUUUGAACAAUGGAGAAUUAUCACAUGUGGUUGAUUCAAAAUCCAAUGGUUAUAAAUCUCCAUCCUCAAGCCUGAACGGAUUAAAUAUUAUUAACAAUGAUACUGUUAGUGAUUCACAUGUUUCUAAGUCCAGAGAUUCAUCUAGUGCUUCUCAAAUCCAUUUGGCUUCUAGUGCCAAUGAGCAUUCAUUUCCGAGUGUGAAAUCUGGAAAAGUGGACAAUGUUGAAACCGAUGCUAUAGCUGCUUCUCCAGGCUCAGCUAGUGGACUAAAAUCAUCUAUGUGGAAAGUUGUUGACCAACUUAGAGGACCUAAAUAUGCAAAAUACAGUGAUAAGGUUUGUUUUUAAAUUUUUUUUUUUUUAUUUGCUUACAUCUAGUUUUCUUAUUCUAGGCAUUUGAAUUUUACUUUAAUUUAUUUUUGUUUUUGUUGUUUAGGGGCUUUUUUCAUACAAUCUAUUUGUAAAGCUAUAUACUUCAAGCAAGGUGGAAAUGAAACCUUGUGGCCUUGUCAAUUGUGGAAACAGGUAUAUCAAACACAUUUUGACGAUAUAAAGAAUAUUUAAAUAACUGAACAAUAUAGUAUUUAGUUGAUAAAAUUUGUGUUUCCAUCAAUUUUUAAGCAACAUAGACCAUCUUUAUAUAUUAGGAUGUUAUUAUAAAUGAUACUGGGAAUAUAUCUCCUUCCAUUCUUCAGUGUACAAUUUGCAUGAUUAUUACUGUUUAUGGUCUAAGGGACAUCUAGAGUAAACAUGUAGAUACAUGUUUUUCUGUUUGUUUCUCACUGCAUUUUUGCAUAAAUCAUUUCAGUGCUUACUUCCUUCUGCUUUUUCUUUGAAUAGCUUGAUUGGAAACCAUUUCGAUAUUAAAUAUGUGAUUGAGUAAAAAAAAAAAAAAAAAAAAAGUGUGCUAAUCUCUCCUAGUUAUGCUGCCUGAACAUUGAGAAUCACAGUGCUAACAUUAUGCUCAUUAUGAUCUCGCAUAGUCAACACAACCAAUAUCUUGCCAGCAACACCUGACCAUCUAUACAUCACUUGAAGAUUUUGUAUUUUGCUUGAGAUAAUGCUACCAGAUAGGACUGGUGUGAUGUCACCAGAUACAUUGUAAAACAAUACCAUUCCGGCCAAGAUAUAUACUGCAUGUUACAAUUUUACUCGUGUACAUUGUUUUAUGGGCUGAAAACAUUAGGUCAGGAAGAGCUCUUACAUUUUUGCAAGAAAAACAGUUCCACUUUUCUGUCUUAUCUUUGGCCUCUUCUCAUUGAGGUUAUUUUUUAAUUAAAUUUACUUGAACUUUUUACAACUUAUAUGCCAUUGUAUUUUUGCAGCUGUUAUGCAAAUGCUGUUCUUCAAUGCUUGGCAUUUACUCCUCCCCUGACAGCUUACUUUGUUCAAGGACUCCAUGCUAAAGAAUGUAUGUUUCUUAUCAUGCUCGUAAUAUUAAUCCUACAUGAUGAAUGUUUAAUUAAUAUGUUUAAUAACAAUUGCAUAGUUUCAAAUGAGUUUGCGAUUCUUUUCCAUAUCAGGUGUAAAUAAAGAAUGGUGCUUCACUUGUGAGUUUGAAAGUUUAAUUUUGAAGGCAAAGGAAGGGAAAUCUCCACUUUCUCCUAUCGGUAUACUCUCUCAGCUGCACAACAUUGGAAGUCAGCUGGGUAGUGGAAGGGAAGAAGAUGCACAUGAAUUCCUAAGGUGAGAUGUUUGUGAGCAUGCGGCCCACAAGGAAAAUGCAUUUUCCAUGUUUUUAUGAUUUCAUUUUUUAGAGAAUUUCAUACAAGAUCAGUGAAAUGAUUUUACAGGUAUGCUAUUGAUACAAUGCAAUCUGUUUGCCUUAAAGAAGCUGGGGUGAAUGUAUUAGGUUCCCUUGAGGAAGAAACCACUCUCAUAGGUCUUACUUUUGGAGGUUACCUUCGCUCAAAGGUGAAACCUUUUGAAGAUUAUGACAUUAAGAGAUUUAUACUCCUUUUGUUUCUUUAUCUCUCUUUAUUAGUCCUAAUGAUUAUUGCAUCAAAGUGACCCAAUUAUUGGAAAAACUCCAUGAUGGAAUUUAUGUUAUGAACAUAAUUGGAAAACAGAUAAAAUGCAUGAAGUGCCAUUACAAGUCAGAGCGGCAUGAAAGAAUGAUGGAUCUUACUGUUGAAAUAGAAGGGGAUAUAGGGAAGCUUGAAGAUGCACUUAAACGAUUCACGAGUACUGAACUUCUUGAUGGAGACAACAAAUAUCAAUGCAGCAGGUUGGUCAGGUUAUCUUUUCCAAUGAAAUUUGUCUUCAAUUAGUAUUAUUUUUAUGCUUCUUGGACAAUCUCAGUUGAUUUCUCAUCUUAUUAUAUCAGUUCAAAGUCUUAGUGGCUAAUGGUUUUUUCUUGUAGAGGUAUUCUCUCUUGAGAAGGGAGGUUUUGGGUUUUAGCUUUGUAAUUGGGGUAUGGCUGGGGGGAGUGGGGGCAGCUUAGAGUUUAUCCUUUUUUUGUUAAAAUGAUUCUUCAUUUUUAUACAUAAUAUGCUGACGUGUCCUUUCUACUAAAAUUUUACAGCACAACAGAAUGUCAGAAACUUAAUUUAUAUAACAAGUAAUUGAGGACAGAAUAUGAUGAUAUGUAAGGUGCUUGAUACCUGGUUCUACUGUGUCUUGUGCUUCAAAACUUCUUGCUAAGUGUAAUGAUACUUCUAAUAAAAUUCUAAGCUUGGUUAAAUUGGCAUAAUAAUCCGAAAAAAAUCAUGAUUAGAUGUACUAGCACAUGUUGCCAUUUUAUAAUGUAUUGCAGAAGUAUGCACAUUUCUUCUUUAGUUGUAAGAGAUGUAUGUAUUCCAUGUAAACUCUCUUUUUUUUGAAUUUUGUUUUACUUUGUCUAUUACAAUACAUGUAGCAGAAUUUGGGUAACAAAUGAUGAUUGUCAAGCCAUUCCCUUUCAUAAUUUUUAACAGGUUCUUUGUUUUCUAGGAAUUAUUGGCUUUGAAUGUAUUUGACUUCUAUGUCAUUAUGGUUCUAUUCAGAUGCAAAUCUUUUGAGAAGGCCAAGAAAAAGUUGACAAUAGUGGAGGCACCCAAUGUACUUACAAUUGUGUUGAAGCGCUUUCAGGUAACUAUUAUAGAAUAUUUUCUCCUGUAUUAUUGGAAAAUUUUCUCAUUUCCUUGCUGUGCUAACUUUACAGUCAGGUAAAUUUGGAAAGCUCAAUAAGUCCAUUCGAUUCCCAGAGAUCCUGGAUUUAGCACCAUAUAUUAGUGGCACAAGUGACAAAUCACCCAUAUACAGGCUUUAUGGGGUGGUUGUUCAUUUGGAUAUCAUGAAUGCUUCAUUUUCUGGGCACUACGUGUGCUACAUAAAAAAUAUCCAGAAUAAGUGGUUCAAGAUUGAUGAUAGUACGGUAUGUUUAUUUAUAGAUUAUACAUUGACAAACUUUUGCAUGCACUUGCUAAACUUUUUCUUUCUAUUUCACUGAAUUAAUGUGAUUAUACAUUUGGACCCUAGCACUGAUUUGACUUAUUCUGUUGCCUGAAAUAUCCAGUUCCAACUGCCAAAGUUUAACUGUAUCUUGAUCAUCGAUGCCUAAUGAGAAUUUUUAAGUGAACUUUAUGCUCUAGGAUAUAUUAGAAACAAAUAGAAUCGCGAUCCCCCUGAGGUUUGGUUUGACACCUUAUAGCUAUUUAGUUCUUGGAAAUUCAAAAAAUUAAUUAACAUCAUCACAUCAUCAGGAUGAAACUUUGAUGAUCAUGAGAUGGAGAUAAGGCAUAUGUGGUGGAAAAGAUAAGUGAGUUGUUGAUAGAAAGAGAGCUAUGGAAGGUUAGAAUUUGCAUCCGUCAUGUGUAGGAAUCUAGAUGAAUCAAAAAACCAAUGUGGGAUGAGCCUUGAGAAUCGGAUCAUGAGUAACUUAAAUCAGUGGAGGAGACCAUGAUUGUUUUUGUAGAGUGAUGAGGGAUGGUGAUGACAGAGGUGGCAGUAAUAACUAUUUGAUGAGUUUGAUUUCUUUGCCUUUUGAUGACAGAGCUCAGGUGGAAUCUAUGGUAUUUGUGGGUGGUGCUCGUUAUCUGUGAUGUCUAUGAGGAUUGUGGUUGGGUUGAAUUCUGCAACAGUGUUCAUUGUGGUGUGAUGGUAGAAUGAUGGUGGAAUUGGGUGAGGGAGAUGCUCAAACUGUGAUGUCUUGAGGCAUGUACUUCAUAAUUUAAUUCUGCUUCAGAAUCUAAUGAAUGAAGUGGGGACAUGGGGAUAAAAUUGAUUACCUCAUUUCAAGGAAUCACAUUUGCUUCCUACGAAAGGAGCAUUCAGGCUUUUUGGCCCAACAAAAAGGUUUCUCUCUAAGGGAUGCCUACUUGUGUUUUAUCCCAUAAAUUUUCCAGGAGCGCAGCUGCUUGUUCAGCUAGUGGACCUUUGGUGUGCCUAUGGUUUGUGAUAUCUGUACGGGAGUUUGACCAUCUUUUUUGGUGCACACAAAUUCUUACACGAGAGCAGAAAUAGAAGACGAGAAAGAGAGAGGGGUGGGGGUGGGUUUGCAAGGGGCCUAGAGAGAACCCUUAGCCUCUUGCGCUAUGAGAUGGUCAGUCUACAACUAGGCUACUAGCCAGUGGCUGAGCUCGAGUUAACCUAUUCUGUUUCCCUGUUCAAAGUAGACAUGUUCAGAAUCCUGUCAUAGAAUCAAUAUAUACAUGAAUGUAUUUGGUUGGUCUCCCUCAGUCCCAGCUCCGACAAGUGACUUAGGGCCAUAAGAUAUACAGUUUAAGAUUUGUUAACAAAAUUUCUUUUCUCAUUUGCUUUCUUUGUUUUAUAUAUUUUAUGCACUGUAGCAACAUUUAAAUAAGCUUCAUGUCAUUUCUCCUAACUAAUUCUUUGUAUCAUGUUGGCCAUUGUUGAAUAGGUAACAGCUGUGGAUCUCGACAGAGUCUUAACAAAAGGAGCAUACAUGCUACUUUAUGCAAGGUGACCAGUCUCAGGAGCUCAAUUUGUAGAAUGAAUAUAAGUUGUUGCUUUGAUGUUUUUGACCAACUACUUCUAUUUCAGGUGCUCACCAAGGGCUCCAAGAUUGAUAAGGAACAGUUUAGUGUCUCGUGAACUAAAAACAAAAGGCACUUCAAAACUCAAUGCAAAGAAUACUGCAUUGAAUUCAAGAUCCACAUCCAGUCACUCAAGUAUCGUUCGCUUAAAUCCAAAUUCUAAUUCUCCUGAUAGUUUGGCCAGUGUUGAAUCUUUCUAUUUGAAGUUCAACCGGCUUCAAAAAAUUUUAGAAGAGGACUCCUCAAGUGACAAUUAUUCUUUUACUAGCAGCAACUCGGAUGAGGGUUCAUGCAGUACUGAGAGCACCCGAGAUUCUACAAGUACUGAUGAGCUUUCUGAUUACAUUUUUGGUGGUUGGAACAACUCUUGGAGGAACACUUCUGAUUCUGACACUUCAUCGUCAUCCUCUUCCCCCUUGUACUCGAGGUACUCACCAGAGAUGAGCAGGCUGGCGGUGGCAGAAGGCGAAUGGAAUAGCAGGCUAGUGGAUGUGGAAAUCAGGGAUAGUGAUCCUUUUUUCCAUUCUGACACGAGUAAACAAUUUAGAAAGUUAGGGAAUAGUAGUAGUUGUAGGGAGACUGACUCGGCAAAAUUAGGACGGGUUAACCCUGUAAAAUCUGGUGUAUCCUUUAGAAGAUCAGUAAGUGAAAGAACAAGUUAAAACAUUUUUCUGUCAAGUAAUUUAAGUUAGGGGCGUAAAUAAAAGUUGGGAAGAGGGAGAUCUGUAUUUAAUGUUACUGUUGUAGCUGGCCUUGUUCAAAGAAAUGAGCCACCCCAUUUUGUCAAAUUCUUUCCCUUUUCCCUUAUGAAGAUGAGUUGUUCUCAUAGUGUAUAGUUCAAACUGAAAAGGGACUUUUUCAUAAAUGAGUCCCUAAAGGGGUUCUUUUAACCCACUCAAUUGUUUACUUCAGAUCAUGAAUAAUUAUAAGUUUAUGUUGCUUUGCACAGUUUCAUAUCUUUUUGAAAAUUUAAAUUUGUGUUGUAGGGCUAUACUCGAUAUUUGCAAUUUUUUCUUUUUUCUUUUUUUUUUUUUAAUGUUCUGGGCUCAACAAUUCCAUUCUUGGACUUGAUUGGCCCAGAAAGUAUUGGAUCCAAUUAGGGACUUGAUUAUGAGCCCACUCUAACGUGAUAAUUGGAUCUUUCUAAUCUAUAAAUGUUACACAAACUCAAGUUGUCAAAGCAUUGAGGAUCAAUGAAAUUAGUGAAAAAAAUUUUUUUAAUAAAUUAGACAUGGAUAAGAAAAGAUAGAGAAGCUUUCGUUUUCUUGGAUAGCAGGAUAAAGAAGGUUAUCGAAAGCCAUUUUUUCGCACUUGAAAGGCCCACUAAAACAAAUAUCCUAAUAAGAAAACCAAUUAUACCAAUUUGACCGCAUGGAUUGUAAUAGUUUGAAAAAAACAGUACAAUCUCUUUCAGUUUAGGAUAACGAAAAAGAGAGAAAAUAUUAGUGGUGAGAAAUUUUCAUUUUAGAUUGGGCAAAUUAUUUAGUCCCUCAAAUUUAAUUAUAAUUAUAAUUAUAAAUUUCAUCUAUCUUAUUUGAUAAAUACAUCUUUUAGUUAUUAAACUUUAGCUCUAUUAAACUAUUUGCUCCUUCAUUUCAAAAGUGUCUAUUAAGUAAGAAAAUGAAUAAUAAUAAUUAUAAAUAUGAGAGGCUAAAUAGUAAUAUUAUGUUAAACGUGAAUUAUUAAGUCAAAUAUUAUAUAUCAAACUUCUAAAAUGAAUUUUUUUUUUUAAAAAGAAAGGAUUAAAUAAAUUUACGGGUUAAAAAUGAAUGAUUAAUCAUAGGGAUGUUGUUGUAAUUAAUGGUCAAAUUUAUGGAUUAAAUAGUCAUUUACUUUUAAGGAUAACGAAAGAGAGAAAAUUGUAGUAGUAAGAAACAAGAUAAAGCCAAAUUGGAGAGGACCAGAAUACCACGUGGGGUAGGAAGACUGGUUCAACCACCGCCUACCAAACUCGACACUACCACCUCUAUGCCCAUAACCAAUUGGCCAACUCUCUCUCUCGGUCAUAAUUAUUUUUUAAUCCUUAAUGUUUAAAUUUUUAGUUUUUGUGUAAAAGUAUUAAGAGAUCUUUAAUAAAAAAUUCAAAUUAAUUAUUUAUCUGCUUUCAAUUCACAUAGCUAGACUCGAAUUUAGUUUAAUGACAUAAGUAAAAUAAUCUUUUAUAUUGAAUUAAACUAAACUCAAUUUUUGUAAAUAAAAACUUUAUCCGAUCCUAUUUUAAAUCUUAACAAUAAAAAAUAACUUAAAAAUUAUUGCAUAUUUCAAAAUAAUUAAAAUAAAAUAUUAAAUAAUUUUUUAACAAAUAAAAAUGAAUUACAGUUCCUAGGAAAAAAAUAAGAGGAAAUAAUUUUAAAAAUAUCAAUGCUAAUUUGAACUUUAAGUUAAGGAAUUAAUAGAUUAUAUUAAAAUUUAAAAGAUUCAAAUGAUAUUAAGUCUCUUUUUUUUUUUUUUUUUGCUUAAUGAAAUUUUAUAGUUAUUAAGAAAUUAGUUUGUUUGUGAAAAAAAAAAAACGUUAUGAAUUAUUAAUUUAUUUUUUCUAAACAUAAAAUUAUUAAUUAGAUUAACUUUUAGAUUGUAAGACCAAGAAAGGCGUUGAAUUGAUUUUUUUUUUUUUUUUUUAGGGAGAUUUAAUGGAAAGUAAUUGACUUUCCAGUUUCCACAUUAUUAAUUUAUUACAAGCUGUCUGCCACAGUACUUAUACUGCUACUUAGUUAGAAGUUAGGACAUUUCUCUAGUUUCAACUGUUGAAUAAUGACUUAUCAGGGCCGUACACGUGUACUUAAUUCUUUCGUUCUCAAACCCACGUUCGUUUCUCGACCCAUACUAGUGGUUUUCUUUUCUCAUACACCUUCCAUAGCAUCCGGUUUUUGAACAAAGUCAUUUCUAUGGAUUAGACUACACAUAACAAUACCCACGCUUCUAAAUUCUUCGAUAAUGCCUUAUUGACUAAAAUUAAUGCCUUGCAUUUCUAUGUGACUAUGCUCGGUUCAAACCCAUUCCAUAUGUUUAUCAAGUCAAGUUUAAUAACUCGGGAGCCAACUCAAUGAGUUCAAAAUUAAUUAAAGCAAACAUCAUUUUUCAUUCCAUAGAUUUUGUGGAUCUUGACUUGUUUAAAAUUAUUGAGCGGAGGUCUCGUUCAUAGGCUGAAACCUUCAUUCCUUUAAUUUUGGAUUUCAGAAUCUAAAACCGAGAGUUAAGGGAGUGGAGGACUUCAAACCCCUAUCUACUUAUUCAACCUUCGCCCUUAAAUUCUAGUAAUAUAACAAUAUACGCUAUAUUACAAAAUUGUUAAAAUCCUUCUUACAAAUUAAACAAUUUUUUUAUGAAUAUAGUAUUACGUAAUACUCUUUCUGUUUCAAAAUAUAAGUCGUUUUUAGUUUGUUAUUUUGUUCUAAAGUAUAAAUUGUUUUAUCUAUUUUAAGAAAUAAUAAAUAAUAUUUUUUCAAUAUUGCCAUUGUUUACACUAAAUAUAAUAAAUAUUUUUACAAGCAACUAUUGAUUUUAAGAUAAAAGAUAAUUUGGUCAAAUUACCCUUGAGUUUAUUAUAAUCUAAGAGAAUUGUUUCUUUAAUCCUUAUGUAAAAACCUUAAACGACCUAUAUUUUGAAACAGAGAGGAUGAAUAGAUUAUAGAAUCAUAUUCAUUAAAAGAAUUCAAUUUUUAUCUUGCAAAAACUAUGGUUGUUAGAUAAACUUUGUUGAAAUAAAAAUAAAAAAUGAUUACUACUCAUAAAAAUUAACUAAUACUCUCUUUGUCCCAAAUAUAAAUCGUUUAAGGUUUUUGAUCAAGAAUUAAGGAAGUAAUUAACUCUACUAGAUUAUAAUAAAACUAACGGUAAUUUGACUAAAUUAUACUUUAUUUCAAAAUCAAUAGUUACUUAUGAAAGUAUUUUUUGUAUCUAAUGUAAAUAAGAGUAACAUUGAAAAAAUAUCAUUUAUUACUCAUUAAAAUACUCAAAACUACUUAUAUUACAACAUAAUCACUUUAAAAUAACUUAUAUUUUGUGAGAGAUGGAGUAAUAAAUUUACUCUCAUGUAGUAUUGAUUUAUAAAUUCCAUUUAAAGUAAAUUUUAUGAGGUAAAUAGUUAAUGACAACAUCUAUAGGUAUCUUCAAAAUGGGCUCCAUUAGUUAGCAAAUUAAGCAAUAUGCAUGGCUUUUACAGCAAGAAUUGUUAAUUAGUAGUAAUUAAUCAAAGUGGAAACAGAAGAAAGACACAGAACAAAAAUGGCAUCCAGAUCACUAUAUCUCCUCACCGACACGUCACCUACCACUCAGUAGCCGACGAAGACAAGUUUCUAUGCCAUCUGCAGAAUGCAAUGCACUUGCUACUCUUUUUGUAUAUGCAAAAGUCUAUCUCUCACACCCAACUUCACUUCAAUGCCUUAUAGCAAAGAAAGAAUCCUUUCUUUUCCUUUCUUUUCUUUUUUUCUUUUUUUUUUUCUUGGUUUUAAGUAACUUUUCAACAUUUAACAUCGAUUUCGGUUUUCACCGAUUUAAUAUCUUAUAAGAAUCAAUACGUCUAAUCGCUUGUCUUAAGUUCAAAUUUCAAAAUAAUACUUUUGAAUUAUUAUACUCCUUGAAUAAUUUUGUAUAUAUAUAUAUUCUCAAAUUGAUCUUUUUCUCAUACUGUUCAUUCGAUUUUUAAAAGUGGAGUCCUGAAAAAAAAAAAAAGGAGUAAGAAAGAAGAUUUGCACUGUUAUGUAAUUUAAAGUGUCGAUCAAUGAAUGCUUUGAAAAAGUUAUGCUUUAAUCAUCCAUUACUAUGUGUGAAAGAGGCGACUAAUAUAUACAGAUUUAUGAAUUUACAAUUGCAUGCAUUUGUAGAUUAAUUUCUAAGUAGCUUUUUCCAAAGCAUGCAUAUAUUAUUGAAUAAAGAAAAUUAAGGUAAAAAGCCAUGUAAAAUAGACCGGACCACAGAGAAUCCCUCGAGUCUAGGAGAUGUCCAACAAAGCAGGAACAGACAACGAUACAUAAUUAUAUAUUAAUGUAUGCAAUGUCUAGAAAUCUUUUAUACAAUCAAUGUCAAUCUAUAUCUCUUCUUUCGGCCGCACGGUAAAAUGGUGGCUUUGUAUGUGUUUUCCUUCUACUUGAAAGUUAGCCAUCUUUAACAUCUUUAAGUCUCUCUCUCUCUUUAAUUAUAUAUAUAUAUAAUGUAAAUUUCACAUCAUCUUACAAUAGUAUAAUAUACGACCAUUAAUUUAAUAUAUCCAAACAGACCGAAAUACUUUUACUAAUAAAUUUUUGCAUUUAUAUAUAUCCUUUGAACAUUAGUAUGAAUUUUGAAUAAAAUGUAAUAAAAGAUUUAUACAUCCGAUCUCAACUAAUUUGAAAUUAAAAUAGAGUAUUUUUGGAUGAUUUUUUUAUAUAAUUUCCAACAACUUAUUAUAAAAGAAGAGCAAAAACACAGUAAAGAGGAAGGAUUGCAUCAUGCAUGGUGUUAGGUGAUAUUUAUUGAUAAAGGUUUUGAAUAAUGCACUGUACUUGAAAGAGUUUGGUGUAUAUAUAUAUGUGGCCCUGUCUCACAAAUUCAACAUUCCCAUGAAGGUAUAAUGUAGAUCAACACUAAAUUUUCUUGACUUGGAGUUUAGUCCUUGAUUCUUUGGUUGGUAGAAAAUCUAUGUGGACCCCUUGGCCCACUUGCUAUUCUCAAAAUGAGUUACCAUUCCUUUUAUUUUCAAGAUUUUUACCAAUAAAAUCUUAAUUCUUUGUUACAUAUAUAAAACUUCUUUCAAUUUAUUUUUUGUGUAAGAAAGAAUUAAUUAUGUAAAUUAAUUAUUUUUAUUAUCGGUAGCAGUCUCAAUUCAAUGGUUCUGUACUCAAAUAUGCAUAAUGGAUUUUUUUUCAAAAAAAAAAAAAAAAAAAAAAAAAAUACAAAAUUGGUCAAUGAUGUCCCCAUCUUCACCAAUCACAUGAUAUUGGAAUUGGCACAACGAAACCACCAUAACAAUGCCCAUACUCAACAUAUAUGCAAUGUUUGAAGACAUGUUCCUUCCAUGCAUUCUUUCUAGUAAAGCGAUAUUAUUUAAUAUAAUAUAUUUCUGAUUGUCAAAUGGGUCGGUUAUAUAUAUAUGAAAUAUUCUUUUUAAACCAAUUAGUAUUAGAAGUAUAUUGAUCCGACUAAUUCGGAUUCAAUAGAUAGGUUCAUAAAUGGAUAAAGUAUUUUUUACUAAAUUUUAAAAAAGUAUUUCAUACCCAAAAUUCAAAUUCAAUACUUCUGUUUUAAGGAGAAUAUACCGUUGUCAUCUAUCUCGUCUACUGAUAGUAUUUAUGAAAUAUUAUUCAAUGACACAUUAACUGUAGUAUUUGAUGGAUAAAGUUUAAUAAAAUGAUAACCAAAAAAUAUUUCGUAACUAUGCUUUGAGCAGUUUUACUGACAUACUAUUGUUAGUUUAUGACAGAAACAGCCCAACAACAAUUAACUUAGGAAGAAAAAGUUUCCUAAUAUUUUAUACUUACAAUGUACAAGAAAAUGAGCUUGUUUAAUUAAAAAAAAAAAAUUAAAGUUUUAAAACAUGUGAGAUGCUAACGUAAAGUAGUAAUUUUAAUUUCAAAACUACUUAUUUUUUAUUGUAUGAGUUAAGUUCAUUCAUCGGUAGGAAGCAAGUCUUUUCCAAAAAAUUAAAACCGCAAUGUCAAAAGCUUAUGACAGUAUAUUGUCAACCUUCCUUUUUUCUUUCUAGCCAACCAAACAAUUCACAACAUCUAAUACAAUAAAAAUAAAAAAUAAAAACAAAAUAAUGCAAGAUGAGGUAAAAAGCAAAGAAAAAUAGAGUUGGUGGACAGGAUGGUUGCAAUUGGAAAAUCAAAGAAAAAAAUUGGGAAGCAAAGUCAAUUGUGAACAACUAGAGAUAUGAUUAGGUCUAAGCAUUGCACCAAAGAAAAAAUGGGCAAAGGGUUUCUAAUUUCAAGUAAUGGGUUAAUUAAGAAGAACAAACCCACAAACUUGUAAUUAUUAUGAUCUGCUCAUUAUUAACUCAACCCUUCAUAAUAACAACGUUGCUGCUAUGAUAAUAUUUAUUUUAUACACAUGAUCACAAAUUAUAUUUUUGAACAACACUACCAAAGAAAGUGUCAAUUUAGGGCAAAGAAUGGUCAAGAAUAGGUGGCGCCAUUGUAUAAAAGAAAUAUUUCAGUUGUUAAAAUUUAAGAUUUUCAUUAGGAGGUUUUGAUUUUCAAAUAUGAAUCUCAACCCGAAUGAAUAAGACAAGUAAGUAAUAACAAUUUACAAAAUUCGUUAAAUGCUGAAAGAAAGACGAUUGAAACUGGAUUUGCACGAAGAAAGAACAAGAAGUAGCAAGAGUUCAGGAGUCCAAGUGUCAAGAAUACAAUAGUUGUCUUAUUAGUAGGAGAGAAGACAGGGUUAUACAUCUAAUGGAAGCAAGCUAUAAAUCCUCAAACAUAGGGACCAUCGUAUUGUUCAUGUUAGCACAUUUUCAAAAGCUUGCAAUUUUGAUAGCUCACCCUCGCAAAUUUAGAUUUCACUUAGCUGAUUUUUAGUAAAUUUGUUAUAACUUCGCAAUCAGGAACUAUGUGCUGCACUUCUUUUCCUUUUUUCACUAAAUCGCUAUUUUUUUUUCUUCUCGGUAAGCAACUACCUUCAUUUAUAUAUUCCAGCUUUCAAGACAUACAUUCUAUUAAUAAAUCUGAGCAUUAAAAAAAUGUUUUAGUAAAAUUAAUAAAUUAAUUAAGGGACAAUUCUGUUAAAUUUAAAUUCAUAUCGAAUUAAAUAUUUUUUUUUAUUAAAUCAAUGAGUUGUUUUUUUAAUGUUUUAACAAGUAUGACCGUUCAUUGAAGCAUCAAUUAAGGGUGUUUUUUUAUUUAUUUUUUAUUUUUUAUAUCAAUGAGUGUCAAUUUAGUAGUAAUUAUAUAUUAAUCAAUUAAAAAAAAUUAUCAGAUUAAUAUCUUAAUACAUGUACUGAUAUAAAUAAUCGAUAGAAUGUUCCUUUGAAUUACAAUUAUUCUACAGCCUCGUUCGUUGAACACUUGCAAGUACCAAAAAUUAGAUUACAGAAUUUCUUAGUGAAAAAUACAAUAGACAACGGCAAUUUAAUUUCAAAUCCCCAUACGAUGAACAAAAUAUGAGAUCAUAAAUCAAUCAGUUACCGCUAAGAAAAUGAAGCAAUUUGCAUCCACUGUCAUGAUAUUUGUAUUUUAGCAAAUAUUUUCUCAUCUAAAGUUUCAAAUAUAUACAAUUUGCAACCGUUAUUAAUUUGGUGGUAAGAGAAAAACACUGUACAGCUAAAGAAUCAAAAGCAUUGCAAAAAUAUAUAAACCCUAUCUUUGUUUCCAUUAUGUUUGAAAGAAAGAAAGAAGAGGAGAAGAAAAGACAAAGGAAAGUACAGAUUGGAUCAGAGAUAUAAAGAAUAAAAGAUAGAAGAGAAAAAUUUAAAGUGAUGGUUUUGGAAGAGAGCUUUCAAGAAGGCAUUGGAUAAAGGAAGAAAGAAAAAAAAAAAAGAAAGAAAGAAAGAAAACAAGCAUCUCUCUCUCUUCAGUGUGUCUGAAAAGAAAACUGGCAAGCAUAACCCUAGCCACGUUCUUUUACUGCCAUACGCUUUAUCCAAAUCAAGAAGGCUAAGCUAAGCAAACAGCAAAAUUUCAAGAAUCUGCAUUAUCUUUCUGUGUGGUGCAACUGUAGCUGCUGCUGGCAGAGCAGGAACCAGAACCACACCUCACCCCUCACCCUUAUGCCUAUCAAUUUCUCAAACUUCAAAGCAAUAGCCCAUCACGCAAUAAUCCACUGGGUAAUAACCCAUCCCUACAAAUACACAGACAAAUGCUGAUUUUGACACCCUCCAUUAAUAAAACGUCAGAACCAGUUCAGCUCAUGACCUUUCUUGUCAAUAAAUAUUUCAAUUCUAGCUUAAACAACAUAAAAAUAAAUAAUUUCUUUUUUCUAAAAAGAGGAGGAAGCUACACUGUUUUUCUUAGCUAAAAUCACUACUGCAUUACAUUAACAUGAAAGAGGAAAUUCAAUUAAACAGAAGUGAUGAUAUGAUAUGAUGAUAAUGAACAUCGAAGGAAACACCUAAUUUUUUAAAAAAAAAGUUAAAAAAAAAAAAGCAAAAAUACCCUCUUCAAAUUCACAGUGACUAGUGAGUAACUUUAAUAAGGCGGUGGAGGCGGUGGUGGCCUUGCAGUGGGUGCCCAGAUAACCUCAGAAGGCAAAUGACAACUGUACAUAACCAUUCCACAAGAAUCUCCUCCGCCACCACCUUGAGUAUGUCCACUAUCUCCUCCGCCUCCACCGGCACCAGACACAGCCGGUGAGCUACCUUCACCACCACCACCACCACCAGAACCAGAAUUUCUCCCUUCUUCGUCAGCCGGUAAUCGGUGAUGACUCGGAUUAUUCAACGUCGCUGCCACAACAUACACCGUACCAGCCGCUACCAAACUACCAGCAACUAGACCACCUACGAUCUGGCCCUGAGGACCCGCCAGAGAAAUAGUGAAAGUAUUAGGCACUGGAUACGACACCGUCUGAGGCAUAAAAGUAGCUGAGAUCGAUAAAAUAUCAAAUCUGCCAUGAAAGGUAAUAGUAGACCCCGGAGUCGUCGACGGUUGACGUAGAGUGACAUUCGCGACGGUACCAGAUCCUGUAAGGACACAGAUUCCAAUAUUCUUACGGCGACAAAAGCGAGAAAUAGCUUCAACGACGUCGCUUCCACCAGGAACUUCAAGAAUGUAAGGACUCAUAGCAGGUUCAGGAUCACGCGUAAUAAUAACAGGCGGUUUAGGUUUAUUCUUAGAACCAGGCGGUCUACCUCUAGGCCGGCGAACAACUUCAAUGGUAGCACCAUCAGUACCGCCGCUACUAUUAGGUUCAAUCGGUUUCUGUUUCUGGGUGGGGGUGAUGGCGGCGGCAGCAGCAGCAGCAGCGGUGGAGGGGGUGGUUACAGCCGCAGCAGCACCGGUACUUCUAGUAUCAUCGUCUUCAGAAUCACGAGAAAGCGGGAAGUGCUGAGAGAAAGGAAGGUGGUGGUGUUGUUGGUGGUGGUGGUGGUGGUGAGAUUGGAGUUUAGAGAACAUGUUAAGAGUGUUUUCAUGCUUUCCUUGAUGAUGGUGAUGGUGUUGCGCUUCUACAUAUUCACCUUUCAUAUCUUCUAGUGUAUUUAAAUAUCUAUUUAGGGUAAGUAUGGGUUAUGGGUUAUGAUUGGAGGAUUUUUAAAGAGUAACAAUAUGAGAAAGAAGAGCAAGAAGAAAGAAAAGGGAUUUGUUUCGUUUAUAGUUGUUAUUAAAAUGGAGAAAAGAAGAGAAGAGAAGAGAAGAGAAGAGAUAGAGAUAGAGAUAGAAAGAGAGAGAAACAGGGAGAAAAAGAGAAGGUGGGUGAGCUUGGAAACCAAGUAAAGACUAAUAGCGCCGCUGGUUGGGGUGGUAAAGUGGGUUCCACACAUAACAUAGCAAGGAGAAAAUUAAGAAAGCGUUUGGCUUUUUGAUUCGGCUUUGGUUUUGGUUCUGGUUUUGGACUCUUGGGGUUGGGCUUAGAGUUAGAGACAGAUGGGAAGAGUUAUAUGGAACGCUCCCGACCGAGUGGAUUGACAGUGACUCGUUGAUGUUGUAUCUUUUGGGUUAUGGGGGCAUGCUCUUUAUGUAUCUUCUCUCUACUUUCCUUCUCAACUUCUCUCUCUGUCAUCAUGGAAUUCAAAAUAGUCUGGCUUUCUUUGCUCUAUGAAGAUAAGAGAGGUAAAGAGCUCUGAAAUGAAAUUCAAGCUCACUUACUUUGACAAGAAGAUUUCGUUUGCACGUAAAACUGUGGUACCCUAUACGAAUUUCACGUCCAUUAAACACAAGAUGCAGUAUUGUAGACGGGGAUAAGUAAACUUUAAACUACGCGUUUCCAGUUAUAAAAGAGUUUUAGGAUGUUAAUUUCUCGAGGAGCGGAUGUGAUACUUUAAGCGAAUUUUAAAUCGACAUAUUACAUCAAUACUUAUAUGUUGAGAUGGUUCACGAAUAAUAAGUCUUUUUGAACCCUUGAUUGAAGGGGGAAAAAAAGCUUUAAAAGAAAAUCUAAAUCUUAAAAUCUUGAGCUUUUCUAAUCAUUUUAGCUUAGCAAGUACAUUUUGGUUUUAUAUAAGUGAAAAGAAUUAGUAGAAAAUGAAAAUUAUAAAGUGAGACAAAGCUUGCUCGACCUUUUCCCAAUUUAAAACACACAAAAUGUGUAAAGUAAAUGUCAUAGUGGACCCGCAUGCAUCCUAUAACCACACUCCAUUCUUCCACUUGCAACCUCUAUAGCCUUACCUAGAAUAUCAACACAGUAUCUAGUUGCUGUCUUUAUUGUGUUUUGGGAAAAAAAACUGUACUAUCUUAUCAUGUUAGUAUCUUUAAAACAAACUUACCCUAAGAAAAGAAAAAAAAAAAAAGCUAAAUUAUUACCAUUUUAAUUAAAGUUUUAAAAAAUAAAAAAUUAUAACAAAGACAAUAACAUCAAAUUUGAUGCUACAUCGUGUUAAAAUAGAACAUAAUAUUAGUGGAAGUGAACUGCGAUUGGUUAAUGUAUUAUUAUGUUGAUCAAUGAAGUCUUAAUUUUAACGGCUAAAAUGGAGGUCAAGAUCAAUAAAUCAUGAGUUCAAUUUUAUGUUGAUAUAUAAUAUAAUCUGUACAUGCAGUAAGCGAUUGAAUUAGUAAAAAUAAGCAAAUUUAAUAGGCGAAACAAACAAAUAUAGAACAAAGGAUGCGAAGAAGAAGUGUAGAAGCAAAAGAAAGAAAUGGGUAAUACUUGAUUAACAAGCAUGGGAAGGAGCUUUUUGUUGGUUUAAAGCAAAACUACCAAAUUGGGUAAUAAAAAAGCCAACACAGAAUAUGCUUUAACAUCAGAAGCCGAAAGUGAAAUCUAUGCAUGAAAUGAAUUGGCCUUCAGUUCAUACUUAGAUGCGACGAUAAAGUAAAGGUAAAUGUCCCAAACAAUCCUCAAACUCUCCCAAAAUCAAACUUCAAUCCUCUCCUUUUCAGAAAAUGUGUAUGGUCCCAUACAAGAAUAUUUUAUUAUUUUUAUUUUUAUUUUAAAAUUAAAAUUAAAAUUUUUUAUUAUUUUUACCAAAAUUAUAAUGAAUUGAUCUUAGAAUCAAAAGUUUAUGUCCUAAAUUGAUCUAAAUAUAAUUUUAGGUAAAUUGAACAUUUAUUCAUCGUUCUAUUAGUAUAACCACCACGACAAUAUAUAAUCACUUGACAUAACUAAGAAAUUCAAAUCUUGACAAUAUUACAAAUUAUGGUUCCUUCAUUCAAAUGUUAAGAACCCACUAUUUAGGAAGCCGGAUUAUAUAAAUGUUUUUUUUAUCAGUAAUAUAUAUAUUUAUCUUUUUAAUUUAUAUCUAGAAAAAACUUAACAUUUUUAAAUUUUUAAAUCCGAACCAUCAGGUUCUCCAAAUACACUCAACCUAUUUAAAAAAUACUAAGUAAAAAGAUCCGAAAAAUCUCAACUUACAUAAGAUUGAUCUCUUCUUGAGAUGAGAAGAUAAAAAAUAUUUUCAAAUCACAAAAUUGAAACAACCUAACGAAUCAAAACCAAGCUAAAAAAUCAUUAAACGCUUCAACAUCCUUCUUCACCAAAGAAUCUGCAAAGCAAUUUUGUUCUAUAAAAUCAAGCUGGAAUUGUAUAUGCGACAGGUGUCGAUAAAGGACAUAAAAUCUAUUGAAAAUACUAUCAUUUUUAAGGUCUUUUUUUCCUUACAUGAUACCCAACAAAUCGCAUUAUUUGUAUCAGAUUCAACAAUUAGAGGACAAUCCUUUAAAUGAGACAGUAAAAACAACUCAACGGCCCUGAUAAUAGCAUAUGAUUCUACUUUAUUUGAAUCGAUAAUAGCUGCUGAGCAACUCACCUCACCCUUAAGGUAUUUAAUUCAAAAGAAUUUAAUUUUGUAAACUCUCAUAUUUGGAAAUGAGAUAAUUUAUGGAAAAAAAAAAUUGAAGUAAUAGAAGUUAUGUCAUCAAUUUGACGUUGAAAAAAAUAAAUUUUGAAUUACAUGUAUCAUAAUUUCUGAAAUUGUAAAAUUAUUGGUUGUAUAUAAAUAAAUAAUAAAUUAAAUUAAAUCAUUAAAGAUGAGGUUUCCAGAACCGUGAAUGAACAAUGAAGAAAGCCAGCUUCUUUAUUAUUACCAUUUGGGCGUUGUCAAAUUAGUUGACAUCACCCACAUUUCCUCAAUCAGUUAAUUCAGAUUGGCAUAAGAGUCCAAAUUGGUGGGUAAGAAAAUAAAUCCUUUUUCCAUUUCUAUAACUAAAGAAAAAAAAAAAAGGUAGUAAAUGAUAAUCAUUUUUAAGCUUUAGCAAUUAUGAUUUAACACGUGUUAUUUGUGAACUCAAAAGUAUAUGCCAGAUUCCAAUAGGAAAAAUUACAGCACAACAUCUGUGUUUCGUGAAAUAUAAUUAGUAAUAUAUCUGUGUUUUUAAAAAUAUAUAAAUUUGUUCGUAUAUUUUGUUUUUAUUACAUUAGUAGAUCAUUCUGUUCAACUUUUUGUAUCUCUUUCAUUUAUUCAACAAAAAAAAAAAAAAAAAAAAAAAAAAAACACAAAGAUCAAGUGAGAGAUACUAAAAAUUUAUAUCUAAAUAAUUACAAUAUGAUCUCUGUAGUUUGAGAAGUAUAACUAGUGUGUCUCAUGUUUUUAAAAAUAUACCAAAAGUGAUAAGAGAUAAAAUAAAUAUUUUUCGUUGUUUCAUAAAACACUUAACAGAAAAGAUAUAAAAAUUGAACGGAAGGAUAUUAUCGUCUGAUGGAAGUAAACUAUAAGGAAAUUUUAGUCUAUUUUCUAAAACAUAAAAAUAGACUAGUUAUAUUUCUUAAAUCACAAGGAUCAUACUGUAAUUUUUCUUAUUCUAAUGAUAUUUAUUUAUUUUAAUUUUCAAAACUUAAAUUGCUUGUCAAUUAAGAAUGUAAAUCCUUUUAAAAGUAAAGCAAGAGAUUUUAUUCCUAGGCAAUUAAUGGCAAAGAGUGAAAAAUUGCAAGUUUAAAGCAACAUUAACAAAGGCAAGCAUUUGGAUUUAAUUUUAUUAGGAUUAGGAAUCUUUUUUAGUCAUUUCAGUGGGAAAGCAAAAGUAAAAUUUACUUUGUAAUGGUAAAAUUUCCUUGGUUAAUGUGAAGGCCAUUUAUGGGAUAUAGUUAAUCUUAAUCAUCAUCAUUUAGAAAGCUUUUUGCUAAAUUAUGAGUGCCCACUUGGCAAUUUGCUUUGCUUAUUAUGGUAUUAAUGAGUAAUCAAUGUUUUUCACUAGCUUAUAUAGAUUUCUAAUCAUAGUUGGCAAUUACCACAAUAAAUUACCACUUCCAAUUCAACAUGUUGAUAAUGAUAUGAUAUGUUAAUAAUGAUAUUUCAUGAUAAUUCUAGAAAGGGUAAUUUAAUGUUCGACCGCACUUAUUAAUUCUAAAGAUACAUUCUCUGCCCUAAAAUAUAAGUCGUUUGAAAGUUUUAAGAAAACAAUUAAUUCUCCUAAAUCAUAAUAAAUUUCAAAUUAUCAUUUAUCUCAAAACUAAUAAUUACUUAUGAAAACAUUUAUUGUAUUUAAUUUAAACAAUGGUAACAUUCAAAAAAUAAUUAUUGAUUCGAACCGAUGACCUUAGGUUACAAAUGGAGUAACUUUUGGUUUAUUAUCAGUAUAUCAAAGUAUAUAUAUCAUAUAAUAACAAUUUCGGGGUUCAAGAUAUCAAAAAAUUGCUUGUAAAUUUCAACUUUUAAUCAAUUCCAUAAUAGAUUAUACGGAAUAUCCUAAAAAUAUAUGAAUUUCGAAAAGGGUUGAUGUAUUGGCUCAAACAUGUAAUCUACAUGUCACAAAUCAAGUAAGUUUACUAUUAAACUAAAUUCUCCUAAUCACAUAAUAGAUUCUAACGGGAAAAAAAAUUAAAUAAUAAAUAAAAAAAUACAUAAAGAACUCUUACCUUGUAAUGCAUAGAUGAAUAAGUAUCGCAGCUUUGAUAAAGACAUGGUUGGAAAUUAAUUGCUAUAAAUGCCAAUCCAUUCCAUUCGGAAAUUAGCUAACAUUUGACCAAACAGACUGCUAGUUUUGAAAUGAUGGCCUUGUCAAUUGUAAUGUCACAGAUUUAAAUUAACAUAAUAGCAAUGUCCAUCCAUUUAUUGCAGAACAAUAGGAAAAAAAAUCAUUAUUCUUUUAACCAUAUGGUGCAAAAUAUGUAAUUGUCAUAAAUGAGUCAUGUAAAAUGAAAUUGCAUACAAGCAAAUGAUUUCUAGCUUAACGAUAAGGGUGAUGUUUUGAGAUCUCUUAAUCUCAAAUUCUAUCCUUAAUAAUAUAAUAUUUAAAUGGUUGCCUCCUCUUGCUCUACAAACCAUAAAAAUGGUAUUAAGACCAUAUUCGGAAAACAUUCAAGUGUGAUUUACUAAAAAUAGUUUAGUCAAAACUCAAAAUACAAGAAAGAGUAAAAUAUACAAAAAGGACAAAUAGGAAAGGAUAGAAUAGACUGACCAUACAGGUACAAAUAAAUCCAAAAGAAGCAAGUUGCAGCCUCUAGUUGCUUUUGGAUAGCCAAACUAAAUGGCAAUGGGACCUAUUCUUUUUGACCUUGUUGGGUUUUGGUUUGUUUAUAAUAUCCAUAGACCGUUGAAUAUGAUUGCUAAAAUUUGAAGAAGUGAAUUCCUUUUCAAUGUUUAAUAGUAUAAUAAUAUUUCUCCAUUAAACACAAGGGAUUGGAGUGCUUUGAAUACCGAACAAAAAGACAGAAAAAUAGUUAGGAGAAAGUUCUAAUUUUUAAAAAUUUAUUGGAAGACCAAAUAGGUGCAAAGGCCAAGCAGAUUGCCUCGCUAGCAGCGCCUCCACUGUAAAGAUUGAUAAUUUAAGUUCAAAAAUUGCAGUGACCUGGAAAGUUCAUUUUAUACUAUAUGUGAACAGUGACUGUCCAUAUCAAAUGAUACAUAUAGAUAUAUUAUUUUUUUAUAAAAUAAAAUAAAUCACAUUUUUUUAUGAUCCUCUGAACUUCGAAUGUGACCUUGUGACAUAUUAAACUUGGCUUCAAAUUUCAUUUUUUCAGUAUUUGAGACCCUCUAAAAUCAAGUAUUUGUCCAUUAUAAAAAGUUAAAUAUCACACAUGCAUAAAGCAAUUAUAAAAAGCAAACACAUACAUGUUCAGUUCACGCUAUAAAAGUGAAGUUAUGAAGCUUAUUUCUCCAGUGAUUUCUUUCAGCAAAAGUUAAGAGGGUCUCAGCCUUUCUUGAUCUAUUGGAACUCAAGAUUGUUCCUUCUGCAUUCCAAAGUAAAAGAAAUCCAUGAAAGCUUGUGCAAUUUCAUCUCACACUGUCUUUUGAACAAAUAUUUAUUUGGAGCUUAAAAGAAAAAAGCUAAACUGUUAAUUGUUUAAAAAAAAAAAAUACAAGGAUCUAAUAAUGUAUUCUUCAAAUAAUAGGUAGGAAAUAGUCAUUUACCAAACUAUUUCAAAUCUCACAUGAUCAUUAGAUAUAAACGGGUUGGUGAACACUGUAACCAUAACUUAGCUGAAAUGUUUGACCGACAAAACUAAAAUAUUUAUCAAAAUGCAAUUUUUAAUUUUUUUAAAAUUUUUAAGAAUGAUGGCAGAUGGUCAAUAAAACAAACCAGCUAGCACAAGGGAGUGUCCGUUUAAAGGCCUAAAAUACAGAAACCAGUAAAAGAAGUGCCUGUUUAAAGUCCUACAGGUCGGUGCAUGAGCAUAACUUUUUCACAUUCCCAACCUUCUGGCUGCUUUAUUCAUGUAGAUGUUCAGAGGUUCUUUGGAUGAUAAAAUUUAACAAAACGACAUUCUAAUACCGACAAUAUUACAAAAAAAAAAAAUCGUUCUUAAUAGGUUUGGCAAAACAUAGCCAAUGAUACAAAGGCUCAAAUUGAAGUACUUGUAUGGUAAAGAUCAACCAAUAACAUAUCGGGCAAAGCAAAACAAAACAAAAACAUUACAAAGUCAGGAUGAACAAAAAGGUAGGUGGGAAACUACCAUCUCAUAAUCGUGCAACAUAGGAAUUUGCCUGAGUCACAUAUCUCACCCAUCGAUAUGGAUUAUAGGUAUUAGAUUUCUUUGCUAUCUGUAAAUAUUUCACCUGCAUCAAGGAACCAUAGAAAAAGAAUUGGAUGUCUUCAAAGGCACACAAAGGAGUUGCAAGGAAAAGUUGAAGUAUGUACUAAGCUCUCAGCUAAAGCUUUAGUUCCAAUCACAGUGCAUAAAAUUAAAAAUUAGUUCCAAUCACAAGAGAUAUGCAUAUAAAGCAGCAAAAUUGUAGAAGCAAGCCUUGAAAUUACAGGAAUAAGGAGAUGACAGGCAAUCAACUGUAGCCCCACCCUUUUCUCCGGACAAUUUAUUAUUACUACCACUAUUGCUACUUGUGCUGAAUGGAGGAAGAAGCGGAUUAUAUUGUAGAUACCGGUGGUCCAUUCUCAAUUAUGACCUCCUGAUGUAGUUUAUCUUCCAAUUAUGCAGCUCGUUUCCAAGCCGUGGUCCUAGCCUGUUUUAAAGAGAAGGGCUUCGCAAUUGUUCUUUUGCUUUUGCCUUUUGGUAGUAGGAAACUUAAUAAAUAGUUUCAAAUUUAAUUUGGUUGUUUAAAAACUUUAUACUUUAGCUGGACUAUUCAGCAAUUUUUGAUUUUCAUUCCUCUUGACAAGGUUGUAGCCAAAAUGAGCGUUCACAAAUGAGUGUUUCAGGAAACAGUUUGAACAAACUGCCAAAACCCAUGAAUUCCAUCACAAUUCAGUUCACAGGGAAAAUGCCCAGCAAAUAAGUCCUCUAGGUGGGGGUCAAAUUAAUAGUGGCUAGAGGUAUAAUGCAAAUUAGAGUUCCCAUGCAUAUUAUUAGAUGUAUAGACUUUAACCACCUCUUCGAAAUUUUGCUAGUGUAUAUAUUUGAUUAUGAAAAGACAUUUCUGUGAUUGCAAAGGAAAAUUAAUGGCUCACCUGAAGCCUAGAAGCAUUGUACAUUGGUAUUGUGAAGGUCAUGCUUACUGGUCCAGCCUCCUUUGUGAUAUUGCCUGCACCAAGCAAUAAAUAUGUUUCAUUCAGUGCAGCAUGAAGAGGAAAUAUCAUGAAUUGAAGCAUGAUCUCAUCACAAAUGAUUAUAAUUAAUACCAUGUAACUCUUGAGAAAAUGUCAGUUUUGCACGUAAAGUAUGUUCAGAUCCACCAACAAUCUGUUGCACAUUGCAUGUGUAAGUUAAAAAUUACUUGGCAAGAGCAUAAUAACUGAAAUGGAAGGCAAAAUUUUAUGGAAGUCGCACACAUUUAAGAAAUUCUCACCUUCUUUAAUCCCCAUUCAAGUCUCUUAUUUGCUUCCUUGAAAUCUGUUGUUUGCCCAACAGCUCCAGGUUCCAAAUCAAAAGUAGCUCUGAAAAAGAUAGGAAGAAAUUUUAAAAAUUUAUGCAAUGUAAAUAAAUAAAAAGUUAUAUGAACCACCAGUAUGAUCUGUCUCAGUUGAAUCUCCUAAAUAGCAGACCAAUAUCAAGAACUGCCUAUUUUUACUAGGUUCAAAGACCUGCAAAGGCAUUUGCAAAGUCUAGUAAUACUUGUAAACUAAUGACUUCCCCAACAAAAUGCACAAACAAGUUACUGAGGCAUUGCCUAUAAGCAAACAAGAUUUUGCUAUCCCCUUAAUAUCUACUUCAGAGGAUAUUGUGCCUGCCACCUCAAUCAAUUCACCCAUUUAGAGAAUUCCUAGUAGUUAUAUUUUCUACUUAUAUCCAUUGUGAGCCAUGCAAAUGAAUUGUCUUACUUUAGACAAAUAGUUCUCUCUUUUGAAAACAGAUUGAGCAAACUUGUCCACGGUUUCUUUUGAAAGCCAGAUAAUCACAAGCUUACUGCACCGAUGAACUGAAAAAUGGAGCUAAUUAGGCUCCACAAGGAAACAUGUUUUAAAUCAUAAUCGUACAAUAUGAUUUAGCAGAAAUGCAUGUUUUAGUCAGUUAAAUUCCAAGAUACGCACAAAGGAUCUACUCUGCUCACAUCCCCAAAUAAAAGACUACAGAAAAUCGUACCUGGCAGUAUAUUUUGGCAAUGGCAUCUGUAUAUGAAUUGUGUUUGCAGUAAUGCUUGAAGGAAACUCUGCUGAUAUUUUAAGAAUCACCUCGGCCUAUAUGCACCAGCAGAUAUGGAGAACAGCAACAUGGAUACAAAAGACAUAUAAAAGUGGUAAGCAGCAGCAUCACUUAAAACUAUGUCUAAGGCCUAAUAAUCCUUACAGCAUGUCUUGGCAUGAUGUUCCAUGGACAAGACAUGCUGUCAUGUCAUAAAAAAUGUUCCUCUUAAGCUCAGUUAUUUUCAUCAUCCAGCAAAUUUAGCAUAAGGAGGGUAGUAUUCACCUUAAGCGCUCCAGCUUCCUCAAUCAAAGUAUUAAUGCGGAAAGGAGGUUUGAAUUCCUGGGUCAUACGAUAGUUCAUGACAGGAAAUUCACCAUCUGGGGGUACCUGACAGGAGCAUAUAAUGCACUCAACUAAGAAACAAGAGAUAUAUAAAUGGAACCUCUUCAAAGAACACGAUUUUCAAACUUAAGCAUAAUUUUCAAGCUUAUCUGGUUUUAUUUUAUCUCACCAGCGUCAAAGUUCUAUCCAAGUCAAAACUAUCAAGCCGUACAGAUUCAUGAAAAUUACAAUCAUCAAGUAUAACUGCUCCUGACCCAGUUGAACUCCUGUAAUCUGCAGCAAGCAGCACCAAUUGAGAGAGAGAAGAAAAUAAGAGAGAGUACCUACAAAGUUACUUACUGAUAACUGUGUCUAACCAUCAUAAAGACUCCAUAUACAAAAUAAAAAUGAAAAAAAAAAGAGGGAAAAUAACCUUUUAGACUGAAUUUCAGCAAAACUAGUUUUAUCAGGGACCAAAAGUUAUACCAAUGAGAAAUCAUGUCUCCAUUUAUUGACUGAAAAAAGUUAUAAGUUACAACAAAAUAUGGUCUCCAAAUUCUAAAUCAUGUUCUGUUCUCAUCAUGCUUCCACAAGUCUAUAUUUGGCAAAAGGAACAUGACUAUGAAAUGCUAAUCCUUUGAGUUACUUGUGCAAGUAUUAUAUGGCUAAUAGCCAGUGAACUUGAUACAUACCAUAAGCUGAUCUCCCACUACCUCUUCCUAUGGUCAGGUCCUCAUUAAGGGCUAACCGAAUUUCAGGAUUUCCAGUGAGAUAACUCUUCAUUUGAAUGGUGCCAUCAAUUUCGGACGUCAAUAUAUAACCCUGUUUGUUGAAAAAAAAAAAGACUAAUAAAUUUGAAUAAACAAAUAAAGUAUUUUUCUUAUCUAAGUAAAAAAUCUUCCAUGAAAAACAACAACCAAUCCAGUUCAGUGGAGCAUGAAGACAUUUAAUGAUCUCAAACAUGAGAUCUUAACUGCACAUUGUUAACAACUUGACCCAGUUAAUAGCUGCAGAAAAUGCUAAUAAAACUCGCUAAUGUUUAAGCACAUGAAAAGGAGGAAAAGAAAACCAUAUGUAGUGACAAGGUAACAGCAAAAACAAAAAUGCAGCAGACAUAUUACAUGCAUAUGAUGUAAUGUUAUCAAUGAUCUGUAAGGAUUUUUUGUCUGAGUCACUGCUUGCUUUUAUCAAUUGUUAUUUGCAAUAGCUGCAUGAUACACUGGAACUGAAAUAUCAACCAGAUUUUCUCAAAUGAAUUAAAUAAUACUUACACUGGAGCUGAAUGUGACACUGAUUUUCUCAAUUAUAUCCACAAAUAUUUCUUCCCUCUUCCUACCUCCAGGUUCAUUUGCCACAACAGAUUUCGUUACAGCUGUACCUGGCAUCCUUUUGGUCCCUUGCUGCAUUUGAUUCCAAGUACUAAGAAUCAAUUAUAACUAGAUGCUAGGUACAAUCAUUAUUAGGUGUAUUCGGAGUAUCACUUGAUUUACACAGAUUAAAUCAUACCAUAAAAAUCGCAGCAGGGCUCAGAGGUUGCAAACGGCUGGCAUCAACCACAAUUGGCUCAUUAAAUACAUAAGACUUCAACACUUCAGUGGAUGUUGUCUGUACAUAACCAAAAUCCUGGAACAAGGAUACAGGAGUUUAAAUAUCAUAUAAGCUUCCCAAAUACUUGAGCACAGGCUAAGUAACACGUCAAAAUUUCAUGGGAAGGACAUAUCUAUUACACUUAAAAUGGACUAACAUUAACAUAUGAUACAUCAUGAUGCAAGAGCUGCAAAAAAAGAUAUCCAGUCAAGUAAAUGAAUUUUUGGAUUGAGCUGCAUAUGGGUAAGAGAAUGUCACUUAAAAAACUAAUGGGCCAAUAAGGGCUCUCCAACUGCAAAAACACACUAGAUGCAUUGAAUAAAUUAUAUAAUUUCUGAACUCAAGAGCAAGGACAAAGAGCUAAAAGAAAAUCUCCAGGAACACAAGUAUGAGAAUGUACAGAUUGGCUUGGGUUCCACAUUUAAAUCUACUGACUGAACAGUACAGAAUAUGAGGAGAGAAAGCAGCAAAUGUUCAUAUAUCCUGUAGAAACAUGCCAUCAAAAAGGGAUAGAAAGCAUGAUGAGAAAACUUACUAUCACUUCAUCAAGCAAUUCAUAGACAAGCACAAAAUUUCUCCGCAGAGAAUCUUCAUUGAGAAUGCCAAGGUAAUCCUUGAUGACGCGAGCGACCCUUUGCAAGAGUUCCAACACCAGAGAAGGUGACACAUUAACUCUUGUGGUUGCAACAAAUAAUAAUCCAACGACCUUUACAUGAAAGUAGUUCACCCCAUCCACAUUCUAUCAAUAAAACAAGAAAUUGUGACAGGACAUUAGCAUACUGACUUUAGCUGAGAUAUUUGUUAUCAUAAAGAAAAAUACUCUUAAAACUACAUCAAAAGAAAAAAAAGCUAAAAUACUGUAAUAAAUAAAUAAAACUGACAAAUAGCAGCAUAUAGAGAAAUUAUGACAACCAAAUAUGGACUGUUUGGAAUGCAAUGAUACAGAAGUAGAAGCCAAAGCAUAGAUGCCAAGAGCUCCGAGUCUGAACAAAUAAUCAAGAAGCUAUACGAUCAACAUUCUUAACUUUUCCUAGCCGAUGGUAUCCCAAAUUUCACUUAAUAGUUAUUACAAACUCUUCUGAAACUAAAUAAGAUAGCAUUUGCUAAACUAAAUAAGCCUUUACUAGACUGAAUUAGGAAAAAGAAAUUCUCUACUAGAGAAAGACUAAGCUAAGGCAAACUGUUGGGAUAUCUCACAUAAGAGGUGCAGUAAUAAAAUAAAAUUUAUUUCUCUCUCUUUAAAAAAAAAAUUAUACGUACAUGUAUACCAGAAAGAACUCUACACAUUUUCCCAUAACAAAAAGCUUAUGACACAGUUCAGAAUUAACAAACAAGGCAUACGUUCAUUGGCUUAAUAUGUUCAUACCAUAAAUGGAUAUGAAAAAUACACUUCCAAACAUUAUUCAGAAACAUAAUACCUACAAAGACAGGCGGUGCCUCUUCGUCUCCAUCCUCCUUCCAGAACUUCACUUUACGGAAAAAUAUUUCAGCACUUCCUUUUGCUACUUCACCACGAUCUGCAAAAUGCAAUUUAAUUUAACAUAGAAUAAAACAAUGCAAAAUCCAGUUCCCAAGUCCUCAUACACAAACUCCCUCUCAUUGAUUAAUAAAUUCCUGAAAUGCAACCCUAACUGCUAGACCAGUGAGAUGUUACAAUUAAGUGAAAUAUUUUUAGAUCACGAGUAAACUUCAAAAUGCGGAAAUGAAGAACUAGCUGCUGGAUCUAUUGCAUUAAAAUUAAAAAUCGAACUGGCUAUGAAUAGAAACGAAUGAAAUUUACAAAUUAUCAAAGGUUAUACAAGAUUUUAUAAUAGAUCCAUCAGAUAGGAAAAGAGAGACUCACAGUCGCGAAAGACAAUAUUAUCGCCUCGCUGUGAGAGAACAAAGAACUGAGAGAUCAUGAUUAAUAGCUGCUCUUCUUCCUUGAGAUUUCCUCUCUCUGUCUCUGUAAACUAAGCUUGGGCGAUUUGUUCUUGUUGUUUGUAAUCUGUAAAAGCCCAAAACGAAAACCAAAAAGUAUCUGUAAUUAUAAUUCGUAAUUUAAUAAAUUUAAUGCUCAAAAACGACCAUUCUUGGGUCGCUAAUGCGUUGUCGUUUGACUAUUGCUUGCAAAAUGGGCAAAACCAUUACGGGUACGAAAUACGAUGGACUGAUGCGCAAGCACGAGGCAACGCAACGAAACAAACCGUUUGAUGGUCGAACGACCGAUUCGCACACGUCCUGUCGUUCGAGGGCUUUAAACCGAGUUUAUCUUAUCAAUAUCAAUAUCACUCGUGUUAAAAUCCGCGCGAUGCGCGAACUAAUAUUAAAUGAUAAAAUAAUUUUUUAUAAUUUCGACGUAAACAUAACAUGACAUGUUUUCUAAGUGAUAGUAUCAUAAACACGACAUGUGCUUAUACAAACACAAUACUUAUUUCUAAAAAAAUAGUUUUACUUAUUAAUAUUAAUUUAAUUUUUUUUCCUCCUCCUAUGUGAUAUUAUCUGAAAAUAUAAUUAUUUUCCCUUAUAAUAUGUAAGAUGUAUAGAGUAAUAUUAAAAGAUAAAAUAAUAUUUAUAAAAUUAUUUAAAAAUAGUAAAAUUAUAUAAUGAAACGAUAAAUUGUAUCUUAUUGAAAUAUGCUGAAAAGCUGCGAUGCCAAUAUAUGUCUUAUUACGUAUCAUGCAAAAUUUUUCAUAAAAUAUGCAAUAGUAAAAGUUAUGCAUGGUAUGACCUACAUAAAAAAAAUGCAUACACAUUAUUAAUAUACUUUUCAACAGUGAUAGUAAUUUUGAGAAUUUAACUAAUUAUAUUGAAAUAAGAAAUUAAAUAUUUUUAUUUUAUCUUUAUGAUUUAUUAUAAAUGAUUAUUUAUUUAUUUAAAAUAUUAAUAUAUUAUUUAUUUAGUAUGCUAUGUUCUGAACGUGUGGAUCUCUUACUUUUUUUUAUAAGAUUAUCGUGUAUCUCGUUUCCAUGCAACAUAACUCCUAGUAAAUAAUUGUUGUCAUUACACUUUAUCUUUUUACAACCUAACUAAAUAAUUGUUAUCCUCUUCAUAUUGUAGAGGCUUACACUUAGAUUCCAUAUAAUGCAACCAAAACCUAAAAGAUAAUGGUCCAAACACAGUACCCAUGAGACAAUGACCAGAUAUUCAAGUAUAUAAUUUUGGUAAAAUAUUCUAUUUCAUUUCCCUUUUCAUGCACACGCACUCCAUAAGUGAUGUGAAAUCUGAAGAAUUACAUUGGAUAUUGAUGUGUGUAUAGUAUAAUUUAAAUAUUUUAAUAUAAAGUGUGUCGAAGCUUUUUAUCUAUAAUUUCUUACAUUUUUUUUAGUUUGUGUUUGAGAAAGUCAGUAAGGUUUCGAGUCAUCAUAGACUAAAAAUCUCCUUUACGAUAGUUUUGCAAGAUUUUAUGUUAAGAUUAUUAUCGCUGAGCUAGUUGGUCAUGGGUAUUGCUCAAUCCAAGAAUGAUUAAAAGCUAUUGCUCCAAGUUGUUUUAAGAGAAAUUUUGCUAUUGCAAAUAUUUUUUUAAGGAUUAGGAUCCUAAUAUAUUAUGAGAUUUAUUUUGAAUUAAAAUUUCGCCUCAAAAAUAUGAGAUAUGAGAUUUCAAUACGAUCUUCAACCGUUUAUUUAUCCUUAUUGCCAUGAAAGUUAUCGUCAAUUUUGAUAAAUGUUAUUUGAAUAUAAAGUUGUGGUGUUUUUAUUAUCUCUUUUACUUUAACUCCCAGAAAACUCUUUCUUAAUAAACAAAGCAUUCGUAGUUAUGUUAAGGGUGUUUGGUAACCCAGAAAAUAUAUGAACACCGAGGAAAAUAAAGAAAAGGACGAUAGAAGAACCGAAAUUUAAAGCGAAUGUAGGAAAAAGAGUAUACUUUGUCAUUACUUGUCUUUUUCCAUAAAUACAAACAGAUAUGCAGUAGCCUGUAUCUAAAUGUCAACUCAGCUACUUGCACAUCAGCAGCUCCAUAAACAUUUAAUCACAAGUUGAAGUAACUGAAAUACUAUGCAGGCUAUUAAAACCUAUUACAGCAAUGUUUAUUACAAUAUAGUCCCUUGAUUCCCAACAAGUCGUAAUUGAUAAUUGUUGAUAUACACACAAGACCUUUAUCAUUAAAAAUCUACAUUUACUGUCUAAAAAGGAACAUUAGCAGUUAAAAAUGAUAAAAUCAAUAUGAUCUUUGCAAUAGCAGAACAUAUUUUGUGGAAUGCAAACAAACUCAGCACCAGAACUCUGUGUCUUUUGCUGAGAAUCUGUUGCCUUCUAUGAAAUCGAGGGUCCAUUUCUCAAAUGUACAAUUCAAGAAAUCAUAGUAUCCUCCAUGAACAAAUAGCAUCUCUUUCCUCACCCUGACUUCAAUCCAGGGAUAUGUUAACAAGUUAAGCAAUGAACGGUUGAUAGAUUCCUGUGCCAAAAGAAUUCCUAGUAAAUUAUCUCAAGAAUUGUGAGAUUGCAAGUUGAAAUUCCAGUCAAAGCCAAAUUAAAGUCUUUGUCCCUAAAUAUAUUUCUUCAUUGGAACUACAAUUAGUUUCAGCAGAGAAUCUUGGAAUCAUGUCCCAUCAUGAUAAAGUGGAUGAAAAUUGAAGUCUUAGUCAAUAAAUAUAUUUCUUCAUUGGAAUUGCAAUUAUUUUUAACAGAGAAUCUUGAAUCAUUUCCCAUCACCAUAAAGUGGAUAGGUAUGGAGAACAAACCUUCUCACAGUAUUUGCAUUGUUGAUCAAAGCUAAGGCCACUAGCAUCAGCUUCUGUUCUUAACUUGGCAAUAUCGGCAGUGGCAACCCAUUUCUCAAUAAAGCUACAUGAGAAAUGUAAAGCAGUAAGGAAGUUAUCGUCGAGAAAAUUCAUCGAGAUUUUAGUAAGGUAAUCUCCAAAUAUCUAUUAAUAACAAAAGAAGGAAAAAGGUUGUGAAAUAAAACCUUGAGUUCUUUUCAUCUUGAGUACUCAUGAGAGCUUGAAUUCCUGCACAGUUGCUGUGGCCAAUGACAAAUAUAUUUUCAACCUACAAGAAUUUAACAACCAUAUUGCUUGCUCAAACAUAUAGAAGCACUUGAUCUUUAAAACAACGAUAUGUUGGAUAAUUUGCGAGGAAGGUAGUUCUUGCAUCAGCUUAAUAUAUGGCCUCAAGAACACAAUUUUAAUUUGCAUCCUUCAGAAAGAAAAAAAUUUAGUUUAUUUUCAAAGGACAACAACUUACUUCAAGAGUAUUUACAGCAAACUCAAGUGCAGCAUUUGUUUCUGUUGGUCCAUUCUAUAAAACGGAAAAAAAGAAUUGAAUUAUGUAACUCAGCUAUGCUUGAUAGCCAAUAUUGGUAUUAAGCAUAAUUGUCAUACCUCAAGUGGAGGCACAAUAUUUGCAACAUUUCUAACCGUAAAAGCUUCUCCAGGUUGAAAUCCAAGAAUGUUAGAUGGACAAACCCUAGAGUCUACACAAGCAAUCACCAUAAACUGUUCAAGUUGUCAGUUUGAAAAGAACUAGACAAAUUUUCCUUGCAUAAAAUUAACAAAACACAAACAGAAUCCAAGAAAGGAAAACAAAAUAUUUACUUCUUUAGCAUAUUAAGAAGCACCGAAUUAACAGAAUCAAGUUUGUUAAUCACCUUUGGAGAUUGCAAUUCAGCAAGAUUUUUAAAAUGCUCAGCUUCCUUUCUGAUGAAAAACUGAUGUUAGGAAACAGAAUUGUUCAAAGCAAUUUCAAUUAAAUUCCUGCGUUUGCUUGUACUUUAACUUCUACUUACAAAUAUUUAUACUGCUUGAAAUUCAGAAACCUUUGUUUCAUCUCAUCAAACGAGUUUUGCCUGCCACCACUUUUGGGCACAUUCUGUACUUGAACACUUCUAUCUUCCUGAACAAGUCCUAACGAACUUAUUGAAGCAUCCACUCUCAAAAUUGGAUUCUCUCUACAAAGCAUUAUAUAAAGAAUUAACAUAACAAGAUAAAUAAUUCAACCCAACAAGCAAACUUGAAUUUAAGUUUUAUUCCUAGUAAACGUACUAAAGAAGGGUCAAGCACAUGAACUUACUUAUGCGAAGAGGGAAAUCCCAAUCUAACAUCAUUAACUUUCGCUAGCUUCUCCUGUAAUAAGAGAAAGAAAACGAGAGUACUUAAUAAGAUAUACUUCUGCAAGACAAUUAAUUAAGUCAAGGAAAUAAUUAAUAAAGUAAAGGCCAAAGGAACCCACUGAGGCAGAAUUAAGCCAAUUUCUGGGAAAACCAUCGAUAGCAGAAAAGGGUGAGCCAUGAAAUCCCCAUUUUACUGAAACAUGUCUGAAAGCAACUACUGCUGUAACAAUCGAACCAGUUCUCAAUCCUGUAAUAUGCAAGAAAACAGAACUACUAAGAAUUUGAAGAAACAGAAAAAGAAAGCAAUAAUUAAACUAACAGCUUAAUAAUUACGUGUUUGCCAAACCAUCUCCGGCUCGGGCUCCGAUUCCGGCGUCGUCUAAUCAUUUGGAGCGGUUAUGAGCUUGAGCUUCAAUAUAAACGUUUUGUUUUAUGGUUUCGUAACGCGCUUGACAUUUACGCAGACGAGGCAAGCUUAUCCAAAUGUAUGGCUCUCUUCUUAUCCCAUUUUUGUGGGAAUAUGAUUGGGAUAUUCAUAUGUACAGCUCAACUUUUCUCUCUUUUUUAUUCGAACUUUAUAAAGAGAACAUGGGAAUAUUUUUAGGAUUGGAAAGCAAAGCAUGCUUGAGCUUGGUCCCCCAGGGCCAGAAGGGCCUCCUAGGAAUGGUAUAUACUUUGCAAUUUGGACCAGGACAAGUGCAAUGCUAUAAAUCAAACCAACCUUAAUCGAUCAUUGAUUUAGCGAUGGCCAAUCAAACCGUAAACCGAAUCAAUUUCAAUUAGUCAAUUCCAAAAUUGUGUGCUCACCUCUAAUUGAUUCAGGUCUUAUUUUCUUUUUAAAUUGCAAUUUAUUUAUUUUUUAAUGUUUUGGCUUAAAUUGUACCAGAUGAAAUUUAUCAGUGGCAGUUUAUUUUAUUAAAAAAAUUACUGUAUGAAUAAAUUUCUGGCAGCUGAAUCAAGAGGACCCCUUGUUGGAUUAGUUUUGGAUAGGUUUUUUUUUUUUUUUUUUUUUUUCAUUUUAGUGCACAACUGUUAUGUAAUUUAGAAAAAGAAAAUUGCUUUCGAAAUCUAUUUCUCCUUUAAAAAUUUGUCAAUGUUAUCCCCUUUUUUUUUUUUUUUUUGGUUUCUAUAAAGAAGACUCAAUAAACAAUAAUAGCAUAUCAAAAUGAGAAUUGCUUCGCUAUCUAUCCAAAAACUAAUCAACCCCAUUAACCAAAUCGUAACCCCGAAGCCGUUUAUUCCUUUGGACCACCUGACCCAGCCCAGAGCGCGAGACCCGAUUCUCCACAACAGCCUUUAACGCUCUUCUCAAAACUCCUACAUCCUCCUCUCCGCCACCGCCACCGCCACUACCCCAUUGCAACACCACCACACUUCUAGUCCGCCCACCAACCGUCAUCAUCUCAGCCUUAACCGCCCUCGCUUUGACAGACCGGAUCGCCUGCGACAAAUCCCGGUUCAACCCGGGCCUAUCCUCACAACAAACGCUCACUCUCAUCGUCUUGGUUUCACCAUCGCAAUAACUCAAAAUCGUCUCGUCAGAUUCUCCCGGAAACGGCCAGUACUUCUCACUCUCUGAUUCGCUGCCACAGCAACUGUCCCUGUCCUGACGCGCCACGUGAGCCGCUUGCUUCCUUAGCUCCUUCACGUGAUGAACCACCUCCGCCAGCAACGAGGCCUUGUCUGUCUGUUCAUAUAUAGAAACCAAAUCGGAAAUUACAUCCAUACCCUUCCGGUUUAACAAAAUCAACAAUUAUGCAUAUAACGAAACCAAACCAACUAACCUUAGUGGAGCUAGGAAGAAGAGUACGAAGGGUGGAGAGAUGAGCGUUGAUACGCUGUCUACGUCGCCUUUCAGCUUCCUUAUGACUCUUGCAUGCCUCGGUUGAUUUCUUUUCCAAUCUUGAUGAUGAACUGAGGACGGACUCACCAGCACCGUCCAUUUCCAUGACGUUGACUAAGGUUGGUUCUUGAACAAAACGGUUCUGGCUGUGAUCAAAACCAUAGUAGGUUUGAAAAGGAAGCAUUUGUUGAGAAUAAAAACAAGGUAAGGAAGAAAAGUUGCAGAAAGAAGAAGAGAAAACUGGAAAAAUGAGAGUAGAAAGUGGAAGUUUUUAUUAGUACUAGAAGAAGACUGAAAGUCUUAUAUAAUGAGGAGUAAACAGAGACAAUAAUAAGGCUUUUUACCACUAAGAAUGUAAAAGUGAAGAAAGGGUGAAUCUUAUUGGGCGUUGGAGGACAAAUCAAAGGACUGAUGAGUGGUUUAGUGGAAGUGAGAACUGUGAACCGUACACUCUGGCGAAUGCCAUGUCAAGAUAUAUGCAAAUGUCAAAUGGUGCAAAUGCAAUUCAUAACUUUUCUUUUUCUUUUUAAGCCUUCCAGCUCAUCAGCUCAAUUAAUCCAAAUUUACAUUUUAUAAGUCCACAUAAGACGACAAAGUGUUUUUUAUCGACAAAAUAUUAAUUUGGGAGGUAAUCGAACUUUAACCUAUUCCUCAAAUGUAUUAGAAAGAUUAUUAGAAAGAUACUCUGGGAUGAAUGUAAAUUUAAGCAAAUUUCUCCUACUCUAAGAAUAAAUGACUGCAGUUGGUUGGUUGUACGAGAUGCGAACCCGCCUGUCAAAUAGAUUUCUAGGUAAAAAUACAACUUCAAUUCAUAAAAAAAUAUUUUGCUAGAAAGAUGAAAAAAUCUUUACGCUUUACAGUUUAAAGAAUUACAUCUCUCGAUUAUACCAAAACGAUAAAGUGUUUUCUCUUGCAUAUUUAAAGAGAUCCAAUACUCAUAUCUGAUUAAAAAAAUUAAAAUAAAUUUUCUUUAUAAAAAUAUAAAUUAGUAAUUACCAAAAAUAGAUAAUGUUAUUAUUUAAAAAAAAAAAAAACUAGUUAAUUAAUUAGCUUAAUGAUUCAGAAUCUCAAUUAGAACAUUUGACUUAAUCAUGAGGAAGUACCAAAAUCCAGAAGCAAGAAAACAAAUAAGAAGGUCAUCUAUUGUGGACAGUAGAAAACGUACAAUAUAAGUUGUAAUUCAUAAUCAUUCGACAGAUUUACUCUAAUUAAUUUGCACGUUGAAGGACAAAUUUUCACUUGUAGUAUAGCUUAAAAGCCUUUUUUUCUUUUUCUUUUUCUUUUUUGCCAUUUUAAUACAUACAAGGAUUUAAUUAUUAACAUUUGUCCUCUAUUUUUUUUUUGUUGAUUCUUUGCAUAUUGGUCAAUUAAAUUAAAAAAAUUAUAAAAACAAAUCACUCUUCUCGAAAAAUUUAUGGAGAUGCUCUUUCUAUCAGCAUGUAAUUUUUAUUUUACAUUCUAAAAUUGUAAAUACUGGUAGAUAAUAUUUUAAGUUCCAAAUUCCAAUAUUCUCACAUGGCAUUCAUGCAGUAUGGUGUUCCUGAGUUUUUGUCUUAUACUAACAUUUUCUUUUGUUUAGUUUUGAAAUAAUCUUAAUUCUUUUCAAUUAUUAUAAAAUUUUUUAUCCUAACAUAAAAAUAAAUUAUUAACUAUUAAAUUUUAAAGUUAUAUAUAGUCUAAUUAAUUUUUGAGGAAAUUGAAAAUAUCAAAUUUAAAAUUUCUCCUAUUUAUUUUUUCCAUCGUUUAAUUUUAUAUAUCAUUUAAAAUUUUUACACAGUAACUAAAAAAAAAGUAAGUGCAUCACCUAAAUUAUAAUAACAUAAUCCUCAAUUUUAUUAAAUUAUAAUUUAUCUCAUCUAAUAUAUUACUCCACUUUCAAUCAUUUUUUCUUCAUUGAUCUGGUAAUAAAAAUAAAAGAGAGAAAGAGGUAAAGAUGGAUCUUAGAAAAAUUUAGAAAAUAUUUAUUGGAUUUUCUAGAAAUAAAAGAAAAAUUGAAGAAUUUCAUUAAUCUUUUUAAAACACAAAUAUUUUUUUACAAAAUAACUCCUUUUUUAUUGAAAAAAAUGGAUAAAUUAUUAUUAGUAUCAAUCAAAAGGACAUCAUGAAUAAUAGACAUGAACAAUAGACAAAAGAUUUAAGACUCAUCCCAUUAACUCAAAUAUAAAAUUAACAAUCCGAACAAAGACACGAACUACUUGAUUUGCUGGCUUUCUGGUAAAAAUAGAAAUAAUCCCACAAUCAACUAAUUUCAAAAAUCCAAACUUUCAUGACCAAAUUAGCAACAACCUAUUACCCAAGCUUUUAAAGUUAUGGCCGAACCUGAUUUGCCCCAAAAAAAAAAUUGGCACUGUCAAUCCUGUCCUUAUAAUGUGUAUAUAUGUGUCCAUAGUCCUUUACACAGUUGCUAGCUUACUCAUCACAACAAAGCUGUUAAUGGGGUGAGUCCUAAUUCCAUAAACAACACUAAUUAAAAUAAUUAAGCUGGUACUUAAUUGAGAAAGCGAAACGUGGCAGAGUCAUUUUCACGACGGCAGAAGAUUACUAUAUAAGCACCCAUACGGCGGCGCCGACAGCUUUUCUGUAAGAAGAAGUUGUAAGAAAAGGGAAUCAAAAGGGACAAGAGCGAUCAUGCCCCGACAACCUCUUUUGCCCACCAUCAUUUCGCUUGCUUGUUUCAUUUUCACUUUCACAUUAUUAAUAAUAUACACUACGUACUGUCCACACAGUUAAACCUUGCAUUAUUGACUGUAGCAUUUACCUUUCGUUUACACUAUUAUUUACUGGUGUUAUUAAUUUGGAUUUGGAUUUGGAUUUUCAUCUGUUCCAACCAGCAGCAUCACUCUUUUCUGGAAUUUUCAUUGCAUAUAUUUUAGAAAAAAAAAAAAAAAAAAGCUGUUUCUCUUCUGGAAAUUGGGGACCAACAAAUAGUACUAAUUAUUACUAUUAAUUAUAUAAUAAUUGUAAAUAUCCCAAAUUAUUUGAAUGCUUUGGGUUGGAAAUUUUUUUAAUAAUCCAGGUAGAUUAACUGUUUCUAACUAAACUUUUCUUUGCAUUGAUAUUGAUAAGAGCGGAUGCAAAAAACAAAAAUUUUAAAUAGUCACUCUAAUUAAUUCGGAAUUAAGAUUUAAUCGUUGUUGCUGCUCAAAAUGUUCUUAUCGUGUAAUUUUCAUAAUUAUUAUUAAGCUAAUAGUUGAAUAAUGAAGUACCGAAAUUUUUAUUUUUCUAUAAUUAUGAUUGUGACUGAAUAGUUGCAUAUGAUUACAAAUUCUAGCAUUUUACAUUUGAUAAAGAAAGUGAAGUAUCCCUAUUAGCUAAAUUUUCUUUUUUCCUUUUAAAGGAAAAUCUUAUAUAUAACUUGUACGAAAACUAAUAAAUUGACAACAUACACGUGUCAAUACGAAGUACAAUGUGUUAAAAUUUGAAAACUGUUAGAAAGAGGAGAGAGAGGGACAAUAUAUAAACAAGCAUGUGAGCUUGUUGGGUGGACCCCCACCAGAGGUAAGGUAAUAUCAUCAUCCGAUGGACAAUCGUACAUAACUGAGAAGAAGGCAAUUCCAAUUGCUUGGCCUUGGCCUUGGCCUUGUCUGUACACCGUAGAUAGAAGGUGACGCUUCCUCACUGCAAUUGGCAUGUUUCUAUGCUCUCAGUACACUUCAUCCUGCUUUAUGUACGUUUGUUAAUGUCCAUAACUUCUCGGGCCCAUUCAAAUAAUAUUAUAAAAAAAAAAUUAUAAUCAAAUUAAAACAAGUUUCUGUUUUAAAAAAACUAAUUAUAAGUUUUUAAUUUAUAAUUCUAUUAACAUUUUGAUUAACAGAAUCAUAAAUUAGGAAUCUUAUAAUUAAUUUGAUUAUUAUUUAAGAACUAAUGUCAGACUGUUUUGGACAAAAGAAUCAAAAUGUUGAAUAAUAAACCUAUUUUUCAUUUUUGAUGAUAAUGUAGAAUAUGGCAUGUGUUUUCAUCCAAUCCCGAGAAUUGACAUUGACACGUAAUAUGUUCAUUCAAAUCCUUCUCUAAUUCUGUCCGCAAGUGAAAGGGCAAAGAAUCAAACAAGAAGCAACAGAAAAGAAAAGACAUAUAUGAAGUUAGAUGAGUAAGACUAUUGUAACAGUAAUAAAAUCUUACACAUGGUCCUACUUCUUCUUCUUCUGCUGCUGAGAAGAAAGCUGAACCCUUUUUGUACGUCAAGAAAAUAUAUGCAAGCUAGAUACGCACAGUUAUUUCUGCAUACUAAAUAUCAGACACCAGAUGCAUAUGGUAUGGCCAUCUUUGCCAUCAUUUAUUUCUGCAUGCUAGAUAAAUUGCCACUUGUUCUAGUAGAAAACUUCCAACUUCAAAUCUCUGUUGAAAACAUCGUUGGAAAAUUAUUCAAGGAAAAGAAUAAAAAGAGGGCAAAAAGAAGAAGAAACAUGCCAGAUGCCUUAUAGAACAUUUGUCAGAAUCUAGAUUUCACAACUCAAUCGACCAAACCCAUAUAGAUUCAAACAUAUCUUAAUUGAAGCAUCACAAGAUAUGUAUUAGAUGUCUAAACAUUUGUUCUGAUUUCCUUCUACCAGAAUUUUUUAUACUAGCAAUCAAGAGCUCAGACUAGACAAGAAUGAGCUGUACAAAUCCAUGUGACCUCACAGCCAAAGAGCUCGGAUCCAUAUACAAUUUUGGCAAGCUACAUGAAAAUUGAAUGCAAUACAAAAAAUGGAUUGACAAUAUGCAGGGUGAGGCAAUGAAAAAUUAUCUGCAAGUUGAAGAAAAGAUAUCAAAACUUAGACAAAUCUGUCCUUUUGGUGAAAUGGAGAUCCUGAAGGAGCAAUUAGACCGAGAGUUUGCAUGACUUUGGUUCUUCUUGCACUCAGCUCUUGAGAUCUUCCAGGCGAAGCAGCAUCCUAAGAGAAAUAACAAAAUUAAAUAAGUUGAUCUUUGAAACUAACAAAGUUAAAGUAACAAAGUUUGUAAUGUUGAGCUUGUGUUUAUUUUCCACCUCAACUUCUUUAGAAGAUCUGCUUUUAACACGCUCUGCAGUUCUUGGGCUAUGCUUUUCCUUCCCACCUUGCCUUUUCAGCUUGACUCUCUUCUGCGUGCUGUCAAACUCUUCAGUUUUUUCCACUCGUUCAUUGGUACUUGAGCUCUUUUGCUUGAGUUUCUUUUGCAUCCCAUCUCGGUUAGAUGUUUUCCUUUUUGUAUUCUUUUCUGGAUUUAAGCUGUCUAAUUUGAGUUUUCUUUUUACCCCAUCUUGCUUGGAGGCCUUGCUAAUUGCUUUCUCACCUUCUAUUAUAAAGCAAAUUGCUAAUUGUCAUCUUUCUAUUUGAAAUAUGUUAUUUUAAGGAAUCCCCAAUACAGCAUAUUCAAUAAGCAUAAGCACAACACUUCAUGCUUCAAAGCUUUAUCUAACCAUAACUGAAUCACAUAUCAGUGCAUCAAAAUUAUUUGCAAAAUUAAAUAGUUCAAAUUUGAACAACAAUUUUCCAAAUCAUCCUUAUACAAGUUCAAUAUUGUGCAUGUAGUAGUAAAUAAUGGGCAACUGAGAAACAAUAUCCUAUAAUGGUAAAUGAGGCAGAAAUUAGAGUGUUAAGAUGAAUAUGCCAAAUUAUGGACGUGAAACCUGCUGAGGAUUGUUUGACUAUAUCCAACAUAGAUUGGCAUAUGCAUGAUACAUGAUAUCUAGUACAUCCAAAUCACAAGAGUGAAGAAGACAAAAAGCAGAUGAAAGAUGGUUUCAGGAAGUAACACACAAAUAAAAAUAUCCAUACAGCUAAUACUAACACUAUGGAAUUGAGGCUCAGUUGAUUCUUUCAUUUCAAAUUUCCAUCUCUCAUAGUGCCCUAUUAUUUCAAAUCUCUUUCAUAAUGCAUUAAAAUUAACAGAGUUCUCAAGAAAUCCAUCAUAUAUCAAAUCCGCUUGACUAAGCUUUAGUCCCCAACCACUUGGAUAGGUUAAAUAAACCUUGCUUAACUCACUUAUCCAUCUACAUAAAUCUUUCCUCACCACUAAAUGCAGAAGCUAAGCAUAAAAGGAAAGGGAUGGUCAGAAAAGAAAGGAGAAAAGACCAUGUGAACCAGAAAAUGGAAAGAAAGACGGCUAACCUUUAGAUUUCGUUACUUUCCCCUUUACUCGACUGGAAUUCGACUGAGAAAUAUCCUAUCAUCAUAUCCAAAUGAUUGGAGAAGCCAUAAAUUACUAUAAUGUACUAUUUGAUUGCUCAAAAAGCAGCUUCUAUAUCAUAUUAAUGACCAUCUUAGGAUUAGUUCCAAAUGAAAGGUCAAAAAAGGUUACCUGCUCUAGAGCUUUCCUAAAUAUUUCUUCAUAUGAACCAUUAUUCUUCUCAAGUGUCUAUGGAAAAAAAAAAAAAAAACAGAGAUAAACAGGUUGAAAGUCAAAAAUUGUAGAAUGCAUAUGUUCAAUCACACAUAAAGAAUAGGCUGUAUCAGAGAGUUGCAUUUCGGCACUUACAAUGUGAAACUCAGAGCGGCAUUUAAUAGGAUCCACGUACAUGCUAGAAGCAAAAUACAAGCAAAGUUAGAAUUUACAGGUUUACUAGUAAGAAUGGAAACCACUAGAGAAAGGGAAAGAGGCCCCAACUAUUCAUAGCUCCCAAUCAGCCUAACACGAACACCCUUUAUUUCUCUAUCCCCACUGACAUUGCUUCCAAAAACCUGAAAAAUAAUGAAGUAGUAAAUCCAAAAGUUUUGUCAAAAUAAAGGCUGCAUAAAAACAAUAAAACAAUUUAUGUGGUCUACCACUGCAGGCCACCAGGAGUCGCCAUGAAGCUUCACCCAAGUUAUGUCCCCAAGCAUGGGCUCCCCUUCCAACUGCAUAAUAGCAUUACUUUCCUCGGCAUCACCUGAAUUAUGAUUUUUGCUACUCGUGCAGCUUUUACCUUCCAUAGUUUUUCGCUUUGAUUCAGACAAAUCUAGUUGCAAACGCAAAUGGGUAUGUUGACAAGAAAACCACUAUGAUAAGUAUAUUUGAUAGUUACGUAGAUCAUUGAUUUUUCUAAAUAAAAAAAAAAAAAAAAAAAAAAAAAAAAAACCCUUUUUAAACCAUUUCUUUUUUUUAAAUUUUUUNNNNNNNNNNNNNNNNAAAAAAAAAAAAAAAAAAGAAAAAGAAAAACCUCUUUGAAGUCAUUCAUUUUUCUUAAAUUUCUAAUUUUAUACCUUAAUCAAUUCUCCAAUAUGAUCAUUUGAACUAGCAUCCAGUUUUAUUUUGUCAACGGAGCCAAAAAGGAAAAAAAGAACAGAGAAUCUUUCAAUAAACCCCAUUUCGCAUUCCAUUCAUGAACCCCAAAAGAAAGCCAAUAUUGCCCUGAUACGAGCACCACUAGCAACAUAAGUCAUGUCAGGGAGUGAGUGAUCCACCAAAACAUUCAAAACCCUAAGUCCCAAAAAACUAUAAUCUGAUCAGCUUAGCAAGAUACAUCCCAAGACUACAUUGCUUUUACCAAAUGGAGCACAAACCCAUCAACUUCCUUUUGGGUAACGAGGAAAAGAAGAGAAAAAAUUUCUAAGCUCUAAUUUUCAAAAUUCAGUAAUGAACUGAAAAGAAUCUUAUUUUCAUGAACAUAGAACAAAGCCAAAGAAUUGAAUCUAAAUAACAAGAAAAAGCAACUUGGGCACUUACCAGUUAAAAAUGAGAACAGGGUUUCGCAAGAGAGGGACUCGCUAGUUGAACCAUGUUAAGUUUUUCUUCUUAGUGGAGAUAGUGAAAUGGAAUGUUGCUUCACGAACUUAAUGAGCAGGUAAUGGUGUUGGGAAAAUAUUAAAAAAUUACAUGGAGCAGCUUUUUCAGGUCUAGAGCAAUUUGAUUGACAAUUUUUUUACCCCAGGAAGGUAAAUACUAAUUCAGCUGAAUUUAACAAUCUACUUAAAUCCAUAUAAAAUUUUAGUAUUAUUCAUAUUCAUUUUCAACUAAAUAUUUAUUCUUAAAUUUUUUUAAGCAUUAUUUAUAUUCAAUUUGCUAAUAUUUUACUAUUUGCAGCUAUUUCACCCAUUAAAAUAUUUUUAAAAUAAUAGAUUAUUCUUAAAUUUUAGGCUAUCCAGACCUAAAAUAUUAGCGAUUUAGAAUACUCCUUAUAUUAAUAAUGGAGAAACUAGGUGUGAUUGAAUCCACUUAAUAGAGCAGUUAUCCACGUAUCAAUACUUAUUUACAGCUAAUGAUCUAAUAUUGCUAUAGUAUCUAUCAAAAAUCUGUUUAUAAUUACUUGAAUAUGCACUAAACAUGUCCGAUGUACCAGAAAGUACUCCAUGCUUAAUUCUAUCUAUGCCAUUGAUGUUGUUUUGAUGAUAAUUUUACCCCCUCCCAUGUUGCUAUAUUUAUGUAGGUACAACCAUGGUUCAGUUUCAAAUUAAAAUUAAAUCCGUUAAAAUUUAAUAUAAAAUUGUAGUCGGCAAUUUCUGUUUCAAAGAAAACUACUGCAUUUAUGAUUGAACUUUUAUUUAUUAUAAUUUUUUAAAAAUAAAUUAUAAGCUUUUAUUAAAUUGCUUUAGUCUUUUUCUAUUAUUAUUAUUAUUAUUUAUUUGUGCUGUAAAAUUAAAAAAAAUUAUCUAAUUUCGAUUCCGAAACGGUACGAAAAUCGUAACGGGCAAUCUAAAAACCCGCUCUAAAACAUCCUUCGUAUGAACGGAACUAGCAUUUUAAAACUAAAAGUUGAUGGUUUUGAAAUCAUGUCAUGCCAAUAUCUAUAUAUCUUAAGCUUAGAGACAGCAAUCCGGUGAGGUUUAUAAAGGUGGAUUGAAUUAUUUUCAAUUCGGAUAUCUUAAAUUUUUCUUUGAGUGGUUUUGAAUAGAAUUAUUUCAUGUUGUUUCGUGUGUUAGAUGAACCAUCCAGUUUAAUAAAUCAUAAUAAAUAUGUUUUUUUUUUCCCUUUACUGUACAAUAUCAAAAAUUAUUAGUGAAAAAAUAUAUCCAAAAUUGAGUUUUGCACCGAUAUUUAACACAAAGAUUCAAUUUUAUAGCGCAAUUUUGACCAGUCCUCCAAGUCAUGUAUUUUCUAAAAGAGUGUAAUAUAGUUAGAGGCAAGACAGUAGGUCUGUUUAAUUUUCUUACAGGAACAUCACAGCACAGUACAGUAUUAUAAGAGGGAAACAGCCAUAAAUAAUUAAGAGAACUAGGUGAAUAUUGAAGUUUUCAUUUGUAUGAGGUGCAAACUUAUUUAUAUUUUACAAAUGGACAUAUAUAUAUAUAUAUAUAUAUAUAUAUAUAUAUAUAAUAAGCCUAUCUUCAAAUAAUCAAUACAAGGACCUGCCUUUAUUCCUUAUAUUAACAGAAUCUACUUUAUCUUCCCAUAUGCCUCAUUAUAUCUUCAAAACGGCAAUCUGCAAAUUGGAGUUUAAAAAAGGCAAAUGUUAAUAAUGGAACCUCUGUUCUUUGUUUUCUUUUUCUAUUAUUUUUAUUUUUCCUUUCUGGGUUUUAUUGUCUCUUUUUUUCUUCCUCCUUGAAGAAGAAGAAGAAGGUGAAUAGGGUUUAUCAAUGUAGGUAGAAUAGUUCUGUAUAGAGGCUUACCCUAGUUUGAGGGAAGUAUCAGAGCUAUCAUCUUCCGGAGGAGGGCCACUACUACAACUGCAGAUAUUAGUAACAGAUUCUGAUGAUAAACCUUCUUCUUGAGGAUGGAUAUUAGACUCCACAAGUCUUUUUCCCUUGCAUAGACUCAUCAUCUGCAUUAUAAAAACCAGUAACAUAAUAAGCCACAACUCUCACUUAAUUAUAUCUGUCACUAUAUUAAUCAAUCCACCUGUACCUUCUGUUUGAGCUGUUUGUUCUCUUCUAACAAUUGCUCUCGCUGCAUAAUGAAAGAAACCAAGCUAAACAAAUAUAAAAUUUGCCUCAGCUGAUAAUAUAUACUUUGAGCUGAGUAGAGUUAGUUUUCUUAUAGAACAAACAGUUACAACGACUCCCACGGAUUGAUAGAACAUAGAGUUUGUUUCCUGUUCGUUCUAUCAUUCGUGGGAUAUCAAAUUAUCAACGCCAAUGAGGCUGAGAUUCGUGGUAUUUCCACUUCUUCUUUUAAGGGUUCUUCUUCUUCCUUAAUUAUUGAGUCAGACUCCAAAUCAGCGAAGAUGGCAUUACGUGUGCAAAUUCAUUAUGAAGGAAGUUAUAUAUGUGUGGUUCUACAUAUGCAACUUUAUUUGUGUUAUUAAAGUCUUCCACUUGCAUAUUAAAAUCCUGUCUUGAAUUAACAUAUAUAAUAUAUAUAUAUAUAUACACGCAAGAACUAGCAAUAGGCUCAGUCUAUCUGUAAGUGCAAUAUCAGAGUUGAGUAAAAAACUGAAUUUGAGUAACUGGUAUUAUAACUUAACCUUCUUUUCAAAUGCAGAGAUCUCAUUCAUAAUCCGCUCUCCCUGAAAAAAGAAAAAAAGCAAAUAUCUCAAUCAACAAAUGGAAAAAUGAUAUGCUUAUAUAUAUAUAUAUAUAUAUAUAAAAGCAAUGAGCGCAAGUAAACCUUAGUUUCAAGCACACGGCUAAGUCCUGAUUCAAGCAUUUUUUCCAAUUGCUGCAAUUCCUCUAUAUUUAACCCUUGCAGAUCCUCUCCGCUCAUCUGCCUGUUAUGCAAACUUAUUGGUUCAUUUAAUUAGUUCUACACACAGAUAUAUAAAACUCUUAGAUUAAUAACAAAAACCAUACAUAUGAUACCUCAGUUGAUGAGUCUUUUCAGCCAACUCCUUGCUCAACCGAAUGUGAUUGUUAUUUUCAAGCUAUAGUAGCAAUAAUAAAUGGAAUUGGUUUUUAUAAGAUGAGUAGCCAUACAAAUAUAAAACGCAGAACUCGAUACAUGAUUAAACGCAGAGAAAAAAUGAAAUACAAACAAAAAACAAAAGAUUUGCUACAUUUAUAGUAUCAUUUAACAGAAAACUUAUAAAGCUUAAAGCGUUUACAUACUUGCAAUUCAAGAGAUGGUUGGUCACCUUUCUUGAUGUUAUUUGAGUACCGAUCAUACCUUGCAAUUAUGUCCUUCAUACUUCAAGAAAACAGCAAUAUAUACUGUUAGAUUAGCGAAAUUAGGAGAUUCAAUCAUUUGCCAUAUAAAUAUAUAUAUACUUAAAUGAUUUAAAUUAUAAAAGAAAAUCAUCACAAACCCUAAUUUUGAUAACCCUUUUUUUCCUUUACAAACUUUUGAAGUGCAAGAUAAUCAGAAAAUGUAUAUGUAGCAGUUGAAAUUUGAAACCCUAAGUAACAUGCUUCUGUUUGUUUAAAAAAAAAAAAGAAAAAAAGAAAGAAAGAAACAGUAAAAUCAACCUUUUAAGAAAUUCCAACUGUCAAUACUUAAAAUUUUAUUAGAAGGUUCAGGCUUUUUAAGUGAAACAAGGAAGUUACAAAAGAAAAAAAAAUUUUGCUCUAUACUUCUAAUUUUUUUUCGAUUUAUCUAUCUUAAUUUGAAAGGUUAGAUGCAAAUUUUCCUAAACGAUUGCAAGUAAUACAACAUACAAGCUUGUGAUGAUUUCCUAGUUUAGUUAUAACAUUUGAUAUUGCACCAUAUUUUUACUUGUAUAGUUUUCUUUGUAUCUUCUUAUCUCAGGAAGUAAGUUCAUUUUCUUAGUUGUUGAGGUUUUCCAUGUUUUUUCAUUUAACAUCUAUAAGAUAAGUUGAGUGUAUUGGAACUUCUAUUGGUCUGAGCGUAUUGAAAGAUCUAUUGGUCUGAGCUUAGAAUUAUUGUAUUUGCUAAGUUUUGACUCGAUCUAUAAUUAAUAAUUAUAAUUUGCUGAUAAAAAAAACACAACAUACUAAUUUGUCAUGCUUUUAUCUCAGAUGAAUGUUGUUCUUUUUUUAAAAAACAAAAAUCAACCACUAACAGCUGCUAAAAAAAAAAAAAAAAAAAGACUAAUAAGCUUUUAUCAGCUGCAUUUUAAAAUUUUUUUAUAUCAUCUAUUAAGUGAUUUGUAGUUAUAUCAUAUUUAGACUAUAUUAACCUUAUAAAAAUACAUACUAACAAAAUUACAUUUUUUUUAAAUCAAUCUUUUAUGAAAUCAUUAUUUAAAUAAUAAUUAAGUAUUAGAUAUCAUUAUACAAAUUUAAUUAAUAUUUUUUGUUUAUACAAUACAUUAAAAUAAAAUAAUAUAUUCACCUUCACAAAUACACACAUAUUUAUAUAUAUAUAUAUGUUAAUGCUUAUUUUACAUUUUAACAAAAACAAUUACUAAAAAUUACCAAACAAUCAACAUUCAUCAUAUGAUAGGACCCGUUUGGUUUAUUGUUCAUGAUAGCUACUAAUCUGUAGCGCUUGCUUAAAGUGGUAGUUAUAACUAAUAGAUAUUGGCUGUUCAAAAUAACAAUAAUAAUAAUAAUAAUAAUAAUAAUAAUAGUCGGCUUUAAAGUGUUUAUAUACAGUAUCAUGUAUUACGUAUAUUUUUAUAUUUGAAGUUGAGUAUAAUUAUAUAUUAUUUUUUAUUUUAAUUGUAAAUAAUUAUAAAUAAAAUAACCAUAUAAAUACUAAUUCAAAAAACAAAUAAUUUUAUUUAGCAAUUAUUUUUGUAAGUUCAACGUAGUUCAAAUGUAAUAUAAAUACAAGUCAAAUAGCAAUUCUAGAAUGAAGUUAAUAUAAUCAACAAUUCAUUGAGAUUAAAUCCUUAUCAAACAUGAAACAGUUAACUAUAAAGAAAGUAAAUACUAUCUUUUCUAUAUUUCUUUUAAUUUUUCUUCCUUGAUUGUCAAAUUUAAUUGUUUUUCCUAAUUUUUCUUAUUCGUUUAAUUCAUAAAACAAAUAAGUAAAAUUGUGGAGAAUGAAAGUAUUUUCUUUCAGUAAAUAUGGAUGAUUUCAUUGUGGAAAUAAUUAGACGAUGCAUCAACAAUAAGAGUAGGACCGUAAAAUAUUUCAUUCUCAUAGACCUGAUGUAGAAACGAGUAGCUCUUACUACAUUCGUAAAAGAGGAUAGAAAGGGCAUUUUUACUCUCAAGAGCAACCACAUUCAGAAGCAUAAGAAUUUUUAUGUUUUGAUGAAUUUUAACUUUUUGAAUCCAAAAUUGACACAAGUCAAAUGUAUUAAUUUUUUUGACUUUAAAAUGUUAAAGUCUUCGCUUUGAUGGAUAUCACAGAUGUGAUUACUCAAAAUCUUCACCUUUGUCUUAGUCUAUACAAUGCAUAUUGUUCCUUCCUUUUUAUAUAUUGACCCUAUUAUUUCAUGUGCAAGAAAAUUGGAGCUCCAAUAGUUGCUAGAAUUCCUCUUUCCAACAAAACAAACAAAAACAAGAUUCACUGCAAAAAACUUGCACAGAGUUGGAACAUAUUGUCUCCACUUACCACAUUAUAUAUAAAAAAAUCUCAAAAAUGUCUUUAUAAAUAUCGUAAAAGAUUAAUGUUUGCAUACACAAUUCAUCCUUAAUCGAUUUUAGGCUAGUAAUUCAAUUUCAGAAAAUUUACAUUAUAAAACAAAAUGUGAGAAUUCAAAUCAAACCGGGUAGUAGUUGAAACAUUUGUCAACAUAAUUAAGGAAAGUGUUAAGGUAAAAAUGGAAAUGUAUAAUUUAAAAAAUUUCAUAAUCCCUCUAGUUCUGCAUUAUUCAAUAAUAUAAGUUUGGAAAUUAACUUGUUCUUAGCAUGAUUUCGUGAUCCCAUCUACCACAAACCAACCAACCAUUCCCUCACUGAAUAAGAAACAAUUAAUACUCUACAAAAUAUCUUCCUCCAAACUUCUUCAAACCUACCCUAAAUACGUUCAUUUUUCCACAAAAUGAUGCCAUUCUGCGACUCAUAUCGCAUCCAAGUCAAAAUAAUUAAUCCCCAAUUUUAAUUGGUCAGUAAUGAGUUUCAGACUUAUCAAAAGGGUUCAGAUCCAAAUUCGAGAAACAGUAGACAAAUAUUCGUAUCUCUCUCUACAUAAAAAUUAACUAGAUGGUACUGGUAUUGGUACUGGUACUGGUACAAGUAUAAUGAUUCCAAAUAAACAGUAUAAUUAGAAAUAAGAGGUGCUGGAAAGUACUAAGAAAUAUGCAAUAUAAUACAAAAUAGGUUUUGAUUAUUAUUAUCCUAAUAGAUUAGGCAACGAAAGUACAUUUAUCAAACUUUAUGAUGAUGCAGAAGAUAAAAUAACAUUUUUUUAUUCUUAAUACGGUUUUUCACUAUCUCUUCUCCCUUAUAGUUAUUGGUUUUAUGAGAAUUAAUCAUGUCUUUUUACUUACCGUACAAAAAGUUUCUUGUUCUUGAAAAACCGUGAAAUUUAAGUUUGUUUAUUUAUUUCAUAUUUAAUUAAUACACACACACACAUAUAUAUAUACUGGAAGAGUUGGAAUGAGGAGGAGUAGAAGUGAAAUUCAUUGAUGAUAUGUAAAGAGAUCUAAUAAGCCAAUAAAGAGCAAUACCUGGUGCUAGCAUACUCAAAUAGCUUCCCAGUAGCAGAAAAACUGAUAAGAGCAACCUCAGCAUCGCAAAGAACAGAAAGCUCCUCAGCUUUUUUGAAAAGCCCUCGUCUUCUUUUCGAAAAGGUCACUUGCCUUGCUGUAAUGUUAUCAAUCUUCUUGAUCUUGAUCUUCUCUCUAGCCAUUUUCUUGAUCUUUUUAUUUCUUUCUUUCUUUAGAAAGCAAAACAAAAAGAAUCAACAACCACAUAUACUUUCAUUCGAAUUUGUUUGUCCGUACAACCAAGAAUAGGAAUUAUUAUCAUGAAAUGGCAAAGAAAGGAAGGGAGCUGACAGAUCUUUCUUUUCCAUUUUCAAAACCCAAAAAAAAGAAUCAAGAUUACCAGAUAUGGUUGAACUUUACAUUUGUCCGUACAACCAAGAAGAGAAAUUAACACAAAAAAUGGCAACAAAAGAGAGCUCAAAAAGGUAGGGUUAUGCUAAUUCAAGACAAGAUUUUAGCAAACCCUAGCUUUGAGGGAAAAAAAAAACACCUAAUAAAGUUCAGAUCCAAGCAAAAGAAAACCAAAUCUUGAAUUCAUAAACAUGCAAAGAAAUACAGUAAGUACCUAACUAAGGUACUUACUCAGUUUCAGCAGCUUUGUCUUGAAUUAGUCCGAUCAGAGAAAGCGAAAGCUACCAAUUAGAGAAAGAAAUGAAUAAAACCUCUACCUAAACGCUAAACAGAAAGAGUAAAAAGGAAGAGAAAGAGUUUGGUUUUUGUGUUCAAGAAAGGAAAGGUUGCAUUCCUUUUAUGGCUAAACUCUUUUCCCGACAUUUUUCUUUUCCUUGGAGAGUUUUUCUUUAAAAAAAAAAAAAAAAAGAAAGAAAAUUAGAAAACAGUCAAAAAAGAGAUUUCCAUUGGAUAAAAAAUGGUAUUUUCAACUUCGAUAUUUUAUUUGUCAGAAAAUAUUUCUUUUUAUUUUUUAUUUAGAACAAUUAAACAGUACAUUAUUUUAUGUGGAUCAAUGCUUUCCGUACAACCAAACCUCUUGGUUUGUAUCGUACCCUAUUUCUGCUUAUGAGUUAUGAGCUUAUCAACGCCAAUUUUAAUAUUAUCGUUCUUCUUUCUUUCUCUCUAUGGAAAUUUCCAAAGAUGGAUUCAAUGUAUAACGUCCCCAUUUAUCAACUAAUAAUUACUAAUUUGACAUAUUAUUUACUUUUUUUUAUCAGCAAAAUUAUUUUUUAUUUUUAAUUAUAUAUAUAUGCUGCAAAAAUUAAAGGAAAUUUUUUUUUUCAAAUUCUAGGGAUAUAAUAGUAUAUUUACCUGAUAGUUUUCAAUUUUGAGAUAUUAUUCUCUUCAAUUAUUUUUUAAUGAAAUUUUUUCUUUUCGAAAAAAGGUAAAAUAUUAGGAUAUAAAUAAUAAUAGUGAUUAACCUAAAAAUAUCACGGUAAGUAAUAUAUAUUAUACAAUUUAAUUAUAAUGAUUAAUAAUUGCAUCGGACAACCACACAAGUAAUAUCUUUAACUUGGAUGUUGAACAAUGCACGUGCCAGGCAACAUUAACAAAGGUUGAAGUUCGUUAAUUAAUUAAUUAAUUAAUUAAUACUGUAAUUAGUAUAUGUUUAAGGGAAGACAAUGAAAUGAAGAUUCUUUCUAUAUCUGUCAAUGUGGUCCAAAAGGCUGUGUUGUCUAUUUCAGCUUUGAACACAAUUUGGUUCUCCAUAAUAAAUAUAUAACUGAGGAAUCUAAUCUGUGUGUUUGUUUGAAGUCCGGAGAAAGUGUUGUGUUCAGGCAAGUUGCAUCAAAACCCACUUACCAAAUUCCUCUUUAAGAUUCAAGAGAAUGGAGCCCGCCUGUUGCUUUCUUUAUAUAUUGAAAAAAAUAUCGAUAAUUACAGACAAAAAAGAUAAAAUAGAUUUUAUAAUUUCUGUUCUGAACUUCCGAGAACAAGAAUAUGGAUUCAUUCAUGGAAGUGGGUAUUUAUACAAUAAAGGAGAAAAGAAAAGAAAAGACACAAGACACAAGGAAGCUCGUGGAAUGUGUAAUUGAUACACCAAAUCUUAACCCAUCUCUUAGCAAUUAAUUCAGGUGGAAACCAACUUUAAUUAAUUAAUUAAUUAAUUAAUUAAUUAAUUAGUGCAAUUAUCUAUAGAUGUGUUUAUGUGAUGAAAUUAUUAAAAAAAGGACAAAAAAAACUGAUGGAGAGAACAAGUGGUCUCUUAGAUUCCAUUCGCAUUCCUUGGAAGCCAUUUGUCAGCAUUCCACGUGCAUGCUUCCUUUUAAAUUUUUUCUUUCCAAGACGAAUGUUUUACAAUUCCAUUACUUCUACUCCUCGAUGGAGUCGGGAAUUAAAUUUAGGGGUUAAAAAAAUUCAUGACUUAAGGGGUGAAAUUAAAAAAUUUUACCAUUUUAGUGGAUAAAAAUAAAAAUUAAAUUAAAAAAAAAAAUUUGUUUGGGAGAGCGGGGCCUAUCAUUAGAUCUCUAGCUCCGUCACUGCUUCUACUUUCAUUCAAUGAUAACGAUACUUAUAUAAAAAAUAAAAAUUAUCAAGUUCAAAUUAUAUUAACUACAAAUGUUUUAAUAAAAAAUAUGAUAAAAAAUCCUAUUAAUCUCACCGGUUUGUUCAGUAGCCUGUCACUUCAAUGAAUAGAUCCAUCGUCGAUAUGACUUCUCCUCCACAUGUAUUUGGCAAAAAGCCUUCAAUAAUAGGUAUCAAAAGGUGUACAUAAAAAUAGUCAAAUCAACCAAGUCGAACCAAUUUUGAUUUUUAAUCUAAUAAAGAUAAAAAAAUUUUAAAAUUUUUGUUCAGUUUAAUUUUUAAAACUGGGUUUGAUAUAUAAUUUGAAAUCUAUUUGAUUUUUUAACAGAAAAUAGUUUAUUCGAGUUAAAGUUUUAAACCGAUUUGAUUCAAUUUGAAUCAAACCUAUUGAAUACCAGAUCGCAGUAAAUAGAAUGGAUUUUGAAAAUGUCCAGGUUGCUGUGGUCCCACCCGUUUUAGCCGAUGUACAAUUAUGAAUGUGGAGUAUGGACGUCUGAUCUGCAACUCCGGGCCCAUUGGAUAAGGUUGGGCCCACACUGCUAAGUGCUGUAAAAGUAACCCACUUCACCUGGUGUUGGAGCCAACUCAAGUUGGUUCCUCAUUGUUCUCCCCCAAUCCUUAAAUGUGUGUCCAAUCGUAGGGUCCAGUUUUGGUUCAAAUUGGUAUCCUUUCAUAAGCUAACAUCCUGCAGAAUUUUUCAAUAAUAUAUAUCUUAAAUAUAAUGUGAAUGGCAGAACUAUCCCUUAACUUAGCUAUUUUAUUACCACCCAAGGUGGUUGCAUUGUGCCGAAGGUGUUAAUUAUCUGCCUGCGAUCCAGGUUGGAUCCUUCACGAUAGUAUUUUAUUACGCAUUGUGCCUAAAUAUUGACUCUACUUUUAUAAUAGCCCACUUGCGGGCUGCCCGACGUGGAUUGAAGACCGUAAUGCCCUGAUCCUAUAGACGGUGUAGUCAACACUUGACCGGUAGCUAUUUUGUGACCAUCACAUCUAGUAAUUCAUUUUAAAUCAAUACAAUAUACAGCAAGGAUAGCCCCGCUAAUAUUUAGACUCGAGACCUUUUAUUUUUCAAUUUUUCUCUCAAAUAUUUUUUAUAUAUAAAAUGAUCAAUUAUAUCACACUUAAUUAGUUUUAUAUAUACUUUUUUCCUGAAUUGUCAGAAAUAUGCUCAUCAUAGAUAAAAACUUGCUUUUAAUUAGUUUGGGUGCAGAGAUAGCCCAUCCAUCGAGAAUGGGUAAGUCCUUCCAUGCAUAUAUAUCCACUCAUCUCCAGAAAGGCAACCUGCAAACAGUUGAAAGAAACCAAAUGAAUAAGAACAGAACAAUAUAUAUAAUUGCUUGAUAUACUAUAUAUAUCUGGUAUUAAUUAGGAUCACUUACAAUUAUAGAUUCUUUUUCUUUUAUUUUUCCUUUCUUCGCUUAUUUUCUUUUUUAUUUUUGCCACUUGCAGGAGGAGAAGAAUAGGGUUUUAUAUAUACAAGGAGAAAGUUAUAGAUACAAGCUUACCCUAGUUUGAGGGAAGUAUCAGAGCUAUCAUCUUCAAGAGGAGGACCACUGGUGCAGCUGCAGACAUUGGUAACAGAUUCUGAUGAUAAACCUUCUUCUUGAAGACGGAUAUCUGACUCCACAACUCUUUUUCCCUUGCACAGAUUCAUCAUCUGCAUUAUCAAACCACCAUUAACAACUCUCAUUUAAUUAUAUCUCUCACUGUAUUAAUUCAUCAAUCUAUCUCUACCUUCUGCUUUAGCUGUUUAUUCUCUUCCAGCAAUUGCUCUCCCUGCAAACGAAACAAACGAACAAACAAACAUCAUUUAUAUUUUGAUUCUGCUACUAAUGCAUAUUUAGCCUAUUGAAGAAUAAUAAAAGCAACAUUUGUGAAGAUGAAAACGCCGAGCCAUGGGCGUCUGUCCCUCUCUCUGAGUAAAAUGUAGUUAUCCAUGUAAAGUUGUAUUGGAAAUGUCAUUUUCCUAUAUCUAUUUCCGCAUUUUUCCUGUCGCAAAAAAAGAUUAAAAAAAAAAAAACAGUGGUUGGUAUUGUAACCUAACCUUCUUUUCAAGUGCAGAGAUCUCAUUCAUAAUCCGCUCUCCCUGGAAAAGAAAAAGGAAAAAUAUUAAGCAAUAAAUGGAGAAAUCAUAUAAGCUUUUAUAUAUAUAUAUAUAUAUAUAUAGUGCGUGCAAGUAAACCUUAGUUUCAAGCACACGGGUAAGUCCUGAUUCAAGCAUUUUUUCCAAUUGCUGUAAUUCCUCCACAUUUAGGCCUCGCAGAUCCUCUCCCCUCAUCUGCCUGUUAUACAAAAUUAACGAUCCUUUCAAUUAGUUCUAUAUAACUUAAAAUCUGACAUUAAUAACGAAAACUAUAUAUAUAUCAUACCUGAGUUGAUGAGUCUUUUCAGCCACCUCCUUGCUCAACCGAGCGUGAUUGCUAUUUUCAAGCUAUAACAACAAUAAAUGGAAUUGGUUUCUGUAAGAUGAGUAGCCAUACUAAUAUAAUCUGCAGAACUUGGUAGUCACAGAGAAAAUGAAACAAAGAAUGUAGAAACAAAUAGCAAAAUUUUGUUUGAUAUUUAAAUGAUUGAUAUUGAUUAAUAGAAAACUGAUAAAGCUAAAAGGGUUUACAUACUUGCAAUUCAAGAGAUGGUCGGCCAAGUUUGUCGAUAUUAUUUGAAUGCAGAUUAUACCUUGCGAUUAUGUCCUUCAUACUUCAAGAAAAUAGCAAUAUACACUGUUAGUAUUACAAUUUUGAGGAGAAUGAAGGGGAAAGAGUCAGUCAAGUUUGAACUUAUUUGGACUUUACCAUUCUCAAGUUGAAGAAUUUCACAACACACACAUGUAAAUCUUCUCCAACUGGGUAGGUUCAAAAUCACAAGUUUCUAUAAGAUUAAUUACUCGUUUGUUUUAGCUGUUUGUAAUAACUGGUAGCUGUAGCUAGUAAUCGAUAAUUGUUUAGCAAUUGGUCGAUGAAUGCUGAUUGUUUAGUAAAAUUUUAAUAAUAGUCACUAUUAAAUGUAAAAAUAUCCAUUACAAAUUAGUUACAUUAAUUUUUUUAUAUAUAAUAAUGUCUAAUAAUUAUUUAUUUUAAAAUAAUUAAAAAUAAAAUGAUCACCUGAAAAUAUAUUAACUUAACAAAAUAAUUUUAUUAAUAACUACUUUUAUAAAGUUAAUAUAAUUCAAAUAUAAUUUACAGACAAAUGAGCAAGCAAUGAUUAGAAAAAACUUUAAAGUACAAUUGAUUGAAUGAGCAGCUCCUAUCUGUUAUUAGAUGCUAAUUAAAAUCUUUACCAAACACAUGUGGUCUAGCUGUUAAGUGCAAAUUACCCAUUCGAUAUAUGAAAAAGUUAAAUCAAAUUUCUCUUAAUUGUGCAUUUGAUAGUAAUUGUUUCAUAUAGUCUAUAGUUGAUAGUUAAUUUAUAGCCGAACCAAAUCUAACUGAUAACUGAUAUAAGUUUCAAUCAACUGCUAUAACUACGUUAAAUAGCUCAAAUCAAAUUCAUGCGAAAUAAAAAAUAACACUUUUAAUCACCUUUAUUUAUUAAUUAGAAUAAAACAUUAUAAUCAAAAAAUAACCUUUUUUUUGUUUGACAUGAAAAGAAAAGAGUAUAAUAUUAUUUAUUUAAAGAAUUACACAAAUAGUUAUCUUGAUUACAAUUUGAUUUGAUUUUAAAAAAAAGAACAAACUAUAUGAGUUAAACUCCUUUCCUUUGAUAUAGUCACUUAAUAAAACUAUAUAUACAUAAAUAAAAACUGAAAUUGACUCUAUUAUUUCAUGAGCAAGAACGUGUUAUUUAUAUAUCAAGAACGUAGAGAUGUUCUUAAGACAAUCAUAAACCAAACUGUAAUCAAGAACCCAAAUCGCAUAAUAUAAGUGAAAUUAGGAGGGAAAAAGUGUAAAUAUACAAUUUAAAAUAUUGAAGAAACUAUCUUCUUGAAAAUUUCUUAAUAGGGAUUAUCACAAGAAAAUUGAUUAAACCCCAAUUUUAUUUAGUCACUAAUGGCUUAUCACAAGAAGAAGUAAACAGUGAUUAAUAUAUAUUUAUCUCUCUCUAAUAUAUAUUAAAAAGAAUUAACUAGAUGGCACUGUUACUAGUACAAGUAUAAAUAAAGAUUCCACAUAAACAGUAAUAGUAAUCAAAGGGUCAAGCAAAGUACCAAAAAUAUGCAAUGUAAUACAAAAUGGGUUUUGAUUAUCAUUUUCCUAAUGGAUUAGACAACAAAAGUACAUUUCUCGAACUCUAUGAAGAAGAUUGUGUUUAAUGCAGAAGACAAACUAACAUUAUAAACAUGUCCAAGUUGUCCUUAAUUUUCUUUUUCUUAAUAGGGAUUAAUGGUUUAUGAGAAUUAAGCAUGUCUUUUUAUUUAUAGACAGAAGUUUGCGAGACACGAAGCUUCUUGUUCUAAAAAAAACUAUGAAAUUAGAGUUUAUUUAUUUCCCGUUUAAUAAAAAAAAUGGAAGAGUUGGAAUAAAGAACAGAUGUGCAUACAUUUUUUUAUAUAUAUAAAUAGAUCUAAGCCAUCGAAGAGCAAUACCUGGAGCUAGAAUACUCAAAUAGCUUCCCAGUAGCAGAAAAAACGAUAAGAGCAACCUCAGCAUCGCAAAGAACAGAAAGCUCCUCAGCUUUCUUGAAAAGCCCUCGUCUUCUCUUCGAAAAGGUCACUUGCCUUGCUGUAAUAUUAUCAAUUUUCUUGAUCUUGAUCUUCUCCCUAGCCAUUUUUUUGAUCCUUUUCUUUCUUUCGCUCUUUCUUUUUAUUUCUUAAAAAAGAACAGGAAAAAAAAAAAAAAAAAAAAAAAAAAGAGAGAAUCAAGAACCAGAUAUAUGAUUUCAUCUACAUUUGCCCGUCCGUACAACCAAGAAUAGGGAUUAUUACUGCAUAAAAUGGCAAAGAAAGGAAGAGAGCUCAAAGAUCUUUCUUUCCUACUUUCAGAACCAAGAAAAAAAAUCAAGAAUACCAAAUAUAGUUAAUUUCUACAUUUGUCCGUACAAUCAAGAUGAGAAAUUUUAACGCAUAAAAUGGCAACAAGAGUGAACUCAAAAGGCUACGGUUAUACAAAUUGAAGACAAGAAUUUAGCAAAACCCUAGCUUUGAGGAAAAGAACACCUAAUAAAGUUCAGAUCCAAGCAAAAGAAAACCAAAUCUUGAACUCAUAAACAUGCAAAGAUACAACAUACGUACCUAACUAAACCACCUUUCCAGUUUUAGCAGCUUUGGCUUGAAUUAGGUCCGAUCAGAGAAACCCAAACCUACCAAUUAGAGAAAGAAAUGAAUAAAACCUCUAACUUAUUUUCAGCAUAUGGAAAUAGUGAAAAAGAAAGAGAAACAGUUUGGUUUUGGUGUUCAAGAAAGGAAAGGCUACAAUACCUUCCCUUUGUAGCUAAACAGGAGUCUUUUCCUAACUUUUUUUUUUUUUUUUCCUUAAAGAGUUAAUAUAUAUAUAUAUGCGAGAUUAUUAAAAACAGAAAAAAAGAGAUUUGUAUUGGAUAAAAAGGUUAAAAACAAAUAGCAUUCUUAAUUUUAGUAGUUAAAUUUUUUAUAUGUCAAAGAAUAUUUUUUAUUUUUUAAAAUUAUAAAAAUAAUACUGAUUUUUUUUUUUAUGCAUCCAAUCGCUUUCCGUACAAAGUUAGCCAUCCUGCAAUCACAUCAUGGGCUGAUUUUUAAUUGCCCCUUCAGCAGCUCCCACCGUGUAUCGUACCCUCUUUCUGGCUUUCUGCUUAUCCAAUCGUCAAUCACUAUUAUUAUUAUUAUUAAGAAAAUUUCUUUAAGUGAAACCUGUAAUGAACUAACUAUAAUAUAUACUAAUAUACCAUACCAUUAUUAAGUUACUUAUUAUAUAUUCUUAAUAUAUGUUUUUUGGAAAUUCUCAAUAUAAGUAAUUAGGAGAAAUGUUAUGGUUGUGAUAUGCUUCUAUUAAUUAAUUCUUAAAAAACAUAUAAUUAAGAAAACUUUCUCUCUUUGCAUCCAUACGUCUUAUUUAUUGUUUCUAUUUUCAAUCAAUUGGGAUAAAUUGGAUCUCAGUAACGCUAUAUGAAUCCUUGAAAUGUCUUAAAAAUAUUAGAAAGAUAAAGGAGAGGAGUCCUAAUGAAAUGAUUAUAAUUAUGUCAGAAACGUGAUAAAUCAAUACAGUUCUUAAAAUACUCAAAUCGAUGAGACAAGAUAAUAAUUCAAAAUCGACUUAUAUUUUAGGACAGAGAGAGUAAAAAAUUAUUUUAGUAAUAUAUAACUUCACAAUAUGUUGCACAAAGACAAUGCAUGUCACGUGCAAUGCAACAUUGACAAAGGUUGGAGUUGUUAAUAUUGUAAAAACAAAGAAGAUGCUUCAGUGUACACGUAUUUGUGUAUGUGGUCCAAAAAGUAGUGUCGUCCAUUUCAACUUUCAAUACAAUUCUGUAUUUUCAUGUAUAUAUUCCAACCUUUUUCUAAAAAAAAAAAAAGAAAAAGAAAAGAAAAGAAAUCUUUUACAGUUAUCUUCUUCUCCGUAACUGAGAAGUGUUGAGGGCGUGCUUGUUUGAACUUGGAGAAAGUGUUUUUCAGCCAAGAUAGAGUUUGGCAGAUUGCCUCAUUCACUUCAAAUCUCACAUGCCAAAUUCAAGAAUUUUGCUUUCACUCCCAAUCCUCCCCUAACCAAUUUUUAGAUAAUGUUGCACGUGUUCAUAAGACUUUAUUCUUGGUUUAAAAACUUGGCUAAAACAUAAUAAAUGUUACCAGACAACUAUUUAUAUACAGUAUAUCUGUUCCCGUUAAUUGUUAUAGCUAUUAGGUUUAGUUGUCCGUAGUUAGAUAAUCUUUAUCUCAAAAUCAAUAGUUACUUGUGGAAGUAUUUAUUAUAUAAGGGUAAUAUCGAAAAAACAUCAUUUAUUAUUUCUCAAAAUACUUAAAACGAUUUAUAUUUUGGGACAAAAUAAUCACUAAAAAACUUUGGGACAGAGGGAGUAGCUUUUAUACAGCACUUUAAAUUAGAAGUGUUUGGUAAAAAUAAUUAUUUAAUUAGUUAUUCAAUUUAUGGUAAAAAAAGAAAUUAGUUAUUUAAUUAACUAAAUUCGAAAAAAAAAAAAUGGAUAUGAUUGUAAAAAAAAAAAUUAAAACUAAACACCGCUAAAACGUUAUAGUGUUUAAAUCUCUGAAAAUUGUUAUAAAAGCUAUAUUAUCGAAAUUAUAAUAAAUAGAGAGAGUUUUAACUUAUCAUCUUUACGAGAUUUGAAUCGUUUAUCACUUCAAUCAAUGCUUUAUUAACGAGACUUCAAUCAAUGUCUUAUUAACGAGAUGUUGAAGUAUUUAACGUGUAAAAAUAAAAAAAUAAAGUGCUAUUUUUAGAUAAAUAAAUCUGUAGAAAGUUAAGAGUGAAAAGACGAUUAAAGGUCUCAAGUGAAGGAGGAAGAACAAAAUAAAAAAAAAAAAGAGAAAAGAAAGUGCAGAAAGGGUGUGGAAUGUCUCAAAUAUGACGAGACAUUUAUCUUUUUUCAUAAGAUUUUCUUUUUUUUUUUUAAUCAAUUGUUGCAUUCACACACAAAAAAAAACAAAAACAAAAAAAAAAAAGAAUAUAUUGAAGAAUAUAAUAAAAAUAUCAUGUCAAGACUCUAUCAAAAAGGGAAAAAAAUAUUUUUCUUUUAUUAAAAAUAAUUUUCUUAGUAAAAAUUAUUCUUUCUUUUGCGCAAAAAAAAAAAAAAAAGGGAUGCAGAGGAAUCAUUGACCACACACGUCUUCUUCUCAUAAGAGUAGUGAAGCUGCCUACAUGGAAAAGGGAGGCAAUCGCAGUUUCUAGGAUUGAAUCUAAUUAUAUGUACAGAGAUUUCUAACUUUGCUUUUAAGUUUUAAGAUUCUACCUUUCAUCAAUCCGAAUGUAUUUUUACAAUAUUUUUUAAAUGAUUUAUUAGUUAUUAAAAGGAAAAUUACUAUUUAGUUACAAUUUACAACUUUGUGGUCAAAUAACUACGACAUUCGUAAGGUUUAAAAUCCCAUUGAUCUCAUCAUCCUAUCGGCAAUAGAAAGAAUUAUCAUUAUGGACAAUUUGGGCAGCAAGAGCCUAAUAAUUACUUAUUUAAUAUUAUUAGUGUUCUGAAAAUCGGAUUGGUCAAUGAACUGAAUGAUUCAACCAAAUUCAAUACAAUUCAACCGGAUUUUUAUAUAUAAUAUUUUUAAAUAUAUUUAUUAAAUACAAUUCAAAGUAGAGGAUAAAAGAAAUUUUGAUAUCAAAUAAAAAAACAUUCUCCAAUUUGGCUUUUAUAAAUAAAUAUAAAAAUUAGUAAAUAAUUUUAGACAAAAAAAUAAGAUAUUACUAAAUUUAAUACUAAAAAAACUCAAUUAAGUAUAAUAAAAUAUAAUAUUAUUUUCCCACUUAUAUUUAAAGUUGAGAAAUUUAAUUGUUUUAAUUCAUAUAAUAGGACCUUGGAUUUAGAAAUAAAGAGGUCCAAAACGAAUAAAAUUAUUGGGCCAACUCUUAAGAGGCCCAAAUUAGAGACAAAAACUCAAAACUUAAAACGAACCAAUUUUUAACUUGUCUGGUUCAACGGUUGUUGGCAAUUUUCAUCCAGUUUUUAGUGAUUUGUGUCGAUUUUUUAAACUUUCGGUUUCUUUAUGUAACUCGGACUGGACCACUGUUCGAUUUUCGAUUAAACCUGUCGAAUAGGCCGGUUCGGUUCGGUUCGGUUUUCAGAACCAUGAGUAUUAUUAUUACUUCAUCUCAAAAUAUAAAUCUUUUAAAAUUUUUACAUAAGGAUUAAGGAAGCAAUUAAUUUUUCUAAAUUAUAAUAAAUUCACCAAAUUAUCCUUUAUUUCAAAACCAACGGUUGCUUGCGAAGUAUUUAUUGUAUUUGGUGUAAAUAAGGAUAACUUGAAAAAAUAUCAUUUAUUAUUUUUUAAAAUAUAUAAAACGAUUUAUAUUUUAGGACAAAAUAAUAAAUAAAAAACAAUUUAUAUUUUGGAAGAAAUGCAGUAUUAUUAUUAGCUUUUGGACCAAAGCCUAUUGGGUCAGUUUAGGGCCCAAACUGCCAAUUGCUGUACAAUAACCCAACAGCUUCAAACCUCCACUUGGUGUUGGAGCCGACUGGCUCCCUCGUUGUUUCCGAAUCCUUAAUGUGUCCCACCGCAGGGUCCCAUUUCGGUUCAAAAUAGGAUGUGGUUGGAUUUUGUAAUUCAACGUAAUAUGUUUUGGGCAUUGUUGUCUAUUCGUAAGCUAUUAAAAUUAUGUGUUUGAUUAUCAUAAACUUCGAUGUUUAUCCACAAUUAAUUUUUAAAAUUAUUACAGUUGUUUUAAACAUUAUUUUCCAUUCAUAAAUUGAAACCAUGUUUUAUUAAAAUAUAAUGUGUAUUUUUUUUUUUUACAUUAAGAAUAUUAGACUAUUUAUAUAAUUAAUUUCUUAACGAAAUAGGAAAAUAAGUUUAGUUUUAAAUGCAAAAAUAAGGAAUUUAUAAAUAUUACACCCUUCCUUAAGGCGGUAAAGAAAAUUUUGUGACAAGAGCUUUGCAAAUCAUAGAUGUUUACCAUUAUAUGAAUCAAUUGUCUUAUUUUGCUAAAAGAUUAGAGAAAAUUUACAUUUUAUUUAGAAAGGAGAGGGAAAAACAAUAGCGAAGAAAAUAACAGGAGAAAAUAAUGAAGUACUCCCUCUAUCUAUAAAUAUAAGCCAUUUAAGAUAGUUGCAUGUUAAAUAAGAAAUUAAUUAAUUCUCUUAAAUAAAUUUUAAAAAUUACAAAGCUAAUUAUUGUAUUUAAUAUAAAUAAGUGUAAAAUUAAAAACACACUAUUAAUUACUCAUUUAUAACCAACCAUGUAUGGUUUAAUUGAUUUUCCUAUCUUUUCAAGCUAUCUCCACCACAAGAGUUACCACCAAUUUGGUAAAUAUUAUGCAAAGAAUUUAUAACGUUAUUCCGACCCCAAUCUCUUACUCUUAUAGCUAUGAAUUUAUUUAGAAAAUUAAAAAUAUCAAAUUUGAUUUUUUAAGCUAAUUUUAAUCUUUUUAACUUAUUUAAAUUGAUUUAAAAUAUCAUAUUUGGCCAUUUCCGCUUAUAAAAUAAGUAAUAUUAAAAUUUUUAUACAUAUUAGUCUCAGAAUUAUGAGGAUCUCUUAAUAAUGAAUGAUACUUGAUUGUAAAUUGAUAUUAAUCUUUUUCUAGGAGGAAGGCUCCUCCUUAUACACUUGAUGUGAGAGCGCUAGCUGGCUUAUGCAAAUAAUGGGGAGGGGUAUUUAGAAAUUAUCUCCUAAUAUAAAGCGCAUAUCAUUUAUGUUAUUUUGAUUUGUUAUAUGGUCUUCAAAUCUCGAUAAAAUCGGUAUUUAUCACUUAUAAUUAAAUUCUAUCUCAUAUAUGGAAAAUUCUUAUUUACUUGAAUUUGAAUUUUGAUGUAUCAAAAAUUGGAAUCGUAUCUCAAUUUCAGUUGUUCUAGUAAUUCUACUAAAAUUGAUUUUAAAUUGAACCAAAAUCAUCGCAACCCUAAUUAUGGUAUGCUUAUAAAUUUCACCAAGCCAAAUGAUAUAUUGACAUAUAAAAAAUAAAAAAAAAACAAAAAAAGAGAAAAUCUUUAAUCGUAUUUGUACGUAUCAAUAUAUAAUUUACUUGAUAUAUAUCAGAACUCAUACACUAGAAGUAGGGCAGUUUGUGGAUCGGUUUGGAAACAAUAAUUAAACCAAAUCUAAAAUAGUGGUUUGAAUAAAAAUUGAAACCAAAGUUAAAUCAUGAAAAAUUUCAUAUCGAAUAAACUUUUAAUUGCAGUUUGAUUUAAUUUGGUUCAACUUAGCGAUUUGAAUGGUUUGAAAGAAGAGAAUUAAAUUUCCUUAUCCGUCUAGUUAACAAUAAAAAAAGAGAAUAAAUUAUACUAAAUAUAAAAAAUUAACUAAUAUAAACUAUAACGUAAAAUAUUUAUGAUAUGAUUUUAAAUAGUUGUUGAAGUUUAAAUUAAUUUUUAUACGUUUAUUUUAAGUAUUACAUAUUUAAUAAAAUAUUAAUUCAGCAGUUUAUAAAUAUAAAAUUUUAAUUUUAAUUUGCUUUUACAUAUAUUAGUAAAAAUUUAUAAAAAUUUAUAGUUUUGUCACGUAUAAUUUGGAUAUAUUAUAUAGUAAUCUAUUUUCCAAGAGUUUUUAACAUUUGUACUUUUUUAUAAAAUAAUCAUAUAAUUUAUCUAAUUAAUAUAAAAUUAUUACUUAAUUACUAUCCAAUAUAAACUAAUUCCAUAAUUUGUUAUCGAAUAUAAAUUAAUUAAUGCAAAGAAAAUUUGCAUUGAAAAUAUUGAAUUAGAUUAUGAUUAUUUAAAAGUUGAUAUAUAUAUUAUAUAAUGGUUUGAUUCGAUUUAAGCGAUUUUGAUUACAGAACUGUAAACCAAAUUAAAAAUUCGGUUUUUAAAUAACAGUUUGGAUCGAUUUCAUCCAUUUGAGCGGUUUGAUCAACAGAAGUAUUUCUCUUACUUAAUAGCAUCCCCUGAUUUGAAAUUUAGAAUUAUAUGACGAAAUGACCAAAGGCCCUCGAUCGAUCCUGCCCACCACCUAUUACUCAUAAAAAAAUAUGAUCAAAAACAGAGCCCGAUUUAGUCAACCUACAAAAUAUGGCGUGCAGCCACUGAGCAUCCAGCCAAAGCGCACCCAUCGUUUUCUUGCUUUGCCAUUUUUUUCUCAUUUCUCAACCCAAACCCACCAAAAAAAAAAAAAAAAAAUGAACGAAAAUUCCAACUCCACCAACAGAGGCGAAGCUGAGCGCCUGCUCGGAGUCGCCGAGAAACUCCUCCAAUCCCGUGAUUUCAGCGGUACAAGAGACUUCGCCGUCUUGGCCCAAGAAACAGAGCCUCUCCUUGAAGGCCCAGAUCAGAUCUUGGCCGUCGCCGACGUCCUUUUGUCCGCCGAGAAGCGCAUUAAUAACCACCACGAUUGGUAUGCGAUCUUGCAAAUUGACCGCCGGUCCGAUGACCAGGAUCUAUUAAAGAAGCAGUACCGUCGGUUUGCAUUACUUCUCCAUCCAGACAAGAACAAGUUCCCUUUCGCAGAUCAAGCUUUUAAGCUUGUCGCAGACGCUUGGGCUGUCUUAUCGGAUUCAGCUAAGAAAUCACUAUACGAUAACGAAUUGAGCUUGUUUUCUAGGGUUGAUUUAACAAAUUCAGGAAAAUUACCGGUCAGAAGGAGCCAGCGACCAGCAUCGAAGAAACACACAGGCGAGAGCGUUAAAACUUCUGUUAGUAGUAGUAAUAGCUCAGCGGAUCGGAGUCAAAGGAUGAAGCUAUCGUCUUUUUGGACUGCUUGUCCAUAUUGUUUUAUUUUAUAUGAGUACCCUCGGAUUUACCAGGACUGUUGUUUAAGAUGCCAGAAUUGCCAGAGGGCGUUUCACGCGGCGUUGAUACCGUCGUUACCGCCGUUAGUGCCCGGGAAGGACGCCUAUUACUGCUGCUGGGGUUUUUUCCCUUUGGGCUUUAUGUUUGGGAAUCCAGAAAGUGGUGCGAAAACCUCCGGGUCUGGGGCUGCGUCUGUUUUUCCAAACUGGAUGCCUCCAAUUUUUGGCCCGGGGCAGCAAAGUAGUGAUAAAAAUGAUGGCAGCACCUCUACACCGCCAGCCUUUACCUCUGGGAACCAAGUGGGUGAUAGAAAUGGUACUGUGAGAGCAACUUCAGUACCAACACCAACAGCAGCAGCAGCAGCAGCACCAGCUCCAACACCGGUAAGGUCAGGGGCGGGGAGAGGCGGGGGGGGGGGGGGGGUGGGGGGGGGGGGGGGGUAGAGGCGGUGGAGUAGUUGGGAGUUCGGAUGGGAGUGGCACUGGGUUUGCCGCAAAGAAAAGGGGAAGGCCAAGAAAAUAUCCCCUACAAAAUGUUUGAUAUAAAUUACAAGAGAAGGAAUGAGAGAAGAUGGAGGAAGUUUUUAUGGCCUGAAUUGGUAAGAGGUAUAGAAGUCUCAAGCAAGAGGGCUUUAUAGCUGGCACACUAUGGGGAAGUCCAUAGGUAUUGUUUUUAACUUCUUGUAGUGGUAUCUGUUGCUUCUUUUUUUUUUCUUCUUGUUUGUAGAGUUUAGAUGUUUUUACCCACCGUGACUAACUUGUUAAUUUAAGGUUAUGAAAUGUAGCAAUGUCAUUUUAGCAAGUUCUCACUAUGAAUUGGAGAAUUGUGCCCUAAUUGGUCAUGUAUAUCUUGAAAGGGCAUAAUUUUGUUCUUUGUGUAGCCAAGUAUAUGCAUUUUGUACUUUUGUGUUCAUAAGCUUUGAAUAUGUAAGAUCACUAAAUAGGCAUAGAGCAGUUUAUUUCAGUGCAAUAACCAAAUUUCAAUUUAUUCAUAAUAUAAUUAUCACUACUUGAGUUCUGUAAUCUCAUCCUAAAAAGGUGAAUUUUGAUCUGUAAUGAAGGAAAUUGAGUUCUCUGUUUUAGUUGUCCUCUUCUUUUUUAUUCCUGGUAUAAGAUGACCAUGAGGAACUAGUGAUAAUGCCUUUUUGUUCCCUCACCUUAUCAUUGAUCAUCAUAGGGCAAGGGCAUAUUUUCUGUUAUCUCCGAACAUGAUCAGAGACUAGUAUAAUUGGUAACAGACCAAAAAUGUGGUCUCUUAUCUUCCAACUGAAGUGGAAGAUUUGAGCCUUGGCUAGAUUAGAGUCAGUUUGUAUUUUGUCAGAAGCUGUCUUUUCUAACACCAUUUGUCAUAUAUGACAAUAAAGAACUCUCUUAUGAUCUUAUUUGCAGGCCAAAAUUUGAAUGCUUUUAACGUUUGUUUCAUGCUCUGCACCUUGGUAGUUGGUGGAUGAUUAGAGAUGUCUAAGUUAUGAAUGAAAUCGCGGUAGCCAUGUCCUAUAAGGUCAUUUGGGGAUGAACAAAACCACCUGUUUGGUGGUUUUGCCUCCCUGCUAUGAGCUAUGGAGCAUCCUUGCUUUGUAUAUUUUAAUUAUACCGUGAUUUGUAUUUUUGUAUUUCUAACUUGCAUACUCAUGAAUCCUGGAUGGAUAGACAACAGAUAAGGCGAGACUUUCAUCUAUCACAUGGGUUUCGAACAAGGUUUGUAUGUAUUGGUAAAAGAAAUGAAUUCCCAUCUAUUGGUAAAAACUUUAUAUUAAUACAUCAUUUCUUAAUCUUCCUAUCUAAUUAUUACACCAUUUUAGGUCUCUUUUGAUAAAUUACUUUACUUCUGAGAAUCUAUUAACCAAAUGUUAGGUUGUUUUAUAAAACAUUAUAUAUUUUAAACUGAUUUAUAAGUUAAAAGUAGCUAAUUCAAACACACUUUUCCGUAUUAUAUUAGAUUCUAGUGUGGCUAAAUAGACAUAUUCAUUAAAUUUGUUUGACAAACGAAAAGUUUUUUAUCAAAUUUAUUUGCAAAUCUAAUUUUUCAUGUUUGGUAAAAAUAAAAUUUCAUACUUUAAAUUUUAUGAAGUUGGCUAUGCUUAAAUCAAAGUCUAUCAAUAUUGAUAGGGUUCUACAAGUGAACUCUAAAAAUUAAAAGGGUAUAAGCAAUGAAAACUAAAGAAGCAAUUUCAAGUAUAAUUAGGUUUUAAACAAAGAUUUUCAACAAUAAAAUUUAAGAUGCUUUUAACAUCCAGCCUCAAACCAAAGGAUCCAAGAAAUGAAAAAGAGUUACAUUGAACUCUCAAGAAUUAAGAGAGGAGGAAUUGGAAAGUCCAAGGCAUUCGCUUUGACACCUUCUUAAGCAAACAUCAUUCCAAUUAGGCACUUGAUGUUGAUUAACACAGACAGUUCUUGCACAAGCAUCAGCGCAAGCAUCAAUUUCAGAAACCCCACAGACAGUAACACAAGUAUCUAUAAUUGGGUCCUUAGAAAAUGCACCAACCUUCUUCAACAUUCUCUUUGAUGUACAUACUUUCUCGCAAACAAAUAUUUCAUCAGAGUUUUUUUCGCGCCCUCUUGCACUCUUGAGCCUUUCCUCUUCUGCUCUCUUUUUCUUCUUCCUGAUCGCUUGCCCUGUAAUUACUGCUGGUAUUGCUGCACCUAACACUAUCCACCAUGGAUCCACCAUACCUACCCAAACAAAAGGUCAGAGAAAAAUAGGGCAGAAAUCAAAUAAUGCGAUUAUAUGUUUUAAAUCAGUUCUCCAUCGAAUGGAAUCGCAAAAUUUAGCGAUGAUGCGAAAGAAGAAAGAAAUAGAAAGAAAGAGUUAACCUGGAAAGUUUUUUGCAACGGACGAGGCGGAGGAGACUAAUGGGUACUGUGGAAUCCGCUACAAGUGAACUUUGAGGUAAGCAAAGUGUGACAUUAGAUCCAAACUAACUGGGUCCCCGUCAUGCGCUUGUAGAAAUACACUAUUCUUUUUUUUUUUUUUUCUCCGAACCUGAUAACCUGUGUCUGCAAGUCUAAUGGGUUGGAACUAUGUUCACCUCGUCCGAGGAUUAUCUCAACGUGACAAUUUUAAAAUAUUUAAUUAAUGAGAAGAAAUUUCAACUAGACGGUUUGAUUCUGAAUUUUAUAUUUUUAAUAUCCGAUCCAAACCAUUCUAGAAUAAAAAUGAAACUGCAUUUUAAGGUUCCGUUUAUGCAAUAUCUUUUUUUUUUUUUUUUUCUCUUCUUAAAUUCUUAAUAUUUGGCAAAAUCUGAAAAUAUAGGUUAAAUUUAAAUUAUAAUUAUUGCAAAACAAUAUUGCAUUUAAUAUUUAGUUCGGUAACUAAAAGUUUUUACUAAAAUUGAACCAAACCGAAAAAUUAAACUUUCUUCAAGUUAAUUAAAAACUGUAUUUGAAUCAAAGAUUGAAAAACCGAAAUACAUCGGUUUAGUGCAGUUUUUCAAAUUUUGUAAUGUUUGCUGACUCCACUCUAUUUCAACCGACGUUAGUUAGUAAAAUAUAUUCUUUAAUAAAAUUUACUCUCAGAAAUCAAGAUUCGAAAUCUAAAGUUAAUUGUUUUUAUAUUAAAAAAGGUAAAUAAAUUAAAUACCAACCAUAAAAAUUGUGUAACAUACAUUUCGAACCAAGUAAUUUUCUUUGUCCAAAUCAUACUCUGCUGGGAAAAAUAUGAAAAUAUGGACGAGCUAAUUACAAAUGGUUAGGUUUUGUCGGCAAACUAUGAGUGAGAACGUAUUCUAUGGAUACUUUAGUUAGAAUUGUGAGAUUAUGAAUUUAAAAUUUAGCAGUGAAUAAUUAAUUAAAAAAAUAUAGAAAAAAUGACACGAUCUAAUUAAUUUUCGUACCUCUUGUAAAAAAUAUUGAGAGGUCUCCUAUUCAAGUUUUCUCCACCAUAAAGGUUGUUGUAAAUUUAGACAUCUUAUAUAUAUAUAUGACAUUUUUAAAUUAUAAAAUAAUAAUUAUUGUCGUUAAAAUACAAUAAUUUAACUUUUCUGUAAUAUUUUUUGAAAUUCUAUUUUUUUCAAAAAAGUAAUUUUCUAUAUAAAACUUUGAAUUUUAGUAACCAGGACCUGAAAUAAUGUUGUAUUUUUAGUAUUAUUGGAGCUAAAUGUGCUUAUUUACACACACGAACAUCUAUGACUCUAUCUAAUCUAACAGAGUGAACUCUUUAUUGCAAAUAUAAAUCGGUUAGCAAUUGUUAAAAAUAAAAAAAAUCUCAGAAAUAGAGCUUUUGGAAUUUAUAGCUUUGAAAUUUUUGAAUCAACUACUAAUUGAUAUUUUUAUGAGCUUCUGAAUAAAAUUAUUGUCAAAGGUGUUUGGUUUGACUUUUUUUUUUUUUUUUCACUUUUCAUCUAAAAAGUAAUUUUUAAUAUACAAUAAAUUUUUAAAAUAAAUAUAGUGAAAUUUCUGGUAUAAUUAUAUAAAAUAAUUUUACUUUUAAGUAGCUUAAGUACUUGGUUAAUAAAUACUAUUUAAAAGUAUGUGAAAAAAAAUUUACAUUAAUUAAGUGAAAAUUUUAAGUUUUUUUUUUUUUUUUUGAAAGGCAAUUGAAGAAUUUGUUAAAACUAGAAUAAUAUAGGUAUUUUAAGAAAACAUUAUAUAUAUAUAUAUAUAUAUGAGUGUCAAUGAGGAGGAAUAAUGGGAUUAUCUAUAAUAACUUUAGUGAAAGUUUAGAAAUCUUAAAAUAUUCUUAGUCAUUAGAUAAUUGAUAAUAGUUUGAAUUUUUAAUUGUUGAUAAAUUAUAAUUUUUAAUACUUUUUUUAUUAAUUGAUUAACAAAAGUAUAUUAUUGUAUUAUUUUAAUAAUAAUAUUUUUUUGAAAGGUAGUAUUGUUAUUUUAAUAUAUUAUUCUAAUUGAACUUUGAAGCAUUCGUUGUUUACAAUAUCAAUUGUUUGAAAAAACAGAUCAUUAUUUUAAUUUUAAAAUAAAAUUCAAAAUGUCAAAAUAAAAAAUAAAAAUAUCUAUAAAAAAAUAUUGUUUCACACUUUAUAUAUAUAUAACUUUUAAAAUUUUGAUUUUUUUUAUUUAUAUCUAUUUAUCUAUGUCUAAGUUCUUCACGAACUCAAGUGAUUUUAUCUUAUAAUUAAUAAUAUUUUUUCAUUUUAUUGUCUAUAAAUAUUUUAUUAAAUAUAAUUGACUUUUAAAGAUGUUAUAUCAUAUUAAAAUUAGUUUAAGAAAAAUACUAUUCGAUUAUAAUAUGAAUAUUAUUAAUCAUAUCUUAACAUUAUAUAAAUAUCUAAAAAAUAUAAGAGAAAAAAUAUAAUCAUAUUUAAUACUAUACAAGAAUAAAUUAAUGAGUAUAAACAAUGAGUAAUAUCGAAUACUAAUAACGUGCAAUGAAUUAAAUGAGUAUUUCUGAUUGUUCAAUAAUAAAAAAAAAUGACAACUUAAAAAAAAAAAAGAAACCUCGGUUGAUUACAAGACACUAGAAGCAUAAUACACUGAAUAAGGAUAAUACAUUAAUAUAUACAAUUCACCUAGUACGCAAAAUACAAGUUGUGUGGCAGCCUAGGGCCAAACCAAUUCAGGCCAACACGACUUUGUUCUUGCACUAGAAGCAACUCAAUAGCCUAAAAGGCCUGUUGCUAAUCUAAGGGUUGCCCAUUGUUAUGUACUUAUUUACACAAUUGUGUUUAACCGAUGUGUGAUUUGUUUAGAGUGUUACGAGUUGACAUACGGAUUAGACGAGUAAUUCGUUUAUUUAUAGGUAGAUAUAACCACUCCAACUAAAAUCUUAUUUAAAUUUUAAUGUUUUAUUAAUUUUUUUUUAUUUUAGUUGUGAAUUUUGAAGAAUUUAUGCAUUUUAUAUAUACAAAUUUAUUUUUAAAUAUAAUUUGAGUUAUAUAGGUUAAAACUUAAAACAUUCUAAAAAAUUUAAAGUGAAUCAUAUAUAGAUCAAUAUGAUCCAGUUAAUCUGUUUAUGAUAUUAGUCGGGUUACUAGACAAAUUAUAUGGGUCAUAUAUAGGUCAACAUGACUUAUUUAACAUGUUUAUGAUAUUAAGUGGGUUAUACAUGCCGUAUUCGUAUUACUUAUUGUGUUCAUAUUGAUAAAUUUAAUAUAAUUAUUCAAUGGGUCGUAAUCGUAUCACAGGUUAAGCAAAUCUGUUCGAACUUAAUACGCGAAUCUAUUUUAUCUAAUAAUUUUAUUUUUUAAUAUAACGUCGAACAUUGCGCGGUUAUAACAUCAGUAUUUUUUAAGGAGAUAAUCAUAUGCAAACGUUGCUUAAUCUGGCAUCAUUGUAUGAGACAAGUACACUAAUACCCAUACAGUAAUUAAUUUGUUGAUGCACUCAUACGACACUAACUAACUACGACACUCAAAACCGACGCGAUUUCCUCUUAAUAGCGCGUGUAUUCAUCUCUCCCGUUGACGUCAUAAAAAAGAUACUGAUCAUCUCAUCCGAUUAAACAGUGCUGUGCACUCACAUGCCUCACGCGUAAUCCAUCUACUCCAACAAAUUUUUCCAAUUUUAUUUUUUUCUCAAGUAUAAACGUUGUCCUUCUUUCCUCCAAUUGCCCCAUUGCGCGUGUACAAAAAUUAGCAUCCUUUCUCCCUCUUUCGAUCAUCAUUGAAAUUUAUUAAACCCAUACAGGUCAACUCAGUGAGUCUCUUGAGAUAUUUUCCUUGUCUCGCCGAGUCUAAGUAUCUGACUCGAUUUAUUUGAGUUUCGGAUCUCUCGGCGAUGAAGAACGGCCUCGAAGUUUUCGAUUUCAAGGAAGAAGACGAGCUUGCUGAAUUCGCAGCUGGUAAAAUCGUUGGCAAAUUUAAAAACCCUAGCCUUGACAAUCCCGACUUUUUGAAGUGCGAAUCCCUCGAACGCGGUACCGUUUCUUUAAGCUUGCCUUUUCUCUGUUUUGGCCUUCGAUUUUUAUUUUUGCUUUGCUGGUUGUUUCAAGGGUUUCCUUUUAUAGAAGGUAAUUGUGAAAACGGCCUCCAAUUGUGGCUGAAUAAGUUUUAUCGUUUCAGUUCGGUAUUGCAAAUUGGGAAUUGGAUUACGAAAUCAAUACAUUUCAUUAGUUUGAUUCGGUUACUAUGGUAACUUCAAGUUGUAAGACUCCCUCAACUCCCAAUCAUGAUUUUAUUGGCGACAUUUUCUCUGGGAGCUGGUUAGGGACUUUCUUUAAGGAAAUAAUACACUUUUAUCAUGUCAAGAUUAUGCAGAAGAAGUUUCUAGAGCACAAUAUAGUGUAUGUGCUUCUAAUAAUUCAAUGCAAUAGGUUAUUUGUUCAUUUAUUGUUAUUUUUUUUGUUUGAUAUGCUAAAAUGAACUAUUUCCUCAACCAUUCUAUCAUGAACAGCUGUUGAAACUUGAUCCGUGCUUUAGCUUUUCCAUUGUUGUCAAGCGUUUUUUUUAUUUAUUUUUCAUUUACAAAGAGCUAUGUACUUCGUUUGUUUCUGCAUAAUUUGGGUUCAGUAGUAAUGAGGUUUGUGCAAUUAUGGUUCAAGGCUGCAUUGAUCGUGUCAGAAACUCAGAAUUGUUGAUAGAUUGGAAGGGGAUUAAAGUCAAGUUACAAAGCCUGUAUUUCUUGAGGUUGGUUAGAAAUUUGCAGAGGGAUUCUAAAGCAUCUUGUGGGAAGACUUCUACCUUAAAAUUUCUUAUCCCCCACUCUUGUUGUUUCAAAUUUAGUUUUUUUUUUUUUCUGUCAUUUGGUGUUAUAGAGCAGUUUGUGGAUUGUGGCAAUUCUGUCAUUAUGAGUUUAUUAUGCAAUAAGAAAUUUAAAUGUCACGUUGCUCAUAGAAUCAUGGCAAGUCUGAAACCCUUCUGCUAUUCUUAUAAAUGUCCAUCUGUUUUAUGUUUGAUGUCACUGUUUUGAUCUCAUGUAUUUAUGCUUGUCGAUUUGAUAUUUUACUAGUAAAUUAAAAAAUUUAUUGAUGAUGUAAUCAUGGUAAACACCUUUCAUUUUAUAAAUAAUUUUGUCAGCUGUGUCUUCAGUUACCCAGGAGUCUGAUGUUAGAAAAAAGGAAAUUGGGAGUAUAACUUGUGUCGAUGCCAAUGAAAUUGAACGCGAUAAUAGUGCUAAUAAUGCUACUACAUGUGCUCCUUUGGGAAUGGCUGGAGAGGACUUUGGUUCCAGAGAAGACAAUUCUAUCCUAGAUGCUGCAUUCCAAUCAGAAUCUCUGAGUCGUAAGAAAGACCCUUGUUCUACAAUGGAUAAAUAUGAACCCAAAAGUUCUUCUACUGAGCAGGAGGCAGGGGUUUCAUGCCAUGACGCACAGUCACCUGGGAAAAGACAAUCAAAUGGUGUCCUUGCAGACUCUCUAUGCAAUGUACUAGGGCUUUUCACAUGUUUAGUAAAUUACAAUUUGAAUCCUGGGAUCAUUUUUUUUUCCCUUACUGUUCUAUACAAAAUUCAUGCGUACUUUGUCCAAAAACUGCAGGGUGGACCAGUUGGUUUGAAAUCAGAUGCUGAUGGAAGCAUGAACGAGAGUUCUCCAUCAAGUCCUGCUUCUGGAAUUGCAGAGGAUGGUGGUAUUUCCUCCUGAUGUUUAUUUACUGAGUGGUGUGUUGUCCAUGGGCAUUCAAAUCAUGUAUUUUGAUAUCUUACUGUACUUUGCUGCAUGAUUUCAGCUACUUUAAACGGUCAUUCAUCAGAUAAUUGUUUCAGCACAUCAGAAAUGGUAUAGUAUUUUAUCUUUCAUGAAUGAAAGUAAGAGUACUAAAUUGAAAAUUAGUUGACAUCUCUGUUUGAAAGAUCCAACCUUUUCGAAUCUUUAGAUUAUUCACUUGAUAAUUUGUUGGUUUUCUCAUUUUAGUUUGCUCUCACAUAGCCUUGUACGUGUAGCAUUUUUCUAUAACACCAUGGAAUUAAUUAAUAUAUCCUCUGUCACGUAAAUUCUUGAAUUUUUAUCUGUGCCAUUGGGUGUAAUUAGUUGCCCAAGUAUUAGAAGCAUUUUGGGCUGUUAUAUUCAGAUGCUAUUGGGGGACAAAAUGCUCUUUGUUCAUAUUUCUUGUUUAAUGUAAAACACACUUUAUGUUUUAUUUUAUUAUACCUCCUUUUUGGUUAGUAAGUGAUGUUUAUGGCAUUCUGUAGAAUUGUCUUUGCUUAUACUAUUUUCCAGAUACUUGCAUUACGUGUCACUGUCAGUCUAUAUUGUGUUGUUGCUUGCUUGUAGAAGGAAGGAUCUACUUUGGUUCAAAGUGAUAUUCUGCGUUUAGUUAAGAUUCAGGCUACUGUCUGAUUUUGUUUAGUGGUCAAAAGCUUCAAGAUUGCUGACUAAACCUUUUCGUGAAACUUGCAGGAUAUCGUAAAUAUUGGAGUUGAUUAUGUUUUUUAUCGGGAUAAUUACUGUACUGGAUGCCUGGUAACUUUUUCUAGUGAUGGCAUUAAAAUCAGUGGUAUGCUUUCACAUGGAGAUGAGGAAAUCUUUAGAUUUGAGAGGGGAAUUGAUGAUAUUCUUCAUAUUGAGUCGCAACAACUUCAAAGGGUGAGCUCUAGUUAACAUUAGAGGGGUAUCUUGUGAAUUGGAUUAUCCUUAGUUUGUGAAAGCUUUAGUUUCUUAUGUGUGUUAUUUGCAGUAUGGAGCUGUCAUCGUUAAGCUUGACAUACUGUCAAAGGAUGCUGUUCAAGCCACUAAUGCCUAUGGUAUGGGCUGGUAGCCUUAAAGAGAUUUAGUGCUUCAUGUGUUUUGUUUAUUUUCAUAUAUUAUGUAAUUCAUACUAACUUCAGUAACAUUUUUCUCCUGAAAUUAUUGAUGUUUCUCCUUAUUUUUUGAGCGUGUGCUGACCGCUCUAUUCAUUUUUUCUUGCUUUGAUAUUCUCAUGAUACAUAUUAGACAUUAACACUUUAAUUCCGGAUAUAAAGAAAACCAAACUAUAUACAUACAAUUGGCUUCAGUUUGUGGUAAUCUAGUUGCUAUCUAGAAUGUAGCUUUUAUUAGUUUAUCCUCAUUCAAAAUUUUCAAUAUCACGUAUGAUUUCACUGUUCUACAGUUCUUUGAAACUUCAAAUUCCUGUUUUAUUGAUUUUGUUUUCCAUUUAAAAUCUAUUAGGGGUUGAGCAGCUAGAGUUUGCAGUUGUUGAGCCCAACUGGUCUGGGAAACUGGAAGAGAUUGUAUCGGUCAAUGUUAAAUAUUUGGCUUUAUCUACCAUCGUGGGAGAGUAAGUUUUUCAAAUUUUGCUGGUAUAAUAGUGGUGGUUUUAGAACAUUGUUCCCUCAUAGAUUAAUGUAAUUGAAUAGAUUUUUCUUCUUUGUAUGAAGAUUGAUUGGCUAAUGUUGAAUUUCUUCCACGGGAUCAAGUUGAUAAUGGUGGAUGUGAUUAUCUAUUGUAAUUUAUCAAUAUUUUUCUUUCUUAUCUUAUAUAAUGUUAUUUUUUUCAAAUUUAAUAUUUUGCUCUUAUUAAUAAAAAUAAUUUUAUUCAAUACUCUUAACUUUUUCCAUAAGGUUAAAACAUAUAGUCAGUAAAUUUAUCAUGUAUGUAAUCUAUUAAAAAUCACUUUAAUAUUAUUAUCACAGAAAUAAUUAGUGAUUUUUUAAAAAUUUUGACUAUUUAUUUUAUUUAAAAUAUUAUAAUAUAGUGUUUAUUUUCAAUUAUUUGCUAAAAAUGUUCAAAAACGGGAAAAAGCGUAGCUCAAAAACCCGCGUUAGCUCGUUUUGGUACUAUUACAGUGAAAUUUAAUUAUUAUUAAAUAUUAUUAUAUAAAAUGAAUGCAAAUUAUUUUAUGAUGGGUUGCAAUAUAAGGAUGCAAAAUGUCUUACUGCCUUAUUUAUUUGUUGAUAAUUUCAUUGCUGUGUGGUUUUUCCUUAUUUAUUUUUCUUGAGCAUUUCAUCGGUUUUCUUGUAGUAUGGAAGGCAGAAUAGAUGGCAGGGACUUACAUCGACAGAGGUCUUAUUUUCCAACGUGAGUGACGGCUAUCUUUUUCCUCUUCUCUAAUUUUCAUAUGACGUUACUUUUGGGGCAUUGGUGGUAUCUUUGUGCUACUUUGUCCACCUGUUGUCUCUCAUCUGCUGUUCAUGUUCAUCAGUGUUUCUAUUUCUACUUAUGUAUAAAACUGUACUUUGUACUUUUGUACCUUGCUGCAAUAAAUUUUGGUUUUAAAAUAAUUUGUACUCAGUAUUAUGGAAUGCUUGUAUGUGAUUAAAAAUAUAAAUGGAUCACAUGUCGUCUCAAGGGAAUGGCAAGGUGAAUGAAGUGUUUUGUUUUGAACUGUACCAAUUGAAAAGAAUAAAAGAAAAGGAGAAUUUUAUUUGCUUCAAAUUCUGCCAAUAAUAAGAAACAUAAAAGAGAGAUCUUUUGUGGUGGCUUCCUGUAACAGAGUGCCCAAAUAUCAUGUAAACUACUUUUGAUGGUCUUUGUCAUAGUUCACAUAUAUCAGAGUCAGAGCUUAUGUGAUUAUGUUUGAGCAAACUCAUUUCUAAUAGUUACUGUCCUUUCUUACCCUCUUUUGAAAAUGUAAAAAUGUAAAUCUGUUCAAGAGCAUUUGAAAAUUUUUGAUUAAUGGAGGAACAAUUUCACCAUUUCUGCUCAAUUAGACACGCAAGCACUUCCAAGGUGCUGCCUGAAUAAGGCAAUCUUAAAAUUAUCUUCAAAUGGCAAUGCUUUAGGAAAUGUUAAAUGGAGUUUCCAGGGGAGUUCAUUGCCUAGCCACAAUGUCUCCUCAUGAAGAUUCUGCAACCCUUGUGUUUCAAAGCCACUUUUAUCAAAUAGGCCUGUGAUGUGAUGUGCUUUUGUGCAUUGAUUUUAUCCUUAUCAUAGUUUGCCUCUGAAACAACGUGUAUGCUACUGUAUUGCCUGUGGUACGAGUAUUAUGUAGCACUGAAAUGGAGAAUAAAAUGUAUAUGCAUUUGUUUUGAAAAACUAUAACAUGUUGCUAAAUACUCUUGGGAAAUUACAGUUUUGGAGAGGCUGUUGAAGAUGUUGUCUAUCCAAAAGGGGAUUCAGAUGCAGUUUCCAUUAGUAAGAGAGAUUUUGAUCUACUUCAACCUGAGACAUUUAUCAAUGACACGAUUAUUGACUUCUAUAUCAAGUAAGUCCUUUUUCAUGCAUCAUAUGCCUUCUUUCAAAUACCUGUGGGUUUCCAAUUCUUGGAAUUAGUUUUAGAAAAUAGGUGAGGCCUUUUUUUUUGGGGACCUGUUCCAUUUUUAUUAUUUAUUUUGUUUAAGUAGUAGACAUGAUCAUUAUAUAUUCAAGUAAUCAUAUAGUUAGCCUUCAUUGGUGUAGCAAUAUGACAGAAGUACAGCUCAACUCCUACAUUAUUUGCAACUUCUGUUACUUGUUUUCGCUAUCUAUGAUUGUUUAUACACUUAAAACGUCUUUUGUUUUCCAAUUAUUUGGUUGCCAGGUAUUUAAAGAAUCAGAUUCCACCUGAAGAAAAGCUUAGGUUCCAUUUUUUUAAUAGCUUUUUCUUUCGUAAGCUUGCUGAUCUAGACAAAGAUCCAUCCAGUGCUUCAGAUGGUAGGGCUGCUUUUUUACGUGUUCAUAAGUGGACAAGGAAAGUGGAUAUAUUUGGAAAAGACUAUGUUUUCAUCCCUGUGAAUUUCAAGUAAGAAAGUGGAUUUAAAAGAACCUUGUGCAUUCUCUGAGAUGUGGUUUUAUUGGUAUUAAACUGAUGCAAUAUGUGAUUUUUGAUGUUAGUCUUCACUGGAGUUUAUUAGUAAUAUGCCAUCCUGGUGAAGUGGCUGGUUACAACGGUGAGUUCUUGAGAGGUCUUCUGUGAUGUCUGUUUGGAAAGCUGCCUUUUAUUCAUAUAAAUUGUACUGUAUUUCAGAUAAAGACCUGGGGAACUCCCUUAGGGUGCCAUGCAUAUUGCAUAUGGAUUCUAUCAAAGGAACUCAUGCGGGUCUCAAAAACCUUGUGCAAAGGUAUCCCCGAGUUGUUAAAAUUCUCGUCUUUUCAAGCUUCUCUGAUUAUUGAUCUGAAUUGGAAAAUACACUCUUAUCAAUUUUCUUUCUACCAUAAUGAUAUUCGUUUCUUAUGAUUUUAUCUAUUUAAGUGGAGUUAAACUAGAGGGCGAGUGAAAAGGCAUUUUGCACCUAAUAGUCCAGUCAAGUCAUCUAGUGUUUCUUUCAGCCGAAAUGUUAACUUAGUGUAAGGGUGUUGAGAUUCUAACGAUUUCUUUGUUAAGUGCUUUGAUGGAAAUAUGAAAAUAUCAUUUUCUAUCUAGGACUGAACUGGUAUAUUAAAAAAAUAUGAAACUUGUGUUGAUGCCCCUCUGGAAUUCAUUCAGCUAAAAUCUCACAUAUAAUGUUGAUUUUCACCAGGAUUUUGGUACAGAUGCAUUUAUAACAAACUUCUCCACUUCAUUCUGUAUUGUCUUUUCUUUGCUAGCCUUACGUUGGAACAAAGACACUUUCCUGGAAGCUGCAUGCUGUCACUUACUUAUUUGUUGCUUUUUUUCCUGAAAUUCACAGUUAUCUAUGGGAAGAAUGGAAAGCAAGACAAAAGGAGACAUCAGAAGAUUUAUCUUCAAAAUUUUUGAAUUUGCGGUUUGUCCCACUUGAGGUAUUACGCCACUAACUGUGAUAUUUAGCUACUUCAGUUCAUAGUGUAGUCAGCAGUGUUAACAAAAUCAAUUGGCAUUAAAGUUACUUCUAGCCGCUGAGGUACCAUAAUAAGGAAUAGUGUCUAAGGGUUGGUUUCACAUGGUAAUCUUUGGUUCAGGCUUGCAAAAUAACUUUAUACCAAAAUUCAGGCCUUUGGAAAAGUUGUGUUCUCUCCAAAUUGGAAAGUAUUGCAAAUUGUAACAGCAUUAUGAUAAUUUUGAAAUGUUUUUCCUAUAUUAAUUAGCUUUGCAUUGAUAGUAAUUUGAUUAGAGCAGAUAUUUGAAACAAAGUGUUCAUAUAGCCGACCUCAAUUAGUUUGGACUAAGCUUGGUUGUUGGUAUUGUUGUUGCUGUUAAGGCAGAUGAGGCUAAAGCAAAAAAUUAAGUUUCUAUAACAGCUUAAGCAAUUUGCUUUUGAGUAGUAAGGAAAAAGAAAUCUAUAGAUUAAUCAUAGAUGAUGAUCUCAUCGCGACGAGCAUCGUCUAGUUACAGCCGAGUAGGGAAAGAAUUUCUUGCUAUUCAUUUUCAUAAGUUAGCCCAAACUCAUUUAAUUUGUUGACAAAAUUUAGUUAUUUCUACUCGUAUUUGAUGCUGAAGAGUUCAAGAAAAGUUAUUUUUGAUUUGUUGCAUAAUGUAUUAAAUCCCUUUUUGUGUUAAUUUAAAACAUUAUUGCGCUAUGCUUUAGCCUCUUUAUGUGAAUGCAUGCAAAAGAAUUGGCUUUAUGUGCAUACUGUGUUGUUCUGACAUUUAAUGCAUGUUCAUUUCAGUUGCCACAGCAGGAAAAUUCAUUUGAUUGUGGCCUGUUUCUGCUCCACUACCUGGAGCUAUUUUUGGCCGAGGCUCCUCUGAACUUCAGUCCAUUCAAAAUAAAUGAGCUUUCCAAGUUCGUAAGUGGAUUUCACUCUGUCGCAAGUUCCUCAACAAUAUUAUCCUUUAGGGAGGGCUAUCUUUUAGAUUGCAUUAGAUAGUCAUAUCAAUCUUGGCAAUUGAGUAUGGAUAACAUACUGAUUCUAUAAUUGUACAAAUCAUAAAAAAAUUUUGAGAAUAAGAAGAUGAAAUAUAUAACCUUUAUUAUCUCUGUAUUCAGUGAUGAAGGUACUCUGAACUUCUAUUGUAGUAAACAUGGUCUACGAUGAGCCUGCUGCUUGGCUAUCCAUUUGAUUGAUCUUCUGCAUAUGCUUAUUUGCUUACCAUUUAUGUUUGAUUUUCUUUUCCUUGACAGCUUAAUGUGGAUUGGUUUCCCCCUGCUGAGGCUUCUCUGAAGCGUACUCUAAUCCAGAGGCUAAUUUCUGGGCUCCUUGACAAUUGUUCUAGGGAGCUCUCUUCUGGUAAUUGCAGUGAUGAACCAGAGUCUAGUUUUCCAGAAAAUAAUGUGAAAGGGAAUAGAGUCGAGUUUGCUUCAGAGAGAUGCACUCCAACUGUAGCUUGUCAUGGAAAUCUAUCAAGUUCGGACACCAGCCAAGGGAUCGAAAUCACUCUAUUGGAAGCAUCUUCUAUGAGGAAUUCUGAUUGUGUUAAUGAUCCAGGCCUGGUUCUCAGGGAAUUUUUUGAGCCAGGAGUUGCUGCAGGUUCAUUACUUGCACACUGUUCAUCCUUUGACCAGUCAUCUUAUUACCGUCUUAAUGGUGCUAUGUCGCAACAGAUAGAGGUAUCAAUAUUUUUUCACUAUUGUAGCAGAAUAAUUUAUCCUAUGCAAUUUUAGAUUAUCUGCUAUUACAUAUGUAUGUGCGUGUUAGAUCUUAUUUUUGUUUGAUAAAUUUACUGAUGUUUGUACCUUUCACCACAGGAUGAUGCAGAAGAUGGGGAGCAGUUCAUGUAUUACCCUUCUGGAGAUCCAAUUUUUCAACAAAUUCCUUGUAUGACACCUCAAGCGGGUUCUAUUCCAUAUUCACUCAGAGGUUUUGGGGCCGAGCCUUCUUGGAAUCGAGGAAUUUCUAUGCAAGGAGAGGAUGAUGACUCAUCUCCAGAAACAUCAGAAUGUGCCUCUGAUGAUUCUGACAUAGGGAUUAUCGAAAAUCGCCCAGUUGAGAAAGAUGUAGAUCUUUGUCGAGAAGAGAAAAUUGAUAAAGUAUCUCAGUCAAUGGAAAACAUAAAGUGUUCGACACAGACACUUGCUUCUGGCUCUGUCGAGACCCUGGUGACUUCUGCCAUUCAAGGUACUGAAGACUCUGAAAGAAUACACAAUGGUGAUGAAAAUGGUGAUCUUGCCUUCAGUCAAGAAGAUCCAACUACAUUGCAUGAAGAUGCCAACACAGUAGAAAAUGGAUUGCAUCAACACUUUGACGAGAAGGCAGAGAUCACCGGCAAUGAUAAUAUUCAAACUAUGGGUGAUAAUGUGAUGGCAAAAUCAGGUGAGAAAGAACCAAUCAAUGAUAGUGUGAUGACAGAAUUACCUGAGAAAGAACCAAUCAAUGAUAGUGUGAUGGCAGAAUCAGAUGAAGAACAAGCUGCAAAAAGGCGAAGGGUUACUCCUCCCCAUGAAGAAGGGGAGGAAAUUCUAGGCGGAAGCCUGUCAAAGGAUCUACACUUGUAAUUAGGCUGCAGGUGGAAAUCUCGGUCUUGAUUUUUGUUUAACAUAAUUGUGAACAUGGAUCUCACUAGACGACAUGCCAUUCUGUGAAUAGUAUAAUGGCUAUAUUUUUAACUACGAUUAUGAUUAGCAAUUACCAUGUGGGUUGCUCUUGUAGGAGAAGUGCUCGGUUCUUGUGUUAAUAUCUAUUAUUCAAGUCAUGAAAUUAGGACUGCAAAUGUAUAAUGUUUUCCUUGGAAGCUGCAUGAAGAAGAUGAUACAGAGUCAUUGGUUUAUUCUCUUCUUCUGGCCAAACAGAACCUGCGAGUCUCGCAACCCAUUGUUAUGUUCUUUAUCCUUUUUUUUUUUUUUUUUUUUUUUUUAAUUAAAAUUUUAAACAAGAGUUAAAAAUACAACCUCUAACAAUAUAAAAUGAGAAUAUUAUAUCAUUAAAAUUUAUUAAAUCUUUUUAUUUUUAAAUUUUUAUUACUAUUAUUAAUAGAAUAAGUGUACUUAUUAGUCAAGGUGGCUAGAGAUUUAUGAUGUGAUUUUUAUGAUUUUUCAGUUUCAAUUAUAUGUAUUCUCAAUUCAACAUUCUAGUGGAAACAAAAUAUAUGAAUUUAAACAUGAGAGUUACAUUUUAUUGGACAAUCAAAUUAGAUAAUUUACUAAAUAGUUGAAAAUUUUUUUUUACCUAUUACUGAAUUUUUUUAAGCUCAAUUAAAAGUAUAUUUAUAUAUAUAAUUUUUUUUUGAAAAAAACAGAGUUCCGUAUUAAUCAAAAAAAAAAAAAAAAAAAAGGGAGAAAAAAAAAAUAAAAUAAAGGUGUAAAUCCAAACCGGUGAGGGCGCCAACACCAUAGCCCAUCCUCUUUCCUGCAAACUGAAGAAAAAAAAAAAAAAAAAAAAUUACAGACGUCUGUGAUCUCUUCUUCUCGACAGAGAAGCGAAACCUCCACUGUGUCUUCAUCACUUCCAAAAGAUACGAAAUUUGCUUUGAUUUUCUCACUGUUUGAUCAAAUUUGGUAAAGAGAAAAUCUAGGAUUAGGGUUUCUACUUCGAAUCAGGGAAAAAUGAAGCAGCUAUUGUACAGUCACCAUAACCAGUCUCAAAGAAAGGCAUUUGCGGGUCUUUUCGUCCUUCUGCUUCCCAUUUUCCUCCCUCAUCUUUUCAGCCCAUUGGGCCGAGCCUGGCCUUCCCUGUUCUCUGUAGUCCUUUUAUCCAAGAUUCCCUUCCUCUGUCUCUCUGUGUGUUGCUUCUAUAAGGAUUGAUUGUGUUUUGAAUUGCAUUGCAGGAAUGGAAUGCUCCAAAACCUAGGCAUUUGCCUCUUCUAAAAGCUGCCUUAAAUCGCCCAAUUGUAAGUAGGUGUCCCUUUAUUUUAUUUGGGGGCUGAUUUGUGUUUUUUUUUUUUUUUUUUUUUUUUUUUUUUUAUAUUCCUGAAUCAGUGAAAAUAUUUACUUUUUAGCUCAGUAGGCAACAGUCUGAGCUUUGGUCUCCUUUGCCUGAUCAAGGAUGGAAACCUUGCAUUGAACCCGUAACUAUUCCUUGUAAGUGUUUAAAUAGUGUGUAUGUGAUGUUUGCAUAAUAUGCAUGUGAUUGUUCAAUUUCUAAUGAACUUGCAUUACAUUUUGAAGCAUUGCCCCAAACAUCUCGAGGUUAUAUCCAGGUAUUUCUUGAUGGAGGGUUGAAUCAGCAAAGAAUGGGAGUAAGUAACUACCAAGGAACAUUUCUGUAGUAUUAUGUGUCGAUUAUUGUUGUAAUUACCAAUUUUAUUUCCACUUAAGUAAUUGUGGUUGGGGUCUUUUUUUUUUUUUAAUAUUUUUUACUUACUUUCUUUCUCUUAUUUUGAAGAUAUGCGAUGCAGUGGCAGUUGCUAAAAUACUAAAUGCAACGCUUGUGAUCCCACACCUUGAAGUGAAUCCUGUCUGGCAAGAUUCAAGGUAAUUUAUGGGAGUGAGUUGCCUUAGAAACAUUUCUCACAUUGUGAAUUCCUGUCUAAAAUUGAGAGCUUAAAAUGGAAAUAAUAUCUGUUUCUGCAGUUCAUUUGUGGAUAUAUUUGAUGUGGAUCACUUCAUUGAUGUCCUACAUGAUGAAAUUUUUAUUGUUAAAGAGCUCCCCAAUGAGUACUCUUGGAGUACACGUGAGUAUUAUGCUACAGGUAUACGAGCUACUAGAAUCAAGACAGCGCCUGUCCAUGCUUCAGCUGACUGGUAUCUGGAAAAUGUUUUGCCUGUAUUGCAAAGGUUGGUAGAUUAUGUAAAGCCGAUUUUGUUGAGAUUUAUUGCAACUUGUGGAGUUUCUUACUCAGAAAAAGUAUUCUAUUCCAUGUGAUUUGUUAAGUUGAUUGUUUGGUUUUUUCUCUCAAAUUUAUGUAUCCGUACGAAGUUCACUUCUUUCCUUUUUGCCCUUUUGCAUAUCCUGCUAGUUGCUAAUAUAGUAAUACAAUCUCUUUUUGGCAUUUUGUUGUAAAUUUAUUGUCAUUUCUUUUCCUAGUUAAUUCAUUAAUGAAUGGCUGAAGACAUAAAUCUUCCUGCAACAUUCUUAUUGAAUACUUCAUAUGUAGGAAAAAUUGAAAGAGGGAGAUGUCAGUUUGGUUGUGAUAUUCCUUUGUUUAGUUUUGGGAGAUUCUAAAAUGCUUACAUGAUAUCAUACAGUUUGAUGUCAUAUUUUGUAGGUUGAUCUCCUUACUGAGCUAUCACUGUCAUACCUUAUCACAUUUUCCAAAUUUCUAGACUUCAUUGGCUUGGCCCUUGAUUUUACCUGAACUCAAGCUGAAACCAUUUUCCUUUUUCUGAUAACCUUUAUAAAACCAUCUGCUUGGUGAUGUACGAUGUGGGAUCUAAAUGUUUAACAUGUAUUCAUGUACCAACCACUUUUAAAAAAUUAUUAGUGGUGUCUAAUUGAAUUGCAUGUCAUUUGAUGGUAUUUUCUUCUUGCAGUUAUGGAGUCGCUGCUGUUGCCCCAUUCUCCCACCGUUUAGCUUUUGACAAAUUACCAACUAACAUCCAACGCCUGCGUUGUAAAGUCAAUUUUGAAGCUUUAGUUUUUGUUCCUCAUGUAAAAUCUUUGGGAGAGACACUUGUUAAUCGUCUCCGCAAUCCUUCUGGCAGCUCAAGGACUGAGUUCCUAAGGGAGAGAAUAGAUGAUACUGAAAAUCUGGGAUCCAGAAAGUUUGUGGUGUUGCAUCUUCGCUUUGAUAAAGUAUGACCCUGAACUCAUCUAAACAGUCAGAAAGUUUUGUUUUUGGACUUAUUUAACACUCGUGAAGAUUUUAGACCAUGUUAGAUGAUAUAUUCAGAUGUCUUUACCUUUGAAAGAAUGAAAUCUUUUCUCUUCAGUUUUCAAAAAUUUACAAGCCCUGGAAUGCCCUUAGUAAAUAUGAAGGUCCAUGGUGAAAACAGACCUUUUGGCAUUUCCAAGUUUAGAAACUUACAGUAUAUUGUUGAAGACUGCAGUACCUCCUUGAUGAGUAAUUUACUUUUUUUACUAGUGGUGUAUUAAUCACUUGAUUUUUUUCUUUUUUUUAAUUUUUGAAAUGUCUUAAUCACUCAAGAAUUACUCUUUAGCAUUAUUAUUAUUAUUAUUAUUAUUAUUAUUUUUUUUUGUCCUCUUGCCUUAAUCUGAACCCUUACAGGAUAUGGCUGCUCAUUCUGCCUGUGAUUUUGGUGGGGGUAAAGCAGAAAAACUUGCUCUGGCCAAAUAUCGCCAAGUGCUUUGGCAAGGAAGGGUAUUAAAUUCACAGUUUACAGAUGAAGAGUUGAGAAGUCAGGGCCGUUGCCCAUUGACUCCUGAAGAGAUUGGAUUACUGCUAGCUGCUUUAGGUUUCAGCAAUAGCACUCGUCUCUAUCUUGCUUCACACAAGGUCAGUCAUUCAUUCCGCGCUCCCCCCCCCCCCCCCCCCCCCCCACCCAACACAAAACACAAAAAAAACAAAAAAACNNNNNNNNNNAGUGCCCUAUAUCCCCCCCCCCCCCCCCCCCCCCCCCCAACAACAACAAAAGAAAAAAAGAAAACAGAACAAAGAAGCACCAAAGUUCUACAGAAUCUUAGGGCACUCACAAUUAGACUUUCAUGAUAAGUCUAAUGAUAUAUGCUUUGAUGAAAAUUUUAUUUUCCUUUCCUAUGAGUUGAAGCUUAAAGAAAUUUUCUUCAGGUAUAUGGUGGAGAAGCAAGAAUUUCUACCUUGAAGCAAUUAUUUCCCUUCAUGGAAGACAAGAAAAGCCUGGCUUCUGAAGAGGAAUUGGCUGAAGUCGAAGGCAAGGCUUCAUUAUUGGCUGCAGUCGACUAUUAUGUGAGCUUGCAGAGUGAUAUCUUUAUAUCUGCUUCUCCAGGAAACAUGCAUAAUGCUUUGGUAAAAAAUCUGUUAAUUUCUUUUAAAAGAUGUGUUUCUUGAAUAUUGUAGGGCGAAUUUUUUUUACUUUUGGUUGAAUCCACUGGAAACAGAUUUCUGGUGGGCUAUCGCUUACAGUAGGUUAUAAGUUGUUUAUUUGCAACUGUGGAAUUUAAGAUGAAAUGUUACUUGUAAUGGCAGUUGGGACAUAGAGCUUACCUGAACCUGAAGACUAUAAGACCAAACAUGUUGCUGCUUGGCCCGCUUUUCCUGAACAAGAGCUUGGAGUGGUCAGCAUUUCAGGUUGCAGUUGUCAAUGGGCAUAAAAAUAGACAAGGGCAGGUUAGAUCGAGAAAGGAGAAGCAAUCAAUAUAUACAUACCCUAUUCCUGAUUGUAUGUGUCAAUUAUAAUUGGGUGGAUGCAGAAAUUUUAGAUCUGCAAUUUUGGGCAUAUUUAUUUGCAUGUGCUACUGUCUUUUUUUUGUCCACUUGUAUAUAUCUGGUAUUCUGAACAUUUUUGGCUUUGUAUUUUGUUCGAAGUUGUGGCAACUGGUAAUAGAUAUGCAGAUUGAUUUUACUCUUCUCCAAUCACCACUACACAAACUUGGUGGAUUGUACAAUUGAAACAAUGAUGCUUACAAGAGUUUUGAUUGAUCGAUUUAUGAAUGAGUUUGGCCGUCUCUCCAUCUUUUACACAUUCUUGUCUGAUCUCUUCUUUCUUCUCCAUUUUCUUCUAAUUAAUCAACUUCCAUUCAUCUAUUCGGGGUUUGCAUUUCCUUAGAGAAAAGUAUUGGCAAAUUUAUUUUUCUAGCAAUGAAAAUAUUUUCGCUUUUCGCUUCUUUAGUAUUAACCACAUGUAUCCUCAAUCCAUUCAACUGUAAUUAAAUCCUGCUUGCACUACGUUGACAAACUAAGCGGUGAGUUGACCACCAUUAAGGGGUUAAGUGCCUUCCGGAAGCAUUUGCUCCUUCUGGGGCUUUUUUAUUAUUUGCUUCAUCAACGGGAAUUAAAUCCGUAUCCUUUUAAGUUGCAAUCAUUCAAUGUUCUGCAGUUUUUACAUUUUCACUAGUUUUUUCAAGUAAUAACCUCAAGUAUUUGUAGCAGUCAAUAGUUAAGUGACAAAUUAAAAUGCAGCUCUACACAGAAAUAUUUGUGGGACAAAGAUCAUUUAUCUACAACCGUUAGUAACUGAGCUCCAGAGGCACCGAAUGAUCUUAAUAGAUGAUAAACCAGCAGUUAAACAAAGAUAAUGUAACAACAUUUUUUAACAAAUGAAAGACAUACUGCAGCUAAUAAGCGCAUUGGCUUUUCAAGGCCUUUAUUUUUCCUUUUUUUUUCGGCUCUAAUUUUAUGAAUUAUUUACAAACAGCAUAACGACAGCUUAAAAAACACAGCUGUCGCAUUCCUGCACAAUUUGAGUGGUGAAGACUCAAAGUUGCAUAGACAACACCAAGAAUUUGACCAUUUAUCUUCAUCCAGCUAAUCAAUCUGACUUAGGAACUAUUGGCAUUCAUCUUUCUUAUCCUUUCCAACAGAUGGGGGCCCACCUCCAUUCCGGCUUGCAGCCAAUUCCUUGGACUCUGAGGGGAAAGGAGAUGGAGCAACUUCUUCCUCUAUUGGAAGUGUUCGUUUUGAGCCCUCCAGAGCAACCCCAAGAACAAUGUUCUCCUCCAAUGGAGGCCUGGCUACUGAUGCUGAUGCAGCAGACCUUUCAACGUCCUGUUUAGCCUGGGAAAUAGUUGAGGGAAUCUCACUUCUUUUAGAUUCAGAAUAUUCUUCAGGUGCUGCCCUUCCCAGAGUUAUGUCUUCGGAAUUUAGCCCCAUGUUCUCCUUCCAUGUGUCUUCGAUGCUUUCACUAGUUUUCUUUGUUUCAGGAUUGUUUGGCACUGAAUUAUCAUGAACCAUUUUUGACUGCCAGCGAUCAGAUGCUGGGGUUGCCAAACCCUUAGAUUCAGGGGUGUUUGUUGUUGAUCCUGCAUUAGCAUCUGCUUUGGACUCAGAUGUUGAGGCUGCUUCAGCCUUCGCAUCUUUUUCCCCAUUGGUACAUACUGAACGGCUUGAAGCUUUAGUUUUAUCAUCACCAUUGAUUUUAUAAGAGGGUUCAAUCAGCAAUAGUGGGCGGUUAGCAACUGCUCCUGAACGAGUAAGAAUAGUGUCAGCAGAACGUACAUUAGCUAAAUCAGCCUCAUUGUAUAUCUUCUGAACAGUACGGAUCGGUGUGGCAAGCCGAGCCCGGUGAUGGCUUAUAACUCUAAGAAGAUCCAAGAUUAUUGCUUCCUGUCACAUUGCAUUUGUUAAUACCGAGUCAGCUAAAUCUCGAGUAGAAAACAGCAGAUCAAGAGUCAGAACAUGCAGAAAAUAGAAUUGAGGAAUUAAUCCAUGAAACAUAACAGACUUUUUAUUCAGUCGUAAUGACCAUUAUGCACAUAACAUCACCCAGACAAAGAUUUGAUAAAUAGAUAAACAAUAACCAACAUUAACCACGGAAUCUCUGGCUCUAUGUUACAAUAGCAAUGGAUUUUUAAUUCUUCUAUAAAUAUCACAUGCAAUAACUAUACAAUAAAACUACUCUUACCUUUACACACAGGUAUUCUUCAAAAUGAGAGGUUUUCACGAAGCAUGACACAAAAACCUGCAACAUAAGCCAACCAAUAGAUAGUAAGGCAUUAAAGAACAUGCAAACAUCAUGUAUCAAAUGAAAACACAAGCCAACCACAGGUGAGAAAAACCUUUUAAUAAGGGAAAUACAACCUAAUGAAGUCCAAAAAACAAGUUUAAUGCAUUUCAUGUCUUCAACACCAAAACAGUAUAUUCUCUCCAAAUGUCUACAUCUCUUUGUUCUUCACAAACAAAAAGAACAGAGAGAAGGGAAUAAGUUUGCAAGAAAUUUCUUUUCAGGAACACAACUUUAUCUUCAGACAGUGAUUACUUCACUGUAAGUCUUCAUGGGAAGAUAUAUCUUAAUUUCAAGAAUAAAGAAGGAAACUUAAGCCUCACCAUAAGAGCCUGAUUCUCUGGGUUAAUAUUAUCCAAGAAGACUCUUCUGUGCAGCUUUUGCUGCUCUACUUGAGGGUUUUUAGCCAAAACCUUCCGCAUAUCAGCAACUAUGUUCUGCACAUAGAAUAUGCACAAUCAAAAUCCUUGUCUUGAUUGAAUAGAGAGAGGAAAAAGAAAUCCUACUGACUGUAUGUGAAAGUGCUCAAGAAUUGGGCAAACUGAGAUUGAACCUCACAUUAAUUUUGUUGACAUCCAAGUGACUGAUGGCAAGGUGGGUCUUAAUUCGCCAAUGAGUCUUCUGGCUAAGAUUUCUCACAACAUUCAUAGUGAAUUUAUGGUUGGGAAUGUGAACUGCUUCACGAUCAUCGCCUCUUAUAAUUGUUGGUGACCACCAACCCACAUGCUGGAACAAGAUAAAACAUUGAUUAGAAAAAAAAAAAAAAAAAAAAAAAAAAAAAAAAAAAAAAAAAAAAAAAAAAAAAAAAAAAUAAAAAAAAAAAAAAAAAAAAAAAAAAAAAAAAAAAAAAAAAAAAAAAAAAAAAAAUUAUAAAA